GAGCAAAUAGUUGAUCCCCAGUAUGAAGGUCUAGAGCUCGACUUCCCGGGAGGCGACGGGGAAAAGACAUUGGCAGAUGCGCUUCAUGGGAUCAUUCUAUGGAAGAAACGCUACAUCAUUAUUCCCGGCACGGAGCCAUCUCCUCAGACCUCAAGACCGCUCCCCGUAGAUCCCCAGCAGCGACCUUCUCCUCAUACCUCGAGACCGUUAUCUCCUGCUCCAGGACCGUCCCUUCCAUCUAUAUCAAGGUCUCCAUCUCCACCACAUCCUGGUGAUGGGAGCGACGACGACAAUAACAACACCCCUCCCCGAUCACCGUCGCCGGCAUCAAGAGCGGCCCCCUUGAAGGAACCUGCACCACCACUAAAGAAGUCACGAGCACCGCCUCCCAAGCAAAGACAGAGAAAGAAGAAAACAAAGGAGCCUGAAGUGACUCGUAAGGAACGCUUUGAGGCAAUGUCUCAUGCAGAACAAUGGGCAGAAAUCCAACGAGAGGCCAGUGAGUGGUUCAAGAAACAAGCCGAAGAAAAAAAGGCAAGGGAGAUGGAGCCACCGCCAGUAAGUCGGCGAGAUUUAAACUUUUUUAUCAGGAUGGAAGAAGGAGCCAAGAAAAGGAUACCACUCUUGUCAAACUAUGAACGGGCUCUAGUAAAGGCUGAUGAAAAGGAUAAAAGGAAAGGAAAGUCAUCUUCCAGCGGUCCAGUCCCCGACCUCAGCCAUUUAUCAAAAAAAGAUGCUCAACGGGUAAAAGCAAUGCCCUUGGAUCAACAAGCAAAUGUAUUGAAGUUCAUGGAAGAAACAGGUCUGGGACUUGAUGAAUGCAUAGGGCAAGUUGAGACGCCAACUGCACCGCCCCCUGAGCCGAAGUGGCCUUAUGAGCUAGGCAAACCUCUAGUAAAGCCUUCAUUGGUACGGAAGCUAUCAACAAAUAUGUACGCAUUCCAUCAAUGGUACAUGAUGGCAUCCGCCGACUCGAGGGAGAUGAUCGGCAUGAAGGUAAAAUCGAUAGAUUUUCACGGUGAAGGGGAGAAAGUGCUGUGGCUAGACUUCAAGGAUAUAUACGAAGUGUACCAUCAUGAUGCCCUGGACGUCUCUCUGAUCAGCGCUUGGAUUCUGUAAGUGUCCGUUUAUCUCUACUUGUAAAUUUUGGCGUGCGUCACCAUACUAACUUCAUCUUCCAUUUCAUGUAGGAUGCUAAUUCAGACAUGCCGCCGAGAGGCGUACCUACAUAUAGGCUUCAUGGAUCCAUCUGUAGUUAACCAACAACAGAUACAAUUAGCGCCGGAAAAAACCUUUGCGGAAAUAUACAAUUUCCUAGACAAACAAACAUUCAAGGAUUUCAUACUAUUUCCAUACAACUUCAAGUAAGUGUGUGUAUACUGUCUACUUUCGAUAUCUUUUUCCUUAUCUCUACAUGUUAGUUAGCUCUAAUAUGCAUGAACAUUUUACGCACGCAGCUUCCACUGGAUCCUUAUUAUAAUUGAGCCUGAAAGAAGCCACGUCACUGUCUUCGAUUCGUUAAGGAAAGAUCCGGUGGACUACCAAGAAUUGCAAGACAUGCUAGGCUUGUAAUAAUUCUGGACCUUUAUCUCUAUGCAAAAAUUUAUUUCCUAAAUUUUAUCCCUGUUACACUAUAUCAUUCAUUAUUCUAAUCCGCAGCGCAUGGAAACAAUUCAUAAGGACACACAAAGGUCCAUUCAAAGAAAAACUUACAUGGAACACAGACUUCCCGGUACGUAUGCAGUCUGCACAUUUAUUACAUUGUAUAACACGAAUAUUUCAUAACUUAUUUUUAUCCGCACUGAAGUGCUUAAGACAGGAACCCGGGAAUAAUCUAUGUGGCUACUACAUCUGUGAGCACAUGCACAGUUUUAUGGGACCCAAGGGACCGAAGAUGACGCCGCACAACUUUAAAGUACGUAAAAUAAAACUAUUACUAGUUAAUUAUUUUCUAGCUCCUUAUAUGUAUUUGUUCAUGUAACAUUCACAAAUUUCCAAAUUAUAGAUGUUAAAUAUUCAACAAGGACUCUUGAAGGAAGAAAGAGUAGCGGGAAUAUGUGAAGGUCUCAUUGGAUUCAUAAUGGACGAGGUGGUAAAUCCAAAAGGAGAAUUUUAUUACGAUGGACGAUAAUUAGACACUCCGAUCAGCAACACCACGACGGGAAGAUUGUAGGAAGAUACUUUGAUUUAUUUGUAUAUAUAAUACGCGCUAAUUAUGAUCAAUUUGUACUAAGCUAGUUGAAUUGUGUAUAUGAAUUGUGUAUAAGGAUUGUGUAUAUAUAUAGUAAUUGUAUAAUUACAAAUCCCAUUCGUUUAAAUACUAGUUGAUUUCGUUCUAAAAAAAUCUCAACUACUAAAGGUUAACAAAUUAAAAGGGCCGCGGUACUACGUAUACGUGAUGCAUGCAUGAAAAAUUCAGGCGUCACGGCAGUGUCAUGCAAGCGCCAUUUAGUCCCGGUUGGAAUCCAGCUGGGACUAAAGGGUAACCCUUUAGUCCCGGUUGGGAAAUCCAACCGGGACUAAAGGGCCUGUCCCGCGCCUAGCGUGGCAGGCCCUUUAGUCCCGGUUGGUGACACCAACCGGGACUAAAGGGGGACCUUUACUCCCGGUUAAAAGACCCGAGACUAAAGAUCCCCCCUUUUGUCCCGGUUGGUUUAUCCCGGAUGGAUUUUCGAGAGAUAUGCACCCUACCAACCGGGACUAAAGGCCAAUUCUCUACCAGUGAUACGUGCCGGGGCGGAAGUGUACCGGUGCAUUAUGUCCUUUUCGCAAUGAUGCGGAAUACGACCGAUACAAAUAGUGAAGCAAUCAAAACGGUUCUAUUGUACAUUAACUUAAAUGUACCAGUGUCAUUCCACACCACCGCAUAAAUGACAUAUGCUAGCCCAGGAGGGUUGGUUCCCUGGCAACUACAACGGGAAGGGUUGGUUCGUCACAGCACAGGACUACCACAGGAAAACAUACUUCCACAAAACCAACAGGUUAGAUCAUUUUCCGAUGAAAUCAUCUGAAACUAGUACUUCCUCAGGUCAGAAAUAUAAGACGCUCUGACGAGUGGGACUAGCACGCAGUUAGUUGAAACUUCUUGUCGGGAACAUCAUAUAUGUAUAUUCCCAGCCCAAGGGAGUAUACACAGUGUUUUAUUAUUGGUGACCUCCAAUUUUUUUGGUGAUCAUGUGCGCAAGGUUUCAUCCUGCGAUAUAAGAUUCAAGCUAAUUGACGUGAGCAUAUUCCAUUCUACGUUGUUGCCUUAAGUAUGGAAACAAGCUGUUUCUUUCUUGUGACUACUGCUGAGUGGGGAAACAAACAUCAGGUGAUCAUGUUACACUAUGUGAAACACGGUCACAGGUGACCAGCAAUCAUGCCCGCUGUCAAAGAUGUGUCACAAAUAACUUAUGAAAGGUGACGGGCAAAAACCCAUCACCAAUGAUGGAUUAGAGUUGACAGGCAACACUUAACACCGGUCACCAUUCACUAGUGAUCUUUGAAUUUAAACUUUAGCUAGCCUUACCUUGGACAUGUUCCAUCCUGGUUGAGUUGUUAUUAAUGAUAUAGUAACAUAAGGAUCUUCAUUUGCAGGAAUUUAAUUAGCCCAGCUCAUGAUCGUUGUCACAGGUGGUAAGCUGUGGGAGAAAGGAAAAAAAGCCUUGCUCGAAAAGGAAACGCAACAAACAUUUGGGUGAUUCGGACAGGCUCUCAGCAGGAUAGUCUCGAUUCCUUAAGGCAAAACUUGACUCAAUCUUAGAUAUCGUGAGCAAAUUGUUGACACAUUCUUGUAUUCCAUUAUGUCAAGUACGUUCCAGCAUUUAUAUAAAGGUUGAGCUGAUGACUUACGAGUCCUAUGUAGGGGUGAUAAAAGGGCCCUCUAAUUUAGCCUAGAAAACUUAAGGACCGGGCUCAAUAAGGGCCGGGUCAUAAUAUUAUAUGAUUUUGAACUAAAAAUAGAUAAAGCUGAGUUGGAUUGUAAAGGAGGCAUGAGGGUCAUGAUCCAUUACCACCCCUAGUUAUAUGUACAAGAGAUUGGUUUAUGGUUACCAAGCAGGUAUUAACUACUCCCGCCGUCCCGGAAAAAAUAAGUCGUUUAAGGAUUGUCCUAAGUCAAAUUUUUCCGAGUUUUGCCAAGAUAAUAGAAAAAACUACAAAUAUUUAUGGUAUGAAAUAAGUACCAUUAGAUUUAUCAUGAGAUAUAUUUUUAUAAUGUACGUAUUUAAUGCCGUAAACAUUGAUAUUUUUCUCUAUAAAUUUGAUCAAAGUUGGAAAGUUUGACUUAAGACAAACCGAGAAUGACUUGUAUUUUUGGGACAGAGGGAAUAUGCUCUAUUAAAUACAUAUAGAUCCAUACAUUUCAAUUGCAUACAAUAAACUUCAUUACUAGCGGAACCUACUAACCACAGCCACACGAGCAACUGUCUCCGGAAUCGCCAACACUGCCGCAUGAUCAGCCACUGCAAUCCCAGAGUUAUGAUGCCUCGCCAAAUAUUAAAGCAAGCCAUCAAGCCUCGAUCAUAUAUAAACAAUACUAUACGCAGCCACGCCCACUUCCAUUUAAUGGAACCCGUGAUCCCACCCUGGUUUUCAUGAGGCGACCAUCCCCAUGUGACAUAUACGAUUGCUAGACAAUGCCAUGCGCGGAAUAUGCACACGCCUGGUGCGUUUGAUUCGAUUCUCAGGUCAAGAUUUCUUACAAUUUCACCUACCACAUCGAUGCGAUUUUGGUAAGGGAUAUUUUUCCUUUUAAAUUCACCUGUGGAGGACCCCUUAGUAUCAGCUCGUAACAGCAACCAGUACCAAGUGGCCUGGACCGUCUAUCCACCACAAAUAUACCAGCUUAAUAAGCUAGUGCUAUUACUAAUAUUAGUAUCGAGUCUUAUUUUAGCUGGUAUAUUUGUUGGGGAUUUAUAGUGGUUUCUAUAGUAGUGAGUCCUCGCCGGUGAGUAUAUAUAUUCCCUCUCUUUCUUCCUCUCUGUUGCUUCGCUCAAGGUACAUCCUGUAGUAGUUCCUCUCUGUUGCCUCUAACUGGUAAAUCUAAACAGAGACCUAGUGUAAACGAAUUUUGGCACCUGUUAAAAUCCGAUUAGUACACAUUUUUUACUCUACAUACAUACAUAUAUAUAAAUAUAUAUAUACAAAUAAAUAUAUAUUGACCAGCUUUAACGCCUUGUGGAAUUGGAUCUAGCUAUCAGCUUCACUGUAAUCCUGCCCUUGGCUGCUAGCCUGCUACUCCUGCACCACGUGGAAAGGAAUUUAUGCGUAGAAAACAUAAUCCUGUUCAUAGCUGCUAGCCUGCUACGCGUGCGCCACGCGCAAAGGAAUAGACCUAAACAAAGAGAAGGAUGCCCAGAGGGUGCUUUGUCAUUGCAUUGCUCAGUUCUUCAGCUACUAGUGCCUAAAAUAUGAUAGUGGCAUUGCAUGAGCAUCAAGCUAGUAGGGUGACUGAGCUGAUGAGUGAGCACAGGUACCUUGGUGCCAACGGUGAACAGUAAUGCCAAGGCCAUGCACACUUCAGGUGUCGCGGUAAUAAACAACAACUAUUUGAUCGAAAAGGAACCAAUCGGGAAUCUUGGACAUUUUGUAGUAGUGUUCAAUGUCUUCUAGCGGCUUAUCUCCUAAGCUGAACAUUCCAUCAUCUAAGCAAGUAGAAGCUGAGAGGGAUUUACACCUACCGCUACACAGAGUGUCUUCCAGGAUUCUCGAGUAUAUUUUUUUUAUUGCCAAUGACCAUAUAGCUUGCCUCCUCUAGGAAUUUCUUUAAUAGGCAAGGGUUUUACCUCUAUGAGAUGUCCCUAUCUGAGUACAAAAACCUCGACCACUUAGAAAAUGAUGAACAAAGACAGCAGUCGUUGGUGUCCGAAGAAAAAUAAAUUAAAGAUGCAUUUUUAGAAAUUUUAAACUUCUUGUACCUUUGGACUGACUCGAUGGUCAUAUUUUCUAAGUACAAGUUAUGUGACAACUUAUGAAUUCGUUCAAAAAUACAUGUUCGAAUUUGUCAACCAUAGCACCCACUAUCAGCUUGAUGAGAACCGGUUAUGAUCUUCAGAUAACUUGCUGCAGAUAGCAAUAAUUACUGCAACCUGGCAAAUAAAACUUAAAGCAAACCACAAUCUUUAAUCUGCAACUUGAGAAUCAAGGGUUCAUCUAAUCACACUCCCACAUAACCAACCAACACAACCUUGAAUAAAACGGACCUGGAUCACCAAUUGGAGCUGAUGAAGAGGCCACUUUUGUAAUCGCUCAAGAAAAUUAGAACUGCAAAGGUUGUAAUGGACGAUAAAAAUCUUGUUAACUAGCUUUGAUUAAAGGAUUAUUUAUACUAGUAACAACCUUCCUAGUUGAGUGUAAAUGGACCUUGGAGUUUUUUAGUAAUAGUAGCUCAAAAGUCACAGCAAAAACUACUACACAAUCCUAUAGCACCGCCGGCCCCCGACUCCCCAUCACUGCCGGUUUCGGAUCCAUCAAUUGAAAUUCGGCAGUGACGGGGCGUCGGUGUUUAGACCCAGCAACUUACCGAGGGGUACCCGAUGUUGUGUUUUAUGUGUGGGCCUUGGAGAUAUCAGGAACUCGAAGCUCAACUCAAACACACGAUUUAGAUAGGUUUGUGCUGCUUAUAUCGCGUAAUACCCUACGUCCUGUGUAUUGGUUAGAUGUAUUGAUUGAAGUUGUUUUAAGGGGGUCCCUGCCUCGCCUUACAUUGCUGGGGGUAGGGUUACAAGUCGGUUGUUUACAAGAAUACUAGUCGGAUUUGACUAGAGAGUCCUACUCUAAUUGCUAUGAGUAGUUUUCUAAUCCUUUACUAGUUCUUGUCCUCCACGAAGACCACAUCGUCCUGCACCGUAGUCUCCAUGUCUGACACAUCUUUGUGUACAGCUCCGUAUUGUAGGACUUGUCCAAACCUCCCGGUGGGCCCAUAGAUGUAUGGCCGAGAAGCCCCCGAGUACUUUUUAGUCAAAUGUAGUAGUACCGAGUAGUUCUGUAGACGUCUCAGACUAGUUUGUGGUGCUCCUUUGAGUACUCCGUCAAAUUGAGUCUUCGAAUGUGCUUGAGUACUGGUAUACGUCUAGAAUGUGUGCAAGCCUUAUUUAACUCAGUCUUGAAUCUUAUAUGAAUGUGCGAUGAAAAUCGCACUCCAUAUGGAGUAGCCCUCGAGCCUUAGGUUGAAUCGAAGAAUUAGGCUAAGGGUCAAUCUUAAAAUUUCACAUCCCUUUCACAUAAAAAUAUAUAGAAAAAAGAUUUUAGCUGACGGGCACGUGGCACAUAGCCCCCGGGCCAUUACACGACUAGUUUAGGUAUAAGGCUCAACCAUUGGUCAACACGACCGUUCGCCAACAGUAACCUUAUCUCUUCGAAAAAAUUGAAAAUUGUUCUAGUGAUAGGGAGCUUUUCAAAAUAGAAUAUUUCCCAUAAUUCUUGCCUCUUGGUUAAAUGUGCUACGGUUAUAAAUAACGAGGAUUUCGUCCCAUCCGUUUCACCUGAGCCAUUCUACCUAUUCAUCUUCCGCACUGUAGCCCUACCACUGCUGCUUACCAUUCUCGAGUUUGAGUGCCAUCCUUCCCCACUGCCUAGCCCCCGUGCUUAUGCGCAAGAAGGCCCUUGUGACAAUGGGAAACAAAGCAUCCUCUAGCAAGGUAGCGGAGACCAAGAAGAGGAAGGCUGCAAAAAAGAAGAAAAUCCAGCUACCCGCGCUCGAGCCGCCACAUGAGCGCACCCGCAAGCUCGAGCCGCCGCAUGUGCCCACCUGCACCAACUGCUCCUACUCCCUGACACCGCCAGCCAUUUCUGGCACUGCCACCCGUGCCUCCCGCGCCACAUCAAAGGCUCCCGUGCACCGCAGCACCUAUGCCCCUGCCGCUGCUUGCGCGCCGCCACCGCCGAGCCCCAUCCGCCGCCGCCAACGUCCUUGGCCCGGUCGCCUCUGCCGCCUGGCCUAGCCGCCGCCGGACGGAUUCCAUCCACCGGCCACGGGAUUGACCAGAUGGAAGGAGGUUGGAGAUGAUAAAGUUAUUUGCAGUUUAGCCCUCGGAGAAAGUUGUAAUCUCGCGAUCCAAUCCUGUUCUAUGUUUUACCACAUUGAAGCCCUCGGUUUUCGCAGAUAGGCUCCUAAAAUCUUAGUUUUCUCUCAGUUAAGGCCUUGCAUCUUGUUCAGAUCAUAUCUUUCACGUUUUAGCUCCGUUUUUAGUGAUGCUUUCGCUCACGUGUUUUUAUUAACAUUUAGAUGUUCUUUGUACUGCUUUUCAGUACUGUUAGUGAUGUUUGGUGUACUAUUUUUAAUUUAAUUCCUUUAUUUGCUUGUAUGUGCUUGCUCUGGAUGUUUGCUUUGGAUGAUUGUCAUGAGAAGAACGAGCACACUGUGAGGACAUUCAAGAGUAAGGAGAUGGAGACAUUCUAAGCAGCAGCGGUACUGUGGAUAAAGGCAAGUUGUGUCCAUGAUCACAUUAUAUCCUAUACAACAUUUAUAUAUGAAACAUAUGCUAUACACGCUUGAGUCUUAAUUUGAUGAGUCCUGAUUAAGAAUUUACCUAGUUUCUAUAUUAUACCUUGUCAACCUGGGUUUUACUUUAUUGUUGGGUAGCUACGCUAGAUGCUAUACCUUGGUGGGAAGCAAUGAACAGUGAUAAACCUGAUUUAUUUUUUAUCUAGCUAUAGCUUGGUGGGAAGUAAUGAACAGUGAUAAACCUGAUUUAUUUUAUGUUAUGCAGCUUCGUUAAUUGCAACCACUCACAUGCCUUAAUUGGAACAUAGAGUGAUGACCCAAGAAAACAGUACAACCAUAAGACCAAUAGGCUCUGUUCUUGGCUAAUUAAUUAGAGAGUCUAGUUUGUGGUAGUCUAACAAAAAAGCAAGAGGAGCUCAUAGGUUGUGCGAUGGCUUAUCCAGUCAAGGGAUGUACGAACCACUUGCGGGAGGGUUCAUCCCCUUAUGCGGAUAACUAUAGCGGGUUAUCACUCGUUAGGAACUCUUUUUAAAGGCCUUGUAGCGUCGCUAUGCAGUCACACCUCGGUAGCGUGAUAAGUGCAUACUCUUGCAUAGCAUGGUUGGGUCUAAUGUUCUCUUCAACUUUUAUGCGACUUAUGGUGAAAGUGCAUAAACUCUGCAGAGUGUAAAACUGGUAUAUCGGCCGAGAGCCUGGACCCUCUCAUGAUAAUUGAACUUCAAGAACAAUUAUUAUUUGUUCUAUUUAUGUUCGUGAUACAUUCUUGCUCUUAUGUUUAGUGUGAUGGUAUAAACUUACAUUCUAGUAAAUAGCUUUAAUAAUAAAACUUGACCAACUUUAAAAGUGCUUAAAUGCAUGCAGUAAACCAGUAAGCUAUUCCUUGACUUGGCCUUACACUGCACAUUUCCCCACACUUGUUGUGUACCAACUAUAAGAUUACUCACACUUGCUAUAUAGACAUCCUCAUCCAUGCCGAACAGGUUGCUCCAAAUGCAAGUACAUAUGGUGACACAUGGGAAUGCCGGCAUUAAGUGACGUUUGGGGUUGCACAAGCCAUUGAUCAGAUCUUCUAUAAUUUAUUUGUAGGACCGAUUACAUAUCAUUCUGGCCUUGGACAAACCUUGUGGAACGGAUCGGAGCUAGAACAUAAAACAAUCCGGUAACAAUAAUUAUUCAACAGCAGAAAUAACAUUUUAUUAAGCAGUAUAUAAUCACCCCAGGGAGUUACAAUCAUAAACAUGAAGUCGGCAAUGCCAGUAUCACCAAGAAGAUUCAUGUUUGCAAUCUGUUGUACAACCAUACCCGUGAAAACAUAAAAAAUAGCCUGCCUGCUUACCCAGGGUGCAAGCUGUUAUUCAACCGAACAACCGUUAAUUAGCAUUUCUACUUGGUAAACUCUAGAGCGUAAAUGUUGCAGAAGAUGUAGGUUUUCUGGAAGCCAGAAAAGCCUGCAGCCGCGGCAAGCUUGGCGUACUCCUGCUCCGUCCUGUCCUUUCCUCCCUUGAAGUUGACAUAUAUUAUGAUAUCCAUCAUGUACGAAUCUCGCGCAGCCGGAGUCGACUCUGGGGUCUCGGGCAGGAUACUCUGAAUGACGAUCACUUUUCCGUUAUCUGGGAGAGCACGGUGGCAAUUCUUUAGGAUCAAGAUGGACUCCUCGUCACUCUGCAAAUGGAUCAUCCACUACAGACACUUGCACUAGUCAGGUGUAAUCUUGUAUUUUCUUUGUUUAUUCGCAUGGUAGGAUGGGGUGAAAUUUUUAUGAAAUUUAAUAGCAUUCAAUUUACCUUCAUUAAAAUUGCAUCUCCAGAGGGUACGCUUUCAAACAUAUCUCCAGCUACGUGUUCCACGCCUGUGAUUUGUUUUUUUAAAAAAAAACAUAAGCACCACUAUCCCAUGCAUUCACUCUUAGCCACAAUUUCUGAACUUUAAUUCUUGCUUAAAUAAACUCUUAGUCACUACUAAUUGGCAAUUGCUUUAGCCAUCAAAUGCAACUAAGUAUGAGGGGCUAUACCUUCAAGAGACGGAGCCUCAGAGACAACAUGAGGUAGAUCCAUGUUUAUGCACCUGAUGUGCUUGUACCGGUCUCUGAUCAACGCUAGCGUUUCACCGGUGCCCCCGCCAACGUCGACGAGCACCCUGACGCCGUCGAACACUUUGGGGUGCUCGACCAGCUUCUUGAUCACCAGCAAUGACUGCUGGGCCAUGGCCCGGUCGAACAGCAAGCUCACACGCCGGUUCUUCCCAAAGUACUCGAACGCCGGCGUCCCCCCAUGGGCAAGCUCGAACGGCGUCUGCUUGCCACCACCGGCCACUGCGUCCGCUAUGUGUUGCCUUCAAGGAUAGAACAACAUAAAGAUCGGGAGAGGCAUAUUUUGUUAUUAUCUGAAGAUAGAACGUACCAGGACGAGAAGAUGUCCUCAUCUACGGCGAACACGGCCAUGGGGCCAAGGGACCCCUCACCAUUGUUGGUGGUGAGCCACCGGCACGCCGGUGCAGGCGAGUACCGCCACAGCACCGUGCCGUCAGGAGCUUUGUCGGCCGAGCACCUCACGACGUCGAAGGACGCUAGGAACCUGAGGAUCCGGCCGAUCAGAGAAGCUGACUCGGCCUUGUCCUCCGCCUGGACUAGUUUCGUGGCAAGCUCCUCGGCGGUCAGACCGUUUUCGUCGGCGGCGCUAAGGGCGUCGAUGAGGCCGAGCUUGACAGCCGCCUUCACGGCCAUGGUGACAUUGUAGGCGUAGACCAGUGUUUGUGCGUGCAAGCAAGUCGAGUCCUCGUCGACGCCGGCACCAUUGACAAACCCAAUUUUGUCCAUGGCUAACAACUAAGUGUGUUCUAGGUGAUAACGUGCUUUUGCUUAUGCGUGGAUUCCAUUGCUACCCACUGUGUGUGCAUAUAUAGAGAAAAGUACUGUUCGAUGGAAUCUGUACGUAGUAGUAGUUAGUAAGAUGGGCGGAUGGAUAUCGGUCGCUGGUAAAUUCACAGUAGGUACGGUAUGCGGCCAGACCUCGCCAUACUGGUAGAUCCAACCCCUGCAUGCAUUAUUAGCGAGGUCUCGCUGGAAAAUUUACUUCCACAAAACCAACAGGUUAUGACUGACAUAUGCUGGCCCAGGAGGGUUGGUUCCCUGCCAACUACAACAGGAAGGGUUGGUUCGUCACAGCACAGGACUACCACAGGAAAACAUACUUCCACAAAACCAACAGGUUAGAUCAUUUUCCGAUGAAAUCAUCUGAAACUAGUACUUCCUCAGGUCAGAAAUAUAAGACGCUCUGACGAGUGGGACUAGCACGCAGUUAGUUGAAACUUCUUGUCGGGAACAUCAUAUAUGUAUAUUCCUAGCCCAAGGGAUUAUACACAGUGUUUUAUCAUAUACGCAAGGUUUUAUCAUGUUGUGCCAUGCAUCAUCUUGUCAGUACGAUUAUCGGCGAAUUUAUAGGCAAUUAUUUUGUUGAUGAAUUAUUCUAUAACUGCCACAAAAAUGUUAUUAUAAUUUAAAAAAUGUAUCAGUGCCAUAUAUAGCUGUUGGUAGGGAAAUCGAAUGUAGCUGAUAAUUGUUUCAAAGACUAGCUAGAGUAAAAAUAACUUGUUGCUGAACCUAUGUGGGGGGAGGUUGAGCCGGCGAAAAUAAGUGCUUCGGUAUAUAGUACAAAGAGAAUGGGUGCACCUAUGUCUUGCCUUUGUCAAUGCAAGACUUGUGUGGUUGCGGUUUAAGCGCGAUGUUGUGGAUGACAAUCUUGAUCAAGACUCCCUGAGAGUUACGCAGAUGCAAUGUCACAGUCGUAAUGAAUCUCUUGUCCUCUGGAGCUGGAAUAGGAAAGUUUGUUGGCAAGAAGGAACACCCAAGGAAGACUUUGAUGCCUCCCGUCCCCAAAUAUGGCAAGUGAUCUUCACAAGACGUUCAUGCAACCCUAUCGAACCUCUUGUCAUGUGUAAGACCUAUGGACCACGGCUCCUGUCCAGUCAAGACCUUGGAUUUGACAAAUCAGAAGCAUUAAGCUGCUAGAUUGAUACCUAGCCUAUAUAUCCUACAGCUGCCAUUUUCUUGACAAAAUUUUUCUACAACUGUAGUGUGCUACAUUCCUUUGAUGUUAGAAAUUAUCAUGUACUUUAAUGUGAUGAGUGGUGCACUUGUUGUUAGAUCAUCGAUCUGUUCUUCUGCUCCAAGACGGCAUCGAUAUUCACCGCAAACUAGUCAUAUAUCCUACACGAUUGCGUUGGUAACUUUGUAUAUUGCAGACACGCACACGCACACGAAGGUUGUUAGUUAGCUAAAAAAGUUGGUAAAUGAACUGAAGUCCACUACUCUAAAUUACUUUUACAUGACACGGUCACAGGUGACCAGCAAUCAUGCCCGCUGUCAAAGAUGUGUCACAAAUAACUUAUAGAAGGUGACGGGCAAACACCCAUCACCAAUGAUGGAUUAGAGUUGACAGGCAACACUUAACACCGGUCACCAUUCACUAGUGAUCUUUGAAUUUAAACUUUAGCUAGCCUUAGCUUGGACAUGUUCCAUCCUGGUUGAGUUGUUAUUAAUGAUAUAGUAACAUAAGGAUCUUCAUUUGCAGGAAUUUAAUUAGCCCAGCUCAUGAUCGUUGUCACAGGUGGUAAGCUGUGGGAGAAAGGAAAAAAAGCCUUGCUCGAAAAGGAAACGCAACAAACAUUUGGGUGAUUCGGACAGGCUCUCAGCAGGAUAGUCUCGAUUCCUUAAGCCAAAACUUGACUCAAUCUUAGAUAUCGUGAGCAAAUUGUUGACACAUUCUUGUAUUCCAUUAUGUCAAGUACGUUCCAGCAUUUAUAUAAAGGUUGAGCUGAUGACUUACGAGUCCUAUGUAGGGGUGAUAAAAGGGCCCUCUAAUUUAGCCUAGAAAACUUAAGGAUCGGGCUCAAUAAGGGCCGGGUCAUAAUAUUAUAUGAUUUUGAACUAAAAAUAGAUAAAGCUGAGUUGGAUUGUAAAGGAGGCAUGAGGGUCAUGAUCCAUUACCACCCCUAGUCAUAUGCACAAGAGAUUGGUUUAUGGUUACCAAGCAGGUAUUAACUACUCCCGCCGUCCUGGAAAAAACAAGUCGUUUUAGGAUUGUCCUAAGUCAAAUUUUUCUGAGUUUUGCCAAGAUAAUAGAAAAAACUACAAAUAUUUAUGGUAUGAAAUAAGUACCAUUAGAUUUAUCAUGAGAUAUAUUUUUAUAGUGUACGUAUUUAAUGCCGUAAACAUUGAUAUUUUUCUCUAUAAAUUUGAUCAAAGUUGGAAAGUUUGACUUAAGACAAACCGAGAAUGACUUGUAUUUUUGGGACAGAGGGAAUAUGCUCUAUUAAAUACAUAUAGAUCCAUACAUUUCAAUUGCAUACAAUAAACUUCAUUACUAGCGGAACCUACUAACCACAGCCGGUGAGUAUAUAUAUUCCCUCUCUUUCUUCCUCUCUGUUGCUUCGCUCAAGGUACAUCCUGUAGUAGUUCCUCUCUGUUGCCUCUAACCGGUAAAUCUAAAGAGAGACCCAGUGUAAACGAAUUUGGCACCUGUUAAAAUCCGAUUAGUACACAUUUCUUACUCUACAUAAAUACAUAUAUAUAAAUAUAUAUAUACAAAUAAAUAUCUAGCUAUCAGCUUCACUGUAAUCCUGCCCUUGGCUGCUAGCCUGCUAGUCCUGCACCACGUGGAAAGGAAUUUAUGCGUAGAAAACAUAAUCCUGUUCAUAGAUGCUAGCCUGCUACGCGUGCGCCACGCGCAAAGGAAUAGACCUAAACAAAGUGAAGGAUGCCCAGAGGGUGCUUUGUCAUCGUCCAAUGAAUCUGAACGGGAUGCAUUGCUCAGUUCUUCAGCUACUAGUGCCUAAAAUAUGAUAGUGGCAUUGCAUGGGCAUCAAGCUACAAUAAACUUGAGAUAUAUUUAUGGUUUGAAAUAAGUACCAUUAGAUUUAUGAUUUGAAAUAAGCACCAUUAGAUUUAUCUUGAGAUAUAUUUUUAUAAUGUACGUAUUUAAUGCCGUAAACAUUGAUACUUUUCUCUAUAAAUUUGAUCAAAGUUGGAAAGUUUGACUUAAGACAAACCGAGAAUGACUUGUUUUUUGGGACAGAGGGAGUGUGCUGUAUAUUAGCGUUGUAUUUUGUGGCACAUGAUAAAAAUAUAACCACAUAUGGAUCCGUUGGUACAUAUAAACCAUUGGUGCAAUCCAAGGAACAUAACUAUAUAUAGCCAUUGCUGCAUUCCAAUCAUCGUAUAUUAAAUACAUAUAGAUCCAUACAUUUCAAUUGCAUACAAUAAACUUCAUUACUAGCGGAACCUACUAACCACAGCCACACGAGCAACUGUCUCCGGAAUCGCCAACACUGCCGCAUGAUCAGCCACUGCAAUCCCAGAGUUAUGAUGCCUCGCCAAAUAUUAAAGCAAGCCAUCAAGCCUCGAUCAUAUAUACACAAUAUCCACUUCCAUUUAAUGGAACCCGUGAUCCCACCCUGGUUUUCAUGAGGCGACCAUCCCCAUGUGACAUAUACGAUUGCUAGACAAUGCCAUGCGCGGAAUAUGCACACGCCUGGUGCGUUUGAUUCGAUUCUCAGGUCAAGAUUUCUUACAAUUUCACCUACCACAUCGAUGUGAUUUUGGUAAGGAAUAUUUUUCCUUUUAAAUUCACCUGUGGAGGACCCCUUAGUAUCAGCUCGUAACAGCAACCAGUACCAAGUGGCCUGAACCGUCUAUCCACCACAAAUAUACCAGCUUAAUAAGUUAGACCUAUUACUAAUGCUAAUAUUAGUAUCAAGUCUUAUUUUAGCUGGUAUAUUUGUUGGGGAUUUAUAGUGGUUUCUAUAGUAGUGAGUCCUCGCCGGUGAGUAUAUAUAUUCCCUCUCUUUCUUCCUCUCUGUUGCUUCGCUCAAGGUACAUCCUGUAGUAGUUCCUCUCUGUUGCCUCUAACUGGUAAAUCUAAACAGAGACCUAGUGUAAACGAAUUUUGGCACCUGUUAAAAUCCGAUUAGUACACAUUUUUUACUCUAAAUACAUACAUAUAUAUAAAUAUAUAUAUACAAAUAAAUAUAUAUUGACCAGCUUUAACGCCUUGUGGAAUUGGAUCUAGCUAUCAGCUUCACUGUAAUCCUGCCCUUGGCUGCUAGCCUGCUACUCCUGCACCACGUGGAAAGGAAUUUAUGCGUAGAAAACAUAAUCCUGUUCAUAGCUGCUAGCCUGCUACGCGUGCGCCACGCGCAAAGGAAUAGACCUAAACAAAGUGAAGGAUGCCCAGAGGGUGCUUUGUCAUCGUGCAAUGAAUCUGAACGGGAUGCAUUGCUCGGUUCUUCAGCUACUAGUGCCUAAAAUAUGAUAGUGGCAUUGCAUGAGCAUCAAGCUAGUAGGGUGACUGAGCUGAGUGAGCACAGGUACCUUGGUGCCAACGGUGAACAGUAAUGCCAAGGCCAUGCACACUUCAGGUGUCGCGGUAAUAAACAACAACUAUUUGAUCGAAAAGAAACCAAUCGGGAAUCUUGGAGAUUUUGUAGUAGUGUUCGAUGUCUUCUAGCGGCUUAUCUCCUAAGCUGAACAUUCCAUCAUCUUAGCAAGUAGAAGCUGAGAGGGAUUUACACCUACCGCUACACGGAGUGUCUUCCAGGAUUCUCGAGUAUAUUUUUUUUAUUGCCAAUGACCAUAUAGCUUGCCUCCUCUAGGAAUUUCUUUAAUAGGCAAGGGUUUUACCUCUAUGAGAUGUCCCUAUCUGAGUACAAAAACCUCGACCACUUAGAAAAUGAUGAACAAAGACAGCAGUCGUUGGUGUCCGAAGAAAAAUAAAUUAAAGAUGCAUUUUUAGAAAUUUUAAACUUCUUGUACCUUUGGACUGGCUCGAUGGUCAUAUUUUCUAAGUACAAGUUUAUGUGACAACUUAUGAAUUCGUUCAAAAAUACAUGUUCGAAUUUGUCAACCAUAGCACCCACUAUCAGCUUGAUGAGAACCGGUUAUGAUCUUCAGAUAACUUGCUGCAGAUAGCAAUAAUUACUGCAACCUGGCAAAUAAAACUUAAAGAAAACCACAAUCUUUAAUCUGCAACUUGAGAAUCAAGGGUUCAUCUAAUCACACUCCCACAGAACCAACCAACACAACCUUGAAUAAAACGGACCUGGAUCACCAAUUGGAGCUGAUGAAGAGGCCACUUUUGUAAUCGCUCAAGAAAAUUAGAACUGCAAAGGUUGUAAUGGACGAUAAAAAUCUUGUUAACUAGCUUUGAUAAAAGGAUUAUUUAUACUAGUAACAACCUUCCUAGACUGGUGUAAAUGGACCUUGGAGUUUUUUAGUAAUAGUAGCUCAAAAGUCACAGCAAAAACUACUAUACAAUCCUAUAGCACCGCCGGCCCCCGACUCCCCAUCACUGCCGGUUUCGGAUCAAUCAUUUGAAAUUCGGCUGUGACGGGGCGUCGGUGUUUAGACCCAGCAACUUACCAAGGGGAUACCCGAUGUAGUGUUUUAUGUGUGGGCCUUGGCGAUAUCAGGAACUCGAAGCUCAACUCAAACACACGAUUUAGACAGGUUCGUGCUGCUUAUGGCAUGUAAUACCCUACGUCAUGUCUAUUGGUUAGAUUGUAUUGAUUGAAGUUGUUUUAAGGGGGUCCCUGCCUCGCCUUACAUUGCUGGGGGUAGGGUUACAGGUCGGUUGUUUACAAGAAUACUAGUCGGAUUUGACUAGAGAGUCCUACUCUAAUUGCUAUGAGCAGUUUCCUAAUCCUUGACUAGUUCUUGUCCUCCAUGAAAACCACGUCAUCAUGCACCGUAGUCUCCAUGUCUGACACAUCUCGGUGUACAGCUCCGUAUUGUAGGACUUGUCCAACCCUCCCGGUGGGCCCAUAGAUGUAUGGCCGACAAGCCCCCGAGUACUUUUUGGUAAAAUGUAGCAGUACCGAGUACCCGUUCAUCUUCCACACUGUAGCCCUCGCGGUGCUGCUUGCCAUUCUUGAGUUCGAGUACCAUCCUUUCCCACUGCCUAGCCCCCGUGCUUAUGCGCAAGAAGACCCUUGCGACAAUGGGAAACAAAGCAUCCUCCAGCAAGGCGGUGGAGACCAAGAAAAGGAAGGCCAUCAAGAAGGAGAAGGAAAUCCAGCUACCCGCGCUCGAGCCGCUGCCUAGCCACCGCCACUCCCGCGCAUGUUCACACCCGCACCAACUGCUCGUGCUCCCCGUCACCGCCAACCAUUUCUGGCACCGCCACCCGCGCCUCCCGCGCCACGUCAAAGCCUCCCGUGCGCUGCGCCGGCUAUGCCCCUGCCGCCGCUUGUGCGCCGCCACCGCCGAGGCCCAUUUGCCGCCGCCCACGUCCUUGGCCCGGUCGCCUCUACCGCCGGGCCUGGCCGCCGCCGAACGCAUUCCAUCCACCGGCCACGAGAUUGACCGGAUGGAAGGAGGUUGAAGAUGAUAAGGUCGUUUGCAAUUUAGCCCUCGGAGAAAGUUGUAAUCUCACGAUCCAAUCCAGUUCUAUGUUUUACCAUGUUUAAGCCCUCAGUUUUCGCAAAUAGGCCCCUAGAAGCUUAGUUUUCUCUCAGUUAAGCUCUUGCACCUUGUUUAGAUCAUAUCUUUCACGUUUUUGCUCCGUUUUGAGUUAUUCUGUAACACCCAAAAUCUCCAACCUUGCAUUUUACUAAAAUUUGCUAGAAACAAUUUUGCUUGUUUAAGGCAUAUAAGGUCGUUUUGCAUUUUUUAUGCAUUAAAAGCAUUUUCUAAAUGAAUUAAUGAAAUAUAGGAAUUUAAUUGAGCAUUCAUGCUGCUGCAUACUGUUCUUCUUGAUUGCUGAUGUCAAGUUGUGUUUUGGCUUUCAGUUGCUUGCUCCUUUCUCUUUCUGUUAGUUCAGUUGCUUGUCCAGGUUUUCUUCAGUUUCAGUUCAGUGCUGUGUCCGGUUUCAGAAAGUUCAGUUUCAGCUUUUGGUCUUCUUUCUGUCAGUAGGAGCUCCUGUCCAGUUUCAGAGUUGAUCAGGUUCAGUUAGCGUUGCUCUGCUGGGCGCUUCUGUUUUCAGACGUGCAGCAGCUGCUAGCUGCGUUUCGCAGCAAGCACCGGCUCCGGCACUUUGUGGCCCGCUUAAUCCGUCGCAGCGGCCUGCGACUCAUUUCUUUGCUCUGGCCCAGCUCCGUUCCUUUUCCCCGCAGUGGCCCAGCUAGCAAGCAGCAGUGCAGCGCCAGCUUCCUUUUCCAGCCCAGCUAGUGGCCAGGCUGUUUCCGCAUGGCACCGCUUUUUCCCCUGGCGAUCGGCACGCAGCCCAGCUUCGCUUCUCCCUCGCUCGGCCCAGCUGCUCCUCUCCUGCACGCCGCAGCUUCUCUCUGGUCGCUGGGGCCCGCACGUCAUCUUCUCCACUCGCACGCCUGACUUCCUUCCGCGAGCGCCACUUUUGCCAGCCAUCGGAUCGCCAUCCGACGGUCCGCGUCGAGUCGAUCUGGAGCAUACCGGUCAACAGCCGUGCUUUUGCAUUUUAGCCCCUGCGAUUUCUGCGUUUUGCGCCGCUGUCCUCCUGCAGUUCAAAACUAUUUAAAAUCAGAUCCCUGUAAUCUCAGUUUUCUCGAAGUCUGCAUCUUGUUUUAAGCGCAGUUUUUGUAUCUUAGCUCCGUUUUUAAUGUUCUUUAUAUUCGCGUGUUUGUUUUAAUGCGUAGAAUAGUUUUGUAAGCUUGUUUUCUCUGAUUGGUGUACUGUUUUCUUAUGUAUUGCAUUUGUUUUCUUGUAUGUGCUUGUGUGGCGUGUAGACGGUCAACAGUUCGAGGGAUUUGAAGAUCAAACUUUCGAGGAGUAGGAACAACAAGAGCAAGGUCAAGAAGGCAAGUCGUGUCCUUGAUCACUUCUUUGAUUCCUAUUCACCUUUACUUUCAUGUUCUAUACAAUAUUGCCUUGAUCACUUCUUUAAGUCCUAUUCACCUUUACUUUCAUGUUCUAUACAAUAUUGUCGUGCACAGUAUAGUUUAAACUUGAUGGGUCCCAAUUAAGGAUGUCCUAGAUUUAUUUACCUUUGCUUUGACCAACCAGGUUAAAUUUAUGUUGGGUAGCUCAUACUUAGUGCUCAAACAUGGUUAUGGUGGUUUAAUCUGAAACAUUAUUAAUUUGGUAUUAUUUGCUAUACCUCUCAUUAAUUCAAGAUCACAAAUGUUAAAUUGAACAUGGAGAACCACCCAGGAAAAUAGUGCUACCACAAGAUGAUAAGGUCGUUUGCAGUUUAGCCCUCGGAGAAAGUUGUAAUCUCACGAUCCAAUCCAGUUCUAUGUUUUACCAUGUUUAAGCCCUCAAUUUUCGCAGAUAGGCCCCUGGAAGCUUAGUUUUCUCUGAGUUAAGCCCUUGCAUCUUGUUUAGAUCAUAUCUUUCACGUUUUAGCUCCGUUUUGAGUGAUUCUUUCGCUCACGUGUUUGUCUUAACAUUUAGAUAUUCUUUGUACUUUUUUUCAGUACUGUUAGUGAUGUUUGGUGUACUAUUUUUAAUUUAAUUUAUUUAUUUGCUUGUAUGUGCUUGCUUUGGAUGUUUGCUUUGGAUGAUUGUCAUGAGUAGAACGAACACACUUUGAGGACAUUCAAGAGUAAGGAGAUGGAAACAUUCUAAGCAGCAGUUGUACUGUGGAUAAAUGCAAGUUGUGUCCAUGAUCACAUUAUAUCCUAUACAACAUUUAUAUAUGAAACAUAUGCUAUGCACGCUUGAGUCUUAAUUUGAUGGGUCCUGAUUAAGAAUUUACCUAUUUCCAUAUUAUACCACAUCAACCAGGGUUUUACUUUAUUGUUGGGUAGCUACGCUAGUUGCUAUACCUGGGUGGGAAGUAAUGAACAACGAUGAACCUGAUUUAUUUUUUGUUAUGCAGCUUUGUUAAUUGCAACCACUCACAUGCCUUAAUUGGAACAUGGAGUGAUGACCCAAGAAAACCGUACAAUCAUAAGAUCUAUGGGCUUUGAUCUUGGCUAAUUAAUUAGAGACUCUAGUUUGUGAUAGUCUUACCAGAAAGGCAAGAGGGGCUACUAACUCUAGUAGCACUAGUAGAGAAUUGGCCUUUAGUCCCGGUUGGUAGGAUGCAUAUCUCCCGAAAAUCCAUCCGGGAUAAACCAACCGGGAUGAAAGGGGGGGUCUUUAGUCCCGGGUCUUUCAACCGGGAGUAAAGGUCACCCUUUAGUCCCGGUUGGUGUCUGCCAUGCCAGGCGCGGGACAGGCUCUUUACUCCCAGUUGGUAAAAGCAACCGGGAGUAAAGGGUGCCCCUUAGUCCCGGUUGGAUUUCCCAACCGAGACUAAAUGACGCCUUGCAUGACACCCUGCGUGGCGCCUGAAAUUUUCAUGGAUGCAUCACGUACGUAGUACCGCGGCCCUUUUGUUAACCUUUAGUAGUUGAGAUUUUUUUUAGAAUGAAAUCAACUAGUAUUUAAACGAAUGAAAUUUGUAAUUAUACAAUUACUAUAUAUACAUAAUUCAUAUACACAAUUCAACUAGUACAAAUCGAUCAUAAUUAGCGCGUAUUAUAUAUACAAAUAAAUCAAACUAUAUAUCUACAAUCAUUCUGUCGAGGUGUUGCUGCUCGGAGCAUCGAAUUGUCGUCCAUCGUAAUAAAAUUCUCCUUUUAGAUUUACCACCUCGUCCAUUAGGAAUCCAAUGAGACCUUCACAUAUUGCCGCUACUCUUUCUUCCUUCAAGAGUCCUUGUUGAAUAUUUAACAUCUAUAAUUUGGAAAUUUGUGAAUGUUACACGAACAAAUAAAUAUAAGGAGCUAGAAAAUAAUUAACUAGUAAUAGUUUUAUUUUACGUACUUUAAAGUUGUGCGGCGUCAUCUUUAGUCCCUUGGGUCCCAUAAAACUGUGCAUGUGCUCACGGAUGUAGUAGCCACAUAGAUUAUUCCCGGGUUCCUGUCUUAAGCACUUUAGUGCGAAAAAAAAUAAGUUAUGAAAUAUUCGUGUUAUACAAUGUAAAAAAUGUGCAGACUUCAUACGUACCGGGAAGUCUGCGUUCCAUGUAAGUUUUUCUUUGAAUGGACCUUUGUGUGUCCUUAUGAAUUGUUUCCAUGCGCUACGGAUUAGAAUAAUGAAUGAUAUAGUGUAAUAGGGAUAAAAUUUAGGAAACAAACUUUUGCAUAGAGAUAAAAGUCCAGACUUAUUACAAGCCUAGCAUGUCUUGCAUGUCUUGGUACUCCAACGGAUCUUUCCUCAACGAAUCGAAGACAGUGACGUGGCUUCUUUCAGGCUCAAUUAUAAUAAGGAUCCAGUGGAAGCUGCGUACGUAAAAUGUUCAUGCAUAUUAGAGCUAACUAACAUGUAGAGAUAAGGAAAAAGACAACGAAAGUAGACGAUAUACACACACUUACUUGAAGUUGUAUGGAAGUAGUAUGAAAUCCUUGAAUGUUUGUUUGUCUAGGAAAUUGUAUACUUCCACCAAGGUUUUUUCCGGCUCUAAUUGUAUCUAUUUUUGGUUAACUACAGAUGGAUCCAUGAAGCCUAUAUGUAGCAUCCUACAUAAAAUGGAAGACGAAGUUAGCACGGUGACGCACGCCAAAAUUUACAUGUAGAGAUAAACAGACACUUACAGAACCCAAGCGCUGAUCAGAGAGACGUCCAGGGCAUCAUGAUGGUACACUUCGUAUAUAUCCUUGAAGUCUAGCCACAACACUUUCUCGCCUUCGCCGUAAAAAUCUAUCGGUUUUACCUUCAGGCUGAACAUCUCCCUCGAGUCGGCGGAUGCCAUCAUGUAUCAUUGAUGGAAUGUGUACAUCUUUGUUGAUAGCUUCCGUACCAACGAAGGCCUUAUAAGAGGUUUGCCUAGCUCAUAAGGCCAUCUCGGCUCAGGGGGCGGUGCAGUUAGCGUCUCAACUUGUCCUAAGCAUUCAUCAAGUCCCAGACCUGUUUCUUGCAUGAAUUUUAAUACUUCUGCUUGUUGAUCCAAAGGCAUUGCUGCUACCCUUUGAGCGUCUUUUUUUGAUAAAUGGUUGAGGUCGGGGACAACACCACUGGAAGAUGACUUUCCUUUCCUUUUGUCCUUUUCAUCAGCCUUUACUAAAGCCCGUUCAUAGUUUGAUAAGAGUGGUAUCCUUUUCUUGGCUCCUUCUUCCAUCCUGAUAAAAAAGUUUAAAUCUCUUCGAUUUACUGGUGGUGGCUCCAUCUCCCUUGCUUUUUUUCUUCUGCUUGUUUCUUGAACCACUCACUGGCCUCUCAUUGGAUUUCUGCCCACUGUUCCGCAUGAGUCAUUGCCUCCCAGCGUUCCUUACGAGUCACUUCAGGAUCAUUUGUUUUCUUCUUUCUCUGUCUUUGCUUGGGAGGCGGUGCUCGUGACUUCUUUAGUGGUGCUGCAGGUUCCUUCAUGGGGGCUGCUCUUGGUGCCGGUGACGGUGAUCGGGGAGGGGUGUUGUUAUUGUCGUCGUCGCUCCCACCACCAGGAUGUGGUCGAGAUGGAGACCUUGAUAUAGCAGGAAGCGACGGUCCUGGAGUAGGUUGUGCAGGAGAUGACGGUCUUGAGCUAUGAGGAGAAGGUCACUUCUAGGGAUCUACGAGGAGCGGUCUUGAGCUCUGAGGAGAUGGCUCCGUGCCGGGAAUAAUGAUGUAGCGUUUUCGCCAUAGAAUGAUCCCAUGAAGCGCAUCUGCCAGUGUAUUUUCCCCGUCGCCUCCCGGAAGGUCGAGCUCUAGGCCUUCAUAUUGGCUAUCAACAAUUUGCUCUACGCGGACGCUGGUGUAGCCAGGUGGAAUCUCCAUGCCAUGACUGCUCUGCCCCGCCAGGGUUGCUAACGCACUCCCGUACGCUACCUGUACAUAUAGCAGAAAUAAACAAGUUAUUAAAGUCCGAUCACGAGGCGUGGAUCAAUUGACAAGAUUGCAUAAAUAUUAUGUAUAAGUAUACCUUAAUAGUGAGGUUGCCGACCGGUGCAUGCAGCUCACAUGUGGUGCGUUGUGUGAUGGCAUCCACGGGGAACCGUCGCUCCUCCACGGGUAACUUGGGCGUCUGCGCAUCGGGGACCCCUGUAGAAGCACAACUGCUCAAGAGGCUUUGAGAAGGGCUGGCGUAGUUUGGAUUCGGCAAUGCUCCAGAUUGGGCCAACUCCGCAACUACGUGGGCCACUCGACGAUUGAUUUCCUCCAACAUUCUUUGUUCUUGUGCCUGCACUUUGGAUUCUAGCAUCUGCCGCCAGCUCUCCUCGAUCUAUUCCUUUCUUCGCUUGCGGCUUCUGUACGAUGCGCUGUCACCUCGGAAAGCAAACUUCCAUGGAAUGACCCCGAACCCUCAGCAACGUCCUGGGUGCUCGAGAUUACUGAGGGCCAAUGUGAGCUCAUCAUUCUCUCGGUCUUCCUUCAACCUCCCAACCCUAGAAUCUAUAAUGUUCUUCAUAAGACGUUCGGCCUUCUCACGUAUUGUGUCAUUGAAAAUCAACGUCCCAUCCUCUUGGCUUAGGGAGCCUCCAUGAGCGUAAUAUCAAUUUUUUGAUUGUUCGGGCCAUUCAAUAGUUGCAGGUACAAUUCCCCAUUCGAUCAGAUCUUGUUCCAUCUUCCUCCAUUUGGGAAUUGCUGUGCCAUAACCACCUCGCCCAAGAUGAUGAUGGUAGCCCUUCUGACUAGCAUUUGUAGUGUUGGUUAGGAUUUUUUUCACACCGUCUUCACUCCUCUUAUAUUCAACGAAUGCCUCCUAGUGGUCCCUCAACUUUGGCCACGCGUUGAAGUCUGGAGUUCGGCCCUUCUUAAUGUAGUGGGCAUCCAGCAUCUUCUUUAAUGUCUAGAAUUGUGUAGCCAUCUUCUUCAGCGUCCACGCUUUCACAUCCUUUUCAAUAUAUCCUUCAGGGAAUGUGAAAUGUCUCUUGACGCCUUCCCACAGCAUAUUCUUUUCUAUCUCCGGGAGGGCGUACGGAUUAGUGCUUCUGCCCUUCCAUUCUCUGAUGCUGAUAGGCAUGUUGUCCCGGACGAUUGCCCCGAUCUGACUCACGUACUUCUUUGCUACUUUCUCGGGAGGAACCGGUCUGCCCUCUUUUGUCACUUCCGUGAUGACAAGUCUCCCUUCCAUCACCUUUGUACGACCUUGGGUCUUCUGCCCUUGCGUCGAUCCAGAGGGCUAACAGUUCAAGACUCAUUAAUUAGUACGUAGUAGUAACACUGGCGUGAAACAAUACAAGAUUCGUUAUAUAUACCUCGCCGGAACCUUCCGCCACGGCAAGGUGUUGCUAGGGCUGAUGCUCUUCAUUCAUAUCGGUGGACAUGUUGAGGAACAUGUCCUCCUAGGUGCCCUUUUCAUCGGUGUACGAUAGUGGAAGGUUGUCGCCACUACCAUCACCAGCGAUUAUCUGCUCCAUGAGAUACCUUGCGGUCUCGUCGUUUGCCAUUUCAACUAUUGAUUGAAACAUACAUGGAGUCAUACAUGACAGUCAUAGAAAUCGCCUUAGUUAUAUGUACAUAAGGGUAUAUACAUGAAAUCAUAAAAUAACAUGAAUCCCACAAAGUCCGGAAUGUUUAUACAAAUUUCAACAAAUUAGUAGUACUUUGUACGAAUUUCUACCAAAUUUCUACUAAUUUAUACAUAUUUAUUGGAAUUUCUAGCAAAUUACUACUAAUUCCUACUAAUUUUACAAUAACAUGAAUCCCACAAAGUCCGGAAUGUUUAUACAAAUUUCAACAAAUUAGUAGUACUGUGUACGAAUUUCUACCAAAUUUCUACUAAUUUAUACAUAUUUAUUGGAAUUUCUAGAAAAUUACUACUAAUUCCUACUAAUUUGAUUUUCUAACUAAUAUACAAAUAUCUAUUGAUUUUAUAACUAAUUCGUUCCCGGCGCCAGUGCUGGCGGACCACGUGCGGUCGACGGUGCCUAGGUUGGGACGGUGGCGGCCGAGGCAGAAAGAUGGCGGAGGCGGGGACGGAGCAAGGUGGCCGCGAAAACGAUUAAUUUCUAACCUAGGCAGAGGCGAGGACGGACGUCUCUGGAAUUAGCCACCGUCUCCUAUGCGAAGGAAUGAACCACGAUGAAACACGAUUAAUUUCUAACCUAGGCGAAGCGACUAACUAAUUACUACUAAUUACUACUAAUUUCGACUAAUUUGAUUUUCCAACACAUAUACAAAUAUCUAUUGAUUUUGUAACUAAUUACUACUCAUUUCUAUUUAUUUUCUAACUAAAAAAAAGGCCCUUGUUGACGCAAGCCGGUGGGCUUGCGUCAGCAAGAGCGGUACUCCCGACGCCUGUGCUGGCGGACCUCGCGCGGUCGACGGUGGCCGGGGCGACGGGACGGCGGCGGCCAGGGCGGUGGGAUGGCGGAGGCAAGGACGCAGCGAAGCAAAUGCCGGGCGGAGGUGGCCGGCGAUGAGGGGGGACGAGGUGGCGCGCGCGACAGAGGCGGUGACGAGGACGGAGGCGGUGACGAUGCCCCGCGAUGGAGGCGACCGACGGCGACGAGGUCGAGGGGGCGCGACCGAGGAGGAUUGAGGCGGGCCGGGGCGAUGGAGGAGGAGGCUGUCUGGGCGCGGGCGAGGCGGUCGGGCGGCAGGACGACGAUGGCUAGGGCAAUGGGGGAUGACGACGAUGACGGCCGGCGAGGGAGACGGACGGGCGGCGACGGAGCAGAGCACGGGAUUUUGGCAAAAUUUUGGCUAAGUGUAACUGGCGUGGGGGGUAGAAGAGGCUACAGUCCCUUUUAUCCCCCCCUUUUAUCCCGGUUCGUAAUGCCACCCGGGACUAAAGGACCUUUUGCCCCGAGUCCCAUUACCAACCGGGAUAAAAGCCCACCCUCUUUUAUCCCGGUUGGUGAUGGGACCAGGGACAAAAGGGUACGUCCACCAGGCGGGACUCAGAGCCUACUCUUUUAUCCUGGGUGCCACUACCCCCCUUUUAUCCCGGUUGCCAACUGUAACCGGGAUAAAAGGGUACGUCCCGGCGGGAGGCAAAAACUACCCUUUUAUCCCAGUUGCAGCAGUUUGCAACCGGGAUAAAAGGAGGGGCCUUUUGUCCCGGUUGGUGUUGGCACCCGGGACAAAAGGACCUUUUCCCAUUUUUCGUCUCCCGCCUAUUUUUUGGAAAUGGAUUUUAUUAAUGUUUUCAUUGCAUCUCAGGAUGAAAAACAAAAACCUUCACAUAUUUUGUACAUGCAAAAAUAUAUUUAAUUAGCGAGGUUAUUGACAAUAAGUGUGAUUUAGUCAUUAAUUCUAUACGAGUUCAUUUAGCCUCUAAAAUAUUUAUUUUAGAGCAUCGCUGUGAUCAAGAAAUUAUUCAAUUAAAUAAUUUCAACGCGCAAGGUCAUGUAUAUAUGUGGUUAACAUUGUUCAUGUUUAUCUAAUAAAUCUUCACCUAACAAAUUUAAGAACACAUGAAAUCAUACAUAGGGUAAAUUAAAAAUUGUAUCAACUACUACACAAAGGUCAUGUAAAUUUAGCGCAUUACAAUACAACAUUGUAAAAUUUCUUCUUCACGAAAGUUCCUUGAUCAUGAUCGCGGUGUAAGUACGGAGCCUCUUCUUUGGAUAGCAGGAUGCUUGGAUCAACUUCAACUACGAAUGGAGGCAUGCCAUCAAACUGAUCAUAAUCAUCUGAUUGGUCUAUUUUAUACUCGACUCCCACGAUUUUUCUUUUACCUGGAAGAACUAUGUGGCACUUUGGCUCCCAUGUCUCUUCUGGAUUUCUCUUGGGUUUGCUGCACAUGUCCUUCACAUAGAACACCUGAUGCACAUCAUUGGCAAGUACGAAUGGGUCAUCACUGUAUCCAGUCUUGCUCAGAUCUACUAUUGCCAUUCCGUACUGAUCUUUGGUGACGGCAGUUAGAUUCACCCAAUUGCAAAGAAAUAGAGGGAUGUACAGCGGUCCGUAUUCGAGUUCCCAUAUCUCCUGUAUGAAACCAUAAUACGACUCCUUGCUAUUAUUUCUAUCCAUGGCAUCUAUGCAGACACCACUAUUCUGGUUCGUGCUUUUCUAGUCUUGGGCUCUCGUGUAAAAUGUAUAACCAUUUAUCUCAUAGCCUUGGAAUUUCACGAUUGUGCUAGCAGGUCCCCUGGCUAACUAGGCAAACUGUGGGUGAAUCUCAGAGUUACCCAUAAGUUGUUGGCACAACCAGGAGGGAAAACUUUCCAUGUGAUGAUGGGUAAGCCAAGCAUCGGAUUUGGUCGGGUUUUUGAAAACUACCAUCUGCCUGUGCUGCUCGAUAUACGGAGACACAAAGGAUGACUGUUGUAGAACAGGGUAGUGUGCCUUGUCGAACAAAUCAGUAUCAUUGCUGAAACUUAAUUUCCUUCCAAGGGUGCCCAUUCCUCGGAGCCUCCCCUCGUGGCAUGAAGUUGGAACCCUAAUUGAGUCAAUUGAAUCAAUAAAAUCAACACAAAACUCGAUCACCUCCUCUGUUCCACAUCCCUUGGCGAUGCUUCCUUCUGGACUGGCAUGAUUAAGAACAUAGUUUUUUUAGGACUGCCAUGAACCUCUCGAAGGGCCACAUAUUGUGCAGGUAUACAGGUCCGAGAAUACCAAUCUCUUUUACUAGGUGAACCAGUAAGUGCGUCAUAAUAUUGAAGAAGGAUGGUGGAAAUAACAACUCAAAACUGACAAGACAUUGCACCACAUCGUUCUGUAGCUUUGAUAGCUUGGAUGGAUCGAUUGCCUUCUGCGAAAUCGCAUUAAGAAACGCGCAUAGCUUUACGAGCGGCAACCGGACAUUUUCUGGUAGAACACCCCUUAGUGCAACUGGAAGCAACUAGGUCAUCAACAUGUGGCAGUCAUGGGCCUUGAGAUUUGUAAACUUCUUUUGUUUCAUAUUUAUUAUUCCCUUUAUAUUCGAGGAGUACCCAGAUGGGACCUUCAUACUAUUCAAGCAUUCAAACAUGCUAUCCUUCUCUUCCUUGCUGAGAGUGUAACUGGCAGGAUGUAAGUACUGUUGUUCAUUAUCUCGCUUUUUCGGAUGUAGGUCAUCUCGUUGCCCCAUGGCUUUCAGGUCCUGUUGUACUUCCAAUGUAUCUUUCGAGGUCCUAUAAACACCCAUGAAGCCUAGCACGUUCACGCAAAGAUUCUUCGUCAGGUGCAUCACAUCUAUUGCAUUGCGAACCUCUAGGAUUUCUCAAUAAGGUAGCUCCCAAAAUAUUGACUUUUUCUUCCACAUGGGUGCAUGUCCGUUAUCAUCGUUCGGAACAGGUUGGCUACCAAGACCCUUUCCAAAGACUACAUUUACAUCCUUCAUCAUCUCGAAGACACGCUUUCCAUUACAGUGUGCAGGUUUUUUACGAUGGUCUAGCGCCCCUUUGAAAUGCAUCGCGCUCUUUCUCAGCUGGUGGUGAGCAGGGAGAAAUCGAUGAUGACCCAUAUAGACGACCUUCUUACAGUACUUCAAAUACAUGCUGUCUGUGUCGUCUAAACAGUGGGUGCAUGCCCGAUAUCCCUUAUUUGUCUGUCCUGAAAGGUUACUCAGUGCAGGACAAUCAUUGAUGGUUACGAACAACAAUGCUCGUAGAUUAAAGAUCUGUUGUCUAUCCUCAUCUCACACACGUACACCUUCUUCCUUCCAGAGCUGUAAAAGGUCAUCAACCAAUGGUCUUAGGUACAUCAAUGUCGUUGCCGAGUUAUUUUGGGCCUUGGAUAAGCGCUGGCAUCAUAAUGAACUUCCGCUUCAUGCACAGCGAAGGAGGAAGGUUGAACAUACAUAGGGUCACAGGCCAAGUACUAUGGCCACUACUCAACUCACCGAAUGGAUUGAAUCCAUCAGUACUUAAACCAAACCUUAUGUUCCUUGCUUCACUUUCAAAGUCCGGGAAUGCUCUAUCAAUUGAUCUCCACUGGGCCCCAUCUGCGGGGUGUCUCAGCAUCUCAUCUUUCAUACGUUCUUAUUUGUGCCAUCGCAUCAACUUAGCAUUCACCUUGUUCCUGAACAAGCGCUUUAAGCAUGGUAUUAUAGGGAAAUACCACAUCACCUUCGCGGGAACUCUCUUCUUGGGAGACUGCCCCUCGACAUCACCAUGAUCAUCUCGCCUGAUCUUAUACCGCAGCGCUUCGCAGACAGGACAAGCAUCCAAUUUCUCGUAUUCAUCACCACGAUAGAGGAUACAGUCAUUAGGGCAUGCGUGUAUCUUCUGAACAUCCAAUCCGAGAGGGCAAAUAGUCUGUUUAGCUUCAUAUGUUGUGGACGGUAAUUCAUUAUUCUCGGGAAGAAUCUUCUUGAUAAUGUUCAACAUCCCCUAAAAUGCCUUAUCGGACACACCAUUUUUUGCCUUCCAUUGCACAAAUUCUAGUGUCGUAUCUAGUUUUUUAUGGCCCUGCUGGCAACCUGGGUACAACAAUUUUUGGUGAUCAUCUAUCAUGCGCUGCAACAUUGCUGCUUCCUUCUUAGUUUCGUAGCACUUAGCAGAGUCCUGUGUUUUUAAUAAACAGUCGCUACCCCCUGGUAUGUGCCGCUUUCCUAAUCAAAAGAUAGGAGAGCACCCCUUCUCCCGAAGUUACGGGGUCAUUUUGCCGAGUUCCUUCGACAUGGUUCUCUCGACGCGCCCUAGUAUACUCUACUUGUUCACCUGUGUCGGUUUGGGGUACGGUCAGUUCACCGGGAGGAUCGCCCUCCCAAUUCGAAGUUUUUUCCUGGAAGUUUCAACCGUCGUUGACUAUGACAAUAGUCGUGACCGACUAUUAAGAUCCUUGCGACUAUGGCAGGGCGGUACACUCUGCUCUCUCGCGACCUCUACUCUAAUCAAAAGACUAAAGGCUCCUACGGAAGAUGAAAAAGGCGAGGACUGAAAUGAGAAAGGAAGGAGUUCGGCAAGACGACUUCGGUUCACACGUGAAAGUGCUUCGAAAGGUGUCAGCAGGUGCGCAGAGCUGGAGCCGGCAUGUUCGCCCGCUGGGCCGAGUGUUCACCCACUUCAAAGUCUUCUUAGAGAGUCGAUCCGUGUCCGUCCCAGCAAGAAAACGGCUGCGCGUUAUUGUACUAACGCGCGAUGGAGCAAGAAAACGUAUGCGCGUGUACGGAAGCGCAACGGCUUUCGCGCUCAUCCCUUGCUUCAAAACUAAAGGUUUUAGCCCUCCGUUUGCUGGUCGCCAAAGACGAGAGCUUCGCCUUUGGAAGCGCCAGUAGCGUAGGGCGACCGGGCCAGCCGAGCCCCUCUGAAUUAGUUGACGGCUUUGAUGACUCGACGGUGAAUAUUAAGGAAAGGAGAGCGAGGGGAAGAGGGGUUUUAAAAACCCUUGGCCCGAUCAUCCAAUUCGCUCCGACGAUCCAGGCAUGGUUCAGUAGUCAAAGCAACUUCGUCACUUUCAUGUACCCAUCGGACGGCAGCCCUUUCGGGGGUUCCUUAGGGACCGAUUCACUCUGCGUAGAUUGACUGAAUGCAGAAAGCCUUCCACUGGCAGGCGAUCGUGUUUUUCACAGGAUUUCUUGUGUACAAUACAACAACAUGAAGAUCCAAAUACACAUAUUUAAAUUAAAGAUCCAAACAACAUGAUACAAUACAACAAGCCAUCCACUGGUUAUUAUCUAGGAGGACUUUAAGCAUCCUUGGGCGGUGAAGACGAAGGUUCCACUCACCCAGCCUCAUCCUUAGGUUUAUUUGUGUCGUCUGAAACGGUAGUACUAAGUGGACGUGAAACACCCAGGACUGAGGGUGGAGCAUAACGACCACCAAAAGGAGGUUCCUGACCCGCGGCAACAGCUUCUUCAUGACGUUGCUGCAAAUAACGAAGCAUUGCUUUUUCCAGCGCGCUCUUUUUCUUCGGCUUAUGCUGAGGGCCAACUAUGAUUGGAACCUUGCCAUAAUAGGAACCACGAUCGCCCCCACCAUCGCCACUUCCUCUAGUAGCAGAAGCCAUCUAUGUACAAAAAUUAUUAUCUUAACACUGCAUAAGUUGUUCAACUUGAAGACCGUGAUCAUCUCGCGAGGAUGUCCUCAACUGGGCGGCACCGCACUGCGUCAUGAAAGAGGUUAUAUGCUACGGAAAAGGGGACAUGGUCACGAUGUCCGUAUCCACUCUUUCUCGUAGAAUCGAACCUCCUUCUUGACAUACGUUGCUGCUCGGCGGAAAACAUCCUCGGAGAGAUGAACACGGUAUGCAAGUUCAACAAGUAGCAGAAGUCAUCUAUGUACAAAAAUUCUUUCCUUACCACUACAGAAGUUGUUGAACUUGAAGACCGUGAUCAAUUCGCGAGGAUGUCCUCAGCUGGGCGGCACCGUACUUCGUCAUGAAAGAGGUUAGAUGCUACGGAAAAGGGGACACGGUCACGAUGUCCGUAUCCACUCUUUCUCGUAGAAUCGAACCUCCUUCUUGACAUACGUUGUUGCUCGGCGGAGAACAUCCUCGCCGAGAUGAACACGGUAUGCAAGUUUAACAAGUAUGGAUUUGAAAAAUCUUAUUGAAUUUGAUAAGAUAAACCAUCUAGACAAGGUAGCAUCAUUCUUAAACCACUGCAAGAAUACAUACUAUAUAUGACACAUCAAUCUCCCUCACAUUCUAGCUCAAAAUACCUCUCCAUUUCUACUUUAUCACAUUGUAGCAAUUAAUCUUUCCAUCUCCAAAGCAUAAAUCAAAGUAUAACACAAGGAUGAAGUAGCAAACCUUCACAACACUUGUGUUGGCUAAGUGAAAUUCCCACGAAAAUGAGGGAAAAAACUUCGGGCAGCACCUCCCUUGCUUUGACACCACCGGAGAGUAGGUGAAGCUCAACUCUCUGUCUAUGUGCUGGACUGACUCGGGCCUGAGGAAGAAGAAAGGCCUCUGUCUUGGUAUAUAAUUGGGAUGAGUUUUUAUCCUGGUUAAAAACUCCAACCGAGACAAAAAGGAACACCUUUUGUCCCGGUUGAAAGUUUAGUCCCGGUUGGAGGGACUAAAGGGUGUCCCUUUUGUCCCGGUUGGAAGCUGCAACUGGGACUAAACUUGACCUUUUAUCCCGGUUGAAGCCUCCAACUGGGACAAAAGGGUGCCACCACCGACACCCCGGAACUAGCCGUUGCAACCGGGACUAAAGGGGGGCCUUUAGUCCCGGUUGCAAAUACCAACCGGGACUAACUCUACCCUCCAUUUUUGCCUACCGUGGCGCACCCCUUUUGUCCCGGGCCAACUUUAAACCGGGACAAAAUGGGGCGCAUCGAAAGCCAACUUCCCUUCUUAAAAAACAAAACUAAUUGUUGAGAAACUCAAUUUAUGCAGCAUUUAACUUUUAAGCCGAUCUGAGCUAACAUGGUUUUGUUCAAUAAUGCACUUCUCUUUGUAAUGUUAACUGCUCAAUUCAUGACGAGGAGAAUGUACAGUACAUGAAAGACGGCCUGAUGGACCGUACCCGAUAUGCAUCACGACUGGUUUCUACGCCGUUUCUGAGGAUGGAGCCUGGAACUGGAUGCACUACCUGGUUGCAUUGUUCGUUCAUCGUGAGCUACACUCUAUCGCCAGUUCGCCUUACCAUUAGUUAUAAACAUUAAUAUGGAGUGCGUAUAUGUCAUCAGUGUGAACUAUCGCAUGGAUCGUAUCUCAGAGUUUGAGGCAAGGGAGCUUUAUUUCAUACAGAUCGUAUAUCAAUGAAGAUCGACAAGGACUCCAUACUCAGAAACACAACACUCACAUGAUGUAGUGGCUAAAAUACGCUAACUCAGCUCGUGCAUGGUUUGGUUCUGCUUUCUCCUAAAUGCACUAACUCAGCUCUUCAGCUGCCAUCCUUCCCAGUAGUUGAGCUUCACGAAUAACAUGCGCCACAAAGGAGCGGCAAGGAAGAUGAGCUCAAAACAUUUCCAGCAUCAUCAGGCAUUCGGACUCGAGGAUCGCCUGGUCCGACCAAGGGGAGGCAUGCUGGAUUCACUCUUAACUCUGAAGCACAUUGGAAACUCUAUUCGAGAAUCUUAUUUCAUGUUGAAACAAUGUUCAUAAUUCAUAAUAAUACUUUCUUUAUUUAAGAACUCAUGCAAGGUAGAAUUUAUCUUUCAGACUUCGUUGACGCGGGCAAACUCUGUUUCUGUAGUUUUGUGGUAGAGUUCAUUUCGCACAACAUGAUGGCCAUGGUUACAUGCCAAAAGCUCUAAAGGUGGUGGUGGGAGAGAUUUUCCCACUGUCGGCCCAUCCUCUACAAUGAAUAUCGCCGCCAUGCCUAUCGAUAAAUGGAACUCAUAGUGGCAAUGCAUGAACCAUACCCUGUACAAAUACAAGGCAAAGGAUUAUCAUGCUGUGAGUGAGACCUAACCUUCACAUGCAUAAGACCAUGUCACAUGUACUACUAGACAUGGAAAUCCUAUACGCACCUGGAUUCUCUGCCACAAACCGGAUGGCAGCCCAGCCGAUCCUCGGGACGAGCACGGAAUUCCUCACUGGCGGAUCAACCAGGUUGUACUUGGCCACAUCCCUCGCCGCGUCAUAGUUACCGACACCCUGCGCAAGCACAAACAUGUCGUGACCAUGCAGGUGCAUCGGGUUGGAGUCGCUCUGCAUCACCGCCGUGCCCUGGAACACGAUAUCCACCACAGCACCAUGCCGAAAGCGCCGCGCCAAGCUACCCCUAGACGUAGGUUCUAGCUGCCCCUCCUUCGGCCCACAUGGAAUCAAGCCCCGGUUGGUGAAGUUGAACACCAUCGGCGGCCUAUCGGGAAGCUCUUGCAGCACGUCAAUAUCACUGGUGUGGUAGUAGUGCGCUUCUAGCAGUGGCAUGGUCGUGUCAGGGAGCUGAAAUGAGACGUUGUUCAUGGUCACGACAAGGAUGGCCUCGUUACUCCCACUUCUCUUGCAGGUCUCGCCUCGCCGGCAGAUAGAGCCCAGGCCAACGGUAAUGAACAGGGACUCAUCGGCACGCUCCGGCACCAGCGGCCGUUGUGUGUCGUUCAAGCUGGUCAAGUUACCAUGGAAGUAGAAGGAGGCCAUCGUGUCAUGCUGGUCGGGCAUCUCAGGUGCCGCUGGAGGUGCGGCGCCAUUGCUGGAGACGUGCCCGGUGCUGUACCACACAGUGCCUCUUGUGACCAACUUUGGUACCUAGGGGUCGGGCUUUGGCGAUUGGUUGGCGAGGGCUGUGAUGUAGUACCCACCGGGUGGCGCGUCGGCAACCACGAGGGCAUCAAUAGUCUCACCGGGGGCGAUCGCGAUGAUGUCCGUGGUAUAAGGGUUGACGUAGUUUGCGUCGGCGGCAACCACCGUGAACUUGUGCCCGGCGAUCUUGAGGUAGAACUCGGAGAAGAGAGCAGCGUUGAUUAUUCGAAGCAGGUAGGUCUUUCCGGGCUCCACGUUCAGCACAUAGCCGUCUUCCUUUGCCCCUUCAGUUCAGAGUUAAAAAUGAAGGAAUUAGUCGUAUAGAAGAAAGUUUCAUUUUAUUUGUACAUUAACAAGCAUCCUAUUAAUGGUUACCGGAGCAGUUGUAGAGAUCUCCAAACUUGCCGUUCAUUGUGCUACUCCCUCCAACCCAAAUUAUAGGUCGUUUUGUCUUUUAUAUAUAUAUAUAUAUAUAUACACAUAUAUAGCUUUUGUUGUACACGUAUGUCUAGAUACAUAGUAAAAUCUAUGUAUCCAGAACAGACAAAAUGAUUGACCUAUAAUUUGCCAUACAUGUCCGGUGAUGGAGUGGCGGUUUGGGUGUUGUUUCCAAUGUAAGUUGUUAUGAAAGAUGCUAAGAGGUUGUUGCAGCUUUGCAGUUCUCUUUUUUUUUUCCAUUUUUGUAUUCCCCAGUUUCGGUUUUAUUCUUCUUUUUAAUAUAAUCGGUAACUCUCCUUUUUAGCUUGUUUCAAAAAAAAAAGUAAUGGAGAGAGUACGUCUUAAACGAUCCAAAAGUCGAAUAAUUCACAAACCUAUAAUGAUGGGAACAUCCUUAUCAGGAUUGGGGAAUGGAUACGAGCUGGUCCCGUCUCUUGGCCGGAUGAUGAAGGCGCCAUGCAAGGUUGCCCGGAGGCAGGUAACCUGAGCAUGCCACCAGAGGGUUCCUUCUUGCCCGGUGACGUUGAACCGGUAGGUGAAGUUUUGGUUUCGGAGGAUGGGGCUUUGGGUGAUCAUCGGCACCCCAUCCGCCCAACAAUUCAGCUGCUGUUUCACCCCAUGCCUACAUUACAGACAACAGCUUCAAUAUAUAGGAGUUUUCCUGUUUUGGAAGUUGGGACACAGGAAUUUGUUGAAUGAUAUAGGGGCCAGGUACUUAGCGAUUCUAUUACCAAUGGAUCGUUAUGUUGCGGGGUGACUUGUUGACGACAUGAACAACCACCGAGUCUCCUUCGGUAACCCCUCUAUCAUUGGCCCUGGAAAUUGCCCGUUCACCACAGUGACCAGCAUCUCCUUGCACAGAUGUGUCAUAUUCAUCUCGCUCACCUAAACAUAUAUAGAAGUUCGAACAAGUUGAAUCAAGCAUCCACGAUACAUUCUUGUUGCGAUGUGCAUUUCGUCAGACGAUUCUAACACUAGAAUAGAACUGUUUGCUUAGCGAGCGGAGGUUGGGCACGGACGACACCUAGCUGCCGUCACCACCAAGCUCGCCCACCCUCUCCCAGCCACACCGCCGCCGGAAGCCCGUGCGGCGUUGUGGCCCUCCUCCUUCCCCUUCUCUCCCCACUCAGCCCCAACACAGUCGUGUCUCCCUACGCCAGUAGAGGUCACCGCUGGCGUCGGAGGCCGGAUCCGUCCUCCUGGCUGCCGGAUCUGCCACGCCCCUCGCCGGAUCUGCCUACUUCGCUGGGGUUGGCAUCCUGUUCACCGGAGCCACCAUGGUCGCCAUGAAAGGAGCUUCGGCGAGUGAUGUGCGGCGGCCGUAGGCCACUAGCCCCCACCCGCUCCACUCGUCCGACCGCUGCCGUUGCCGCAGAUGCCCACCGGGCCAUGUCGGUGGCAGCCUCCUCUUCUCCUCUAGCAAACCCUAUGUCGCCUCCGUCGGCCUGCCCAUCGCCGACUGCCACCAGUCUCCAUUUGGCCAGCUCGGUCACCGGAUCCGCCGUCUGGGGUCCUGAUCCGCGCGUCCCGGGCCGGGGGGCUUGCUGUCCAGGAGUGGUGGCCGUCCCUGGUCACCGGUUGCCAGAUGCUCUUCCCGGUGGCCGGCAUGGCGCAAGGUCGCUCCCCCUGCUCUUCCUCUGGAUCCACUGGCCACCGCUUCCCUGGGCCCAGGGUGGCUCGUCUCCCUGACUUGUUGUGGCCUCCGGUAUAUAUGAAGUUUGCACAUUUUGUACAUUCUAUAGCACGAAUAUUUCAUAACUUGUUUUUUCCCCACUGAAGUGCUUAAGAGAGGAACUUGGAAAUAAUCGAUGUGGCUACUACGUCUGUGAGCACUUGCACGCUUUUGUGAAAUCCAAGACCGCCAAGAUGAUGCCGCACGAAUUUAAAGUACAUAAAAUAAAACUAUUAAUAGUUAAUUAUUUUCUACCUCCUUAUAUUUAAUUGUUUGUGUAAAAUUCAUAUGUUUCCAAAUUACAGAUAUAUAAUAUUCAACAAGGAUUCAUUGGAUUUCUGAUGGAAGAUGUGGUAAAUUCAUAAUGAGAAUUUUAUUACGAUGGAUGAAAAUAAGAUGCUCCGAGCAACACCUCGAUGGAAAGAUCAUCGUAGAUAUAGUUUGAUUUGUAUAUAAUAGACUAAGAUUUGUAUAUAUAUAUAUAUAUAUAGAGUGCUAUGAAUUGUAUAUAUAUAUACUAAGAAUUGUAUAUAUAGUAAUUGUAUAAAUACUUGUUUGAUUCGUUUAAAUACUAGUUUGAUUUUAUUAUUAAAAAAGAUCAACUACUAAAAGUUAACUAAAGGGUACGUAUGUCAUGCAUGAAAUUACAUGCGCCAUGCAGCUAACCAAAGCGGCGCGCGCCUGAAAUUUCAAGCAGGACUUUAGUCUUGGUUGGAAAAACCAACCAGGACUAAAGGGUUCUAUCCCGCGCCUGGCGUGGUAGCUCCUUUAGUCCCGGUAUCAGUAUAAAAGGGGGUCUUUAGUCCCGGUUGAAUUCCCACGACAAAAGACACCCCUUUUAUCUCGAUUGCUUUAUCCCGGAUGGUUUUUCAGGAGAUUUGCUCCCUACUGAGGACUAAUGGAUGGUCACCCUUGGAUGAUGAGUGAUUGAUAAUGCUGUGUUGGAUUGAUGUGCUCUUGAAUUUGGGAUAGAGACCUAAGAUUUUGAAAGAAAUAUUUGAGGCUCUCAUUCACCCCCCUCUGGUCGCCUUUCCGGUCCUUCACCUACCAACCGGGAUAAUAUUUGAGUUCUCCACCAGUGAUCAUAACUUAUGUGGAGAUGUACAUUAACUUUUUUAUGAUUAUUUUCAUUUGCAAGAUUCCAAAGCUAGAAUUAGAAUCCAGGUCAGUCAACCAACAAACAAUUAACAUUAAAGGAAGAGACCAGUUUUGUGCUGUAGUACAGCGCACAGUAGGUAGAGUACAACCUAACCUAGAAUAGAAUCUUGCAAAUUCUGAAAGGUCCACAUUUUCACACAGGUCGUUCUCCUCGAUCAAAAGCAACCAGUCAAGGCUGGCCCUGCGAUCAAAGCUACUAGUCGAUAGCGGUAGUCAUCUUGCUUGUCUGGCUUGCUUCCAGACAGUUGGACUGAUGACCGAGCGAUGGAUGGAGAGAUUUUCCAUGCCACAACCGAUCGUCUCGGUAGUACGCCUUCGUUGCGCCCGUUCCUCUCGUGUGGCUGGACUGCAUCCUCACGAGCCUGCGGACCAGGAGCGCCCUGCAUCUCCUUGUGCCGCCAGAGAUCGUUAAUCCCCUCUGCUUCUUCCCAAAAUCGCCGGCCUACCCAUUGCCUUCGGUUGCGGCCGGGCUCCCUUGCCCUCCGACGUGAGUUCUUGCGAGCGCCGGCCGCCAUCACAUCGCGAGCUCGACCUGCCGCUGCAAUUUACACUGCUGUUGGCCAAAUUCGCGAGUUCAGUCUGCUGCAAUGAGCUUCAUCGGCCGCAAGCCCUCCUUGCACCCGCAAGGUGGGCCUGCCGCUGAAGCUUCCGCAAGGUCGGGUAAACUUGCUGUGUUUCGCUGUGCACAGCUGCCUUGUGAUUGUGCCGGACUUUCCAAUGCUCCAGCAGACUUUAAUUUUGAUCUUAUCAAUUAUAUAUAAAUUCGCAUAAUUACAAUGAGUUCGGGAUGGAAUAUAAAGUGACACGAUCAAUAUAUGAAAACAUAUCCACUAAGCACAAAAAUCCCAUUGUGGCUUCCAUAUUACAAGAAUGGCCAAUGCCUAUGCUCUGACAGACUUCUGUUUGCCCGGCAAGUCCUUUAUUGAUGUAAAUUGACAACUUUUGUAUAAUGUAUUUUUUUCUAUAGCCAGGGACAGUGCUUUUUUUUCAAGGAAUGCAUGGGACAAUAGCGGCUUUCCAGUUGGCGGGUAUGUAGCCUAAGCAUCACGUCAGUACUUCACCAACCUAUGACGUAUCAAGCUCUGUCAACAUCAUUAAUUUAGCUAGAUUUAAUAAACGAAGUUGCCUCGCAAUAACCAUGUUUUGACUUUUGAGACCAUCAACCUAAAUCGUCCACAAUACUAAAGAAUGACUCGCGCCUAUAAACAGCCACGCCGCCGGAGCGAAUUGCAAAGCAAAUAACUUGUUAGCUGCUUCGUUCUUAAAGAAAAAUAAAGAAUGAUGCGCCUUGCAUCCAUGGCAGUACAAGUGCUGUGGUUUCUCCUUACUCCUUCCGUAGCAUUUUCCUAUCUAAUUCCAGUGCCGCCAUUGGUGGCAGCAGCCUCCGGUUCCAACAUAGCGCCACCACCACCGGAGGUAGCAGCUCCAAGGCCGGGCUGCCCUAGCAUGUGCGGCAAUGUAAGCAUUCCCUACCCAUUCGGCAUCGGGGACGAAUGUGCCUGGGGCUCGGACUUCGCCAUCACUUGCAACCAUAGCUAUAACCUUCCAAGACCGUAUCUAAGCAACAUCGAGGUCAUCAGCAUCUCGUUGGAGGCCGGCGAGAUGCGUGUCUUCUCCCCCGUGGCCUACAUCUGCUACAACUCAUCCAACACCACUGCAUCCAACGGAGUCAUCGGCUGGAGAUUGAACUUCAUCGACACAAUAUUUCUUAUCUCGCCGACGCGCAAUGAAUUUACAGGCAUCGGCUGCUACACGUGGGCGUAUAUAGAUGGCAGAGAGGAUUUGAGCUUCUUCACUGGCUGCAUCACCACAUGCACCAGCUUGCAUGCAGCGGCUCAAGACGACGAGGAGUGCACGGGACUUGGCUGCUGCCAGAGUGCCAUCCCGACCAACCUCUCCAGGAUAGACAUCUACUGGGCGAACAACGACAGCUAUACGCCUACAAAUGUAGCGUGGGAAUACAGCCCCUGCAGCUUCGCUUUCAUCGCGGAGAAAGGCUGGUAUGUAAUACUACUAACUUAAAAAUUCCAAAUUAAAAACUACGACGCUUUCAUCGCGGAGGUAGCUGUUGCUUGUCAAGAUGAUGGCUUAUCUUAUGUUCUUAACUUACUGUGAUGAACUUGGAUAUUUUAUUAUUUAUUAUAAGGUACCACUUCAGUCGGAGUGAUCUCACACGUGAUGCCAACAAGACCUUUACUGACCGUGUUGGAAACAGAACCAUCCCCUUGGUGCUUGAUUGGUCCAUCAGGGAUGGCGUGUCUUGCCAGGCACCACCAAAGGAUGCUGGGGCGUCGGCUACAUCGACAGCUCCCGCUUGCAUCAGUAGAAACAGCUUCUGUGUUAACGCCACACAGGGACCUGGGUACCUCUGCAAUUGUUCCAAGGGCUACAUGGGCAACCCCUACGUCACCGAUGGCUGCAUAAGUUAGUAAAUUUCAUUUACUCUUCGUAUAUAGUUUGUAUUCGUUUUGCAUAUGCAUGGCUUUUUUAACCAUUAAAGUAUAUAUUUGAGGGAUAGGAAAUGGUUUACUAGGAUUGUUGGAUCUCCGUCCAUUAUAUUGAAAGGCUUAGAUGCCUUGUAUAUUGCUCAGUGGCAUGCUUGGCGUGAUGACCUUGAGCCUUGCAGUCCAAGCAUACCGAUUGCUCGUGUCAUGCUCUGAUCGGUUUUAUCUCGGUGUCGUCCCUUGAGAGUACUGCAACCACGAGGUGUCAUGUUGCCAGCCCUUUAGAGUAUCAGUGUCAGGUUCUCCGGCCUUCAGCGUUUCAGUGUCAUGUUGCCAGGUUGUGAGUGCCGACCCUAGAAUCUUCAAGCUAGCUGAGGUAUGUAUAACCUUAUUAGGAUAUCGAUAGUAGGAAUCACGUACAUGGAGCGUGGAAAACGUUAGCAUUUCCUUCGUUACCGUAUAUAUAAAUUUCUUCCAGUUUCCGUUGUUUUCUUCUACACCCGCCCGUGCCAGUUUUCUUACAGCUGUGAAAGGAAUACGUGCUUACAUAGUCUAGUGAACUGGGGAAACAUAAAAUUCUUAGCCCAUAGCUUCUCUCGUUAAGCUUGAUAUCUUCUGAUCAGUACUGUGUCAACUUUGCCAUGCCAACAUGCUCUUUGCACGAUGCUCCAGUCGUUAUAUACUCCAAGGUCUCCAUCUAGCCUUCGAGUCUUAGCCUCUUUCUUCACUCCAAACCGAGCCGAACUCAUUUAUUUCAUCCGUUGCCUUGAUUUCACUACCCGUGGGAUCAUACAAUCACCUGUUCUUCUCACACAGACCAUCUUUCAUAGCUCGGAUCAAUUUCUCUGGUCGGCCAUUCUAUCUUCAAGUCAUAACUUUGAAUCAGGACAAAAGUUUGCAAUUUGCACAUAUUUGUUCGGGCGAACUCCAGUCAAUGCUUCAAUGCACCUUUGAGUGCAAUGCCUUGAGAAAAUUCUAUCUCGUACAGGUGAAAAUAGUAAAUAAAUGCAUACUUGGUUUCUUUAUAUACGCGGGCUAGGGUUUCGUUUAUCAACUAGGUGGAAAAAACAUUUUUUUUAGAUUUUCAUGUAUUAUUACUUGAAGUUUAUGUGAAUGUCUUUUGCAUCUUAUUGUAUACAGAUAUCAACGAAUGUAGCAGUACAACGAAUGGUCCUUGUGGCAUGUAUAGCACAUGCGAGGAUACAGAUGGUGAUUAUAAUUGCAAAUGCAACUUUAACCGGAAAGGAGAUGGUAAAAGUGAAAAUGGAUGUUAUCAGUAUGUAUUUCCACCAUAUGCUAUUGCUGCCGCAGGUGAGGCUCAGCACGCUCCUCUCUACCUCACUACGGGAAACCUUAAAUUUGCCGAGUGUUUUCUUUUUACCGAGUAUUUUUUUUCGGACACUCGGCAAACAAGCUCUUCGCCGAGUGCCGAGCCAAAAACACUCGGCGAAAAAAAAAACACUCGGCAAAUCGGGACUUUGCCGAGUGUCAAAUAAAAAACACUCGGCAAAGCCCCCUCUUUGCCGAGUGUCAAAAAAAACACUCGGCAAAGAGGGGAGUUUGCCGAGUGUCAAAAAAGACACUCGGCAAAGAGGGGGGUUUGCCGAGUGUUUUUUUUAACACUCAGCAAAAAAAUAAAUUUUUUCCCUCUUUUCACCACCAAAUUUUUUCUACUCCCCACAUACAACAUGUGGUACUCCAUGUUAAAAUUUGGUAUAUUUUUGGAUUUAUUUGCUAUAUUUAUUUAAUUAAUUGCAUUUCAAGGAAAUUUUUGGUAUAAGUCAAAUUUGAACUGCAAAUGAUUCAAAUUAUGGAACAAAAUGAGUAGAAAAAUGAUAUUCAUGUUAUUUGGCCCAAUUUGAGACCUGACCCAUGAAAUGAAAAGAAAUUUCGAACAUCUUGUUCAAGAAACACGACCAUGAAUGUGUGGCAGUAGUAUUUUUAAAUUGUAAAAAAACAAGCAAAGUCUGAAAAUCAUGAGAUUUGUCAUGAUGUGAUGAUAUAAUACGUGGAGGCUAUGGAAAAAAAUUGAGAAGGUUUUGCACAUUUCAUCAUGUACAAUGAUUACAAACUAAAGCAUCUCAGAAGAAGAAUAGUAAUUUUGAGAAGAUUCGAUAAGAUUUAGAGUCGAAGUGACGGUCGAGUUUGGUUUGACUACAAAACUUUUUGUAUAGGCAAUAGAGAACAUAUAUUGAUUCGUGUGAAAAUUUGGUAUUUUUUUGAAACUGUUAGAUAUUUUUUAAUUUUUUUCAAAAAAUUUUUGCCGAGUGUCGUAUGGUGGACACUCGGCAAAUAAACCGUUUACCGAGUGUCCACAUAGGACACUCGGCAAACAGACGGCCCACAAAACAAAUUAACCUCCCCCGGCCCCCUCCCCCCACUCUCCUAUCUUCUCCUCCUGCCGCCUCCUGCCGCCCCCUGCCCCCUCCUGGCCCACGCCUCCUGCCGCCGCCGCCGCACGCCAUCUCCCUCCCCCGGCCCCCUCCCCUCCCUCUCCUCCGGCGGACGCCAUCUCCCUCCCCCGGCCCCCUCCCCUCCCACCCCCGGCCCCGCCGCCCGGCGCCCCCCGCCCGACGCCCGACGCCCGACACCCCGCCGCCCGCCGCCCGACGCCCAGCCCCUAGCCCCGCCGCCCGGCGCCCGACCCCGCCCGCCGCCGCCCCCUUCGGAUCUGGUCGCCGCCGCCCCCUUCUUCCCCUUCCCCGGCUCCUUCCCCUCCGGCCGGAUCCGCGCCCCCUUCUUCCCCUCCGACGCGGAUCCGGUGGCCCCCACCUCUCUCCCCUCCGGAUCUGGCGCGUGGUGGUGGGCGGUAGCGGCGUGCGGCAGCGGGCGUGGCGGCGGUAGCGGGCGGCAGCGGCGUGGCGGCAUCGGCGUGGUGGCGGCGGGCGGCAGCGGCGUGGCGGCAGCGGCGUGGCGGCAGCGGGCGGCAGCGGCGUGGUGGCGGGCGGCAGCGGGCGUGGCGGCAGCGGGCGGCGUGGUGGCUGUGGCCGUGGAUGGACUGGGCGUGGCGGCGGCGGCGGCGGCGGCCAGCUGGAGCGGCCCCCGGUGGCCGGGGUAUGUUUUUUUUUAUUUUUUCUGGAAAUAUUGUUUGCCGAGUGUUUUGUGCCACUCGGCACACCCUUUGCCGAGUGCCCGACCAAAGACACUCGGCAAAGUUAACUUUGCCGAGUAAAACUUUGCCGUGUGCUCGUCGCCGAGUGUUACACUCGGCAAACACGUUGCCGAGUGUUUUUAGGGUUUCGCCGAGUGCCUGGGGCACUCGGCAAUUUGUAGCUUUCCCGUAGUGCCUCUUCUGAAUCACACGUUUGCGUCCACUUUCGUAAGGGUUUAGUAAAAAAACAUUAAAGUACAUUUAACCUUUAUUUUUCGGAAUAUAUAAUCAGUUACUCUUAAAUCAGUACAAUAUAUCAAAACCUCUUUGAAAUAUACAUAUAUUAUUAGCAUAAUGAUAGGAUCACUGCUAGCUGAUUAACCAUUUCCGUUUGUUGCAAAUGUCAGUUGUCAUACAACUUAUUACUAUUUUUAUAAUAACAAACUUCUUCUUUUUUAAGCUUAACAAACUUUUACUGAAAGUGUAGGUAUGGAGUUGCCGUAACCUAUAUGUUUCUGAAUCACACAACAUGUAUCCUUAUUGUUUGCAGCAAUAACUCUUGUCGUCAUCAUAGCAUGUUUGUCAAUUAUUUUGCUUAUGAGACGAAAGCAGAAGAAACUUUUCAACAAAAACGGUGGUGACAUUCUAAAGGAUGUGGGUAUCAAAAUCUUCACCAAAGGGGAGGUGAAGACUAUCACAAAGAGCUACAGAAAUCGCAUUGGAGGAGGCUACUUUGGCGAUGUCUAUGAGGGGACCAUCAUCGACGAUCCCGGACAAGCACUACAGGUCGCGGUUAAAUGCACUGUGGCGAAAAAGGUGGCACGCCUUCGGCAGAAGUCGCUGCGACGUGAGGCGCCGCAGCACGAGCAGGAGAAGCUAUGGAAGGAAGGGUUCGUGAGGGAGAUCAGCUUCCAAUUCAAGGUUGAGCACCCAAACAUGGUCCGCCUCAUCGGGUGUUGUCUGGAAACGGAUGUCCCCAUACUAGUCUUUGAGUUUGUCGGUAAAGGAAGCCUCCAUGAAGUGCUUCAUAAUGGUGCCAACAAGCUCACUCUCUCUCUGCCAAAGCGGCUGGACAUUGCCAUUGGUUCAGCAAAAGCUCUCUCCCAUAUGCACUCGCAUAAACACGUCCAUGGCGACGUCAAGUCCGCCAACAUCCUCCUUGACGACGACCUCAAUCCCAAGGUAUCUGACUUUGGGUCUUCCAAGCUCCUUUCGGUCAAGAAUUAUGCUAUGGACGUAGCUGCAGAUGGGAACUACGUAGAUCCAGUGUACCACACCACGGGACAUUUCACGGUGAAGAGUGAUGUCUACAGCUUUGGUGUCGUGCUCCUUGAGCUCAUCACGAGGAAGAAGCCUAGGUAUGGCAGCGGCGAUGCUAACAUUUUGACCAUAGACUUCAAGAAGUCCAUCAAGAACCACAGCAAUGCACGGGAGAUGUAUGACGCAGAGGUCUUAUCCGAUGACAAUGCUCAAUCUCAUCGCUACAUGGAGUGCCUGGACAUGGUCGGUGCGCUCGCGGUCCGAUGCCUGAUCAGUGAAGACGCGGAUGAGAGACCAACCAUGGCAGAGGUGGUGGAUGAGCUUAAUCAAGUAAAGUCGAUAGCCUGCGGGAUCGGAGCUCAUGCUCUGACCUGAGUUGAAAGCACGCAUAUGAAGGAAACAAAUUAAGCACGAAUGGCUUGAGCUUAUUAGCAAUCUCUAUAUCCCGUAUCCACCAUUACUUAUAAUUGUCAAGUUGAAUGUAAUAUAUAGCUAUGCAUCGGACGUACAUACGAUCUGAGUAAUUUUAUUUUCCUGCGUUUGUUUUAAUAAGGCUGCUUAUUAUUAAGCUGCAUGUAAUUGUGUACUGGUUUCAGGGAACUUUGUAUGUCUACUAUGCGGGCUGAUGCUUCCUCAAAGAAAGAUAUAAAUUCUGUUAAAAUAAACAUGAAUAUUACUUGGAGGAUGUGCAGCCAUUCAAAACAUGUACUACCAUCACUACUGGAAACAGUAGCUUUGCCGAGUGGCCUGGGCACUCAGCGAAGCCACAAAAGUAAACACUGGCAAACGUCACUCGGCUUCGAUUUUAUCGGCAAAUAGUUCUUUACUGAGUGGUUUUUCUCGAGCACUCGGUAAAGAUUUUGCCGAGUGCUAAACCAGCUCUCGGCGAAAAAAAGUGGGCACUCGGCAAAGAUGCCUCUUUGCGCUGCAACAUAGAUUGAAAAAAAAUAAAAGGUUCUUCCUCAUUGUAAAUCCUUUUAUUCAAGUUUGUUCAGAACGUGGGCAAACUUUGUUCUGAAACAACCUAGCAAGCAAAUCUGUUUACUACAACUGAACCAUAAGGUUCUGAAGGUCUUUCAUCAAAGGUUGAAAAUACUGUUUGGGCAACUUUGCUCGUAUCAAAUUCAAACUUAACUAAAAAGUCAUUUUUCAGGAAAGCAAGGAAUAUUUCCAAUAUAACAUCAUUCCCAAGAGACCCCGGUAAGAAUGAACCGAACAAAAGCUCCAACAACAUGGCCAGACAUGUGUUCAUCAUUCAUGAUCAGGACGAAUUUUAAAACAACCACAAUUGAGCAUGACAACUUACUGCUUGCUCAGGACUUAUCGGUUCAGACAGGAGCUAAUCCAUACUGAUCAACCACAUACUGAACACAAAAGUGCAUAGCACCACAUACUGAACCAAAAGCUCCAUUGCAAGGGAGAUAAUCUGUACCAGCUAAUAUCCCAAAUAGACUUGGCAGUACAAAAUUACCUCUGAGUGCUAAAUUCAGUUGAAUAGUAAAGGAGCAUAUAUUGUUCAAAACAAGAACCAAGUACAAGUACAUUCUAAUUUCAGUGUAUGCCAACUGUGAUUGACCUAUUACAGUUCAUGAUACACAAUCACUUCCAGAAAUUUAAGUCAGAAACGAAAAGAAAAACAGGGAUCUAUUUUAUAGGCUAUCGGUCAACUUGUCAUCUAUCAUAAAAUAAUAUACCUGAAGAAACAGAAAUAGAAUUGCAGAUCCUUCCACCCACCGCUUCAACUUCUCAUCAUAUCAAAACUUGUUCUGGUACUCUUAUGUUGCCUUCAAAACAGAAAUAAGAUCUUAAGGUUAGUGUUGCAUACAGUAAUAACCUUUGGAGCUCCAACAUUUCUAUAGCUAGUUUGGUAAGGCUAGCAAGUGAAAGAAAGGUGCUACUGAUUUAAAUGCAAGUGUAGAUAUAUCUAUGGUACUAAACUUCAUGCAAGAAGUACUACAUCAAGCCGCGGCAAAAGGGGGGAGACUCAUUGGUACUGGUACCGGUACAUUGUUGCACACCGUGGUACAAGAGGGGCGACUUAAAGCUUAUCACCAUGGAGAAGAUCUGGCAGUGCACAGGGAGGCUGCUGGUCCUUGAGCGGGGCAAGCUGCUCAAGGACUUGUGCCUCUCUAUGGCACUCUCCAAGAUGCUCAACCGAAGGUUUGUUGGCUUCAGGCUAUCAGAGGCGGGGCAUGAGAAAGCCCAUGACUUUGUGUUCAAAGGCCUGCUCGCCGGGGACAAGCCAUAUCAGAGGGCCUUCAGGGUCAUCGAGGAAGAGCUUGUUUUUGUCCAUGGCUCCUAUUACACAAGGUAUUCUUACCUCUACCAAAAGGGUCGAUACAUUGCCCUCUCGCUGCCCAUCGUCAUGCUUGCCUUAUGCUCGUGGCUCACCUAUCUGCUCGUCAAGCACUACGAGAGUCGCUCUGUGCAGGCUGCCACGCCAUAUUUGUAACUGUUUUCGUGGCAUUCUUGGAGGCAUACCAGCUCUACCUGUACAUAUUCUCAGGUUGGUUCAAGGUGGCACUAAUACAGAGCUACAUAAACACACCAUUUUUGCGAAGAAGCACUACCGGAAACCGAGCUAAUGCCGAGUGUUUUUCCAUUUGCCGAGUGUUUUUAAGCCUUCGCCGAGUGCCCCUGGCACUUGGCAUCUCCCCUGUUUCCCGUAGUGAAGCCGUUGCCUUGAGAUGAUCAUAGGCCUUCUUUUGAGGUUGAAGGCGUUUGCACCAUGGAAACGCAAUCUUGGGCAGUACUGUAUCCUCCAGGAGGUUGACCGCAAGCAUAGGGUUAGGAAUUGUCUCCGUUAUGCUACGCUGCGCCUGCUGGACAAGGCUAGCAAGAAUGGACUUAAGAAAUCAGAAAAGGUGUCCGAAAAUGUGAAGAAAGCCAUCGUUGAUUCCCUAUUAGGAAGCAACGGCAACCUGACGAAUGGGGUAACAUCGCUGCAAAACAAUGGCGUCAAUUGUCUCUCAUGGGCAUGUGAUGCUACUGCUACUGACGGAGCGGUGGCUCGCACCAUUGUGGUCUAGCACAUUGCUACAACCCUGUGCGAGCAGAAGCUGGAUAAACAAGCCAAAGAAGAAGACGCUGUCAAAACAGCCUCCACUUUAUCCAAGUACUGCAUGCACCUCCUUGCGUCUGCACCUAACCUCUUGCCCGACCACAGCUCUAUAUCGGAAUCCAUACUUGAUCAGUCAAUCGACGAAGCAGGCAAGUUACUCAAAGAGGCCAAGGAAAACAAGAUCAAGGGAAAGAACAAGAAGAUCGAGGGCAGGUGUGAGAUACUAAUGCAAAUUCGCACUGAUGAUGAUUGUGUUGGUGAUGAAACAAGGCUCGUUGCGCAAGGCGUUCACCUUGCAAAGCAACUGAUUGAUAACAUAGAAGACUUCACAACACGGUGUAAGGUGCUAUCUGAUUUCUGGGCGGAGAUGAUGCUUUAUGUCUCGCCAUCCGAAGAUGCUUGGGAGCACCUGGAAGUUCUUGGAAAAGGAGGGGAGUUCAUCACGCACCUUUGGGCGCUGCUCACGCAUGCCGGUGUGUUGAAGCGAGGACCUACAGAGCCAAAGGAUGUUGUGUGAUCUGUCCAACUAGUGCACAAGUAACUGUCCAUAUAUCAACAUAGUGCUUGUAAGUUGUAACUGUUAGUAAUCCUAGCGCAUGAGUCGGUCGGUUAGUUAGCUUUGCAUGUUUAGCUUUGCAUGUUUCUGUUACUGCUUUGCAUGCGCACGAGCACCAACCUGUGGCUGCCGUGCGUGUCGGACGGGGUGGCGAGAUUAGCUCGCACACGACCCUAGCGUGUGAUCCGCGACGCCGGCGGGUCCGGCAACUGGCCGCAACUCACGAAGGCCAACUACGAUUCAUGGUCGUUGUUGAUGAAGUUGAAGCUACAAGCGCGUUGCUUGUGGGACAUCGUCGAGAUAGGUGACGCUUAGUUCCACAACGAUCGAACCACGGUGGAUGCAAUCUGCUCUGGCGUAUCCCCGGAUAUAGUGCCCACCGUGGCGACCAAGCCGUCAACCAAGGAGGCGUGGGAGGCGAUCUGUUACAUGCGCAUUGGUGACGAGCGUGUGAGGAAGUCGACGGCGCAGAGUCUCCACACUGAGUACGAGCAGGUCACGUUCCGAGUCCGUCAAGGACUUCACCCUGCGCCUCUCUAACAUCGUGCAACGGCUAGCCAUCAUCGGCGACCCGGAGCCGGAAUCGAAGGUGGUGGCCAAGUAUCUCUAUGUCCCUCGACCAAGGUAUAAGCAGCUUGUGAUUUCCAUUGAAACCCUCCUCAACAUCGAUAAGCUCACCGUUGAGGAGGUCACUGGGCGUCUCAAAGCAGCAACUGACGCUGAACCAUCACUGGCCCAGGACGUCGUUGGCAAGCUACUGCUCACGGAGGAGCAGUGGCUGGAAUGCUACAAGAAGUGGGACAAGGACUCCGGCCGCGGCGGAUAUGGCACCGACGGCCGCGUUAAACAUCAGGGAAGAAGCCGCGGUCGUGGCACCAGCAGCGGCAGUGAUUCACGGACCAACACAAACUCGGGCUUCUCCAACCCCGACGACAUGUGCAAAGCCUGCAGGAAGAAAGGCCAUUGGGACAAGGAUUGCCGAAGCAUGAAAAAGCUGGAACAGGCCCAUUUGGCCCUGGAUGACGAGCCCACUCUACUCCUUGUGGUGGGGAAAGAGCAGGAGGAGGGGAUUUAUCCCCAAAUCGAGCCGCCGCCACUGGAGAUGAAGACGGCAAACCUGCUGCCGAUUUUCCGCAACCGGCAGCUCCACUUCACCGAGAGCAAGGUGUUCGCCGCCUUCGACGAAUCCGGUGACCGGGGACCGAAGCGAUGGGUCCUGGACACGGGCGCGUCGAAUCACAUGUCUGGGACGCGGGCGACAUUCUCCAACCUUGACGCCGGCGUCACCGGCUCCGUUCGGUUCGGGGACGACUCCAUCACCUGCAUCAAGGCGAUCGACACCGUCAUGCUGUCCUGCAAGAAUGGCGAGCACCGCGCCAGCGCCAACGUCUACUACCUACCCCACCUCACCGCCAACAUCAUCUUGGCUAGCUUGACGAGCUUGGGUACCAAGUACUAGUAGAAGAUGGAGUGAUACGGGUUCAUGAGGAGGAGCGGCAUCUCCUUGCCAAGAUUCACCGCAACCCAGGCCGGCUCUACGUGCUCGACGUCGACAUCGCACGGCCGGUUUGCCUGGCGGCGCUAGGCAACGGGGAAGCCUGGGUAUGGCAUGCCCGCUUCGGCCACCUUCACUUUGCCGUGCUGCGCAAGAUGGGCAGGAAUGGCCUUGUCCGUGGCCUACCCCUGCUCACCCAGGUGGACAGGCGUGCGAAGCCUGCCUAGCCGGCAAGAACCGGCGGUCUCCAUUCCUGCAGCGUGCCCUUGGGCACUGAUCGGAGGCGUUGCAGCUGCUCCACGGCAACCUCUGCGGACCUAUCAUGCUGUCGACACUGAGCGGAAACCAAUACUUCCUUCUACUCGUGCAUGACUACUCCCGGUAUAUGUGGUUGUCUUUGCUCCCCAGCAAGGAUGCUGCACCCGCAAUGAUCAAGCGCAUCCAGGCAGCCGUGGAAUGCAAGUCAGGGAAGCUGGUUCAUGCACUCCACACGGAUAGAGGAGGAGACGGAAAGACUUUGAGCAGUACUGCACCGAGUUGGGACUCCACCAUGAACUGACGAUGCCGUACUCCCCUCAACAAAAUGGCAUCAUCAAGCGCUGCAACCAAUCCGUGGUCAGUACCGCUCGAAGCAUCCUGAAGGCAAAGGGGCUUCCGGGCAAGUUCUGGGGCGAGGUGGUCACCACGGCCGUCUAUCUGCUCAACCGAUCCUCGUCCAAGAGCGUGGGUGGCAAGACCGCCUAUGAGCUCUGGACCGGCAGCGUCCUUGGAGUUCAACACCUGCGCACAUUCGGCUGCAUCGCACACAUGAAGGUAACAAAGCCAAACUUGAAGAAGCUCGAUGACAGGAGUAGGCGCACCAUCUUCGUUGGCUAUGAACCUAGCUCCAAGGCAUAUCGGGUGUAUGACCUGGUGACCCGGCGCAUGCACAUCAGCCACGACCUGGUGUUCGAGGAGGCAGCGCAGUGGCUCUGGACUCAGGGGCAGCGCAGCGAGGUGGAAGACUUUGCUGUUGGACAUUUGCCACUGCCUGGAUCGACCAGCACGACAACGACAGCAAGCAUGACUUCAUCAGCCGGAGCUGCUGAUACACCUUCAGCCUCGCCGGCGUCAUCAGCCCACACUUCGCCGGCGUCAUCAGCCCACAUUUCACCGGCGCAUGACGUCUGGAGCAUCAUCAACUCACACCUCACUGGUGCAAGUGUCACACCCGAUUUUAAGGACAAAACCGAGUGCUUUCAAUACAUGUGCGCCAGGAUCAAGUUACACACAUGUAUGACAAUAGUGAAUAACAAAGACAGUGCUAAAGCAAAUAGAGGGGGUAUUAAACAUAUUUACAUGAUCGAAAGUCUCAAUAAAACACAAGCCUAAAUUAUUACGCAGCGAAACUCCAAAGACGACAACGACACCACAGGCAGCUGACUGAAGAACCGUACGCCUAGAACUCCUCAAAGUCGUGCAAGUACUCCUCCAGAUUAGCCUUGUCUGAACAAUGGUUUUGGAAGGAUGAGUACACUUAUGGUUGGUACUCAACAAGUCCUGGGGAAUAGUGUAGUGUAAGGCAAAUCAAAGUAUGGCUAAAGCUUAAUUAGCAUCAGGUUUUAAUUAAGUUGGUCAAGUUUUAUUAGCAAUUAACUAAGUAUAAGUUUAUACCACUCAAAAUUAAACAUGAGCAUAAAUAAAGUAAAUAACAUAUGCAUGAAAUGACAACAAUUUAAGUCCAUCUUUCAAUAGUGUUAUCAUGUGAGGGUCCAGGCUGCUCUUCACCAUGAGCACGGCUGAUCGAUUAGUUUUAAACUUUGCAGAGGUGGCACAUCUUUACCCACGAGUCGCGUAAAAGUUCAAAAGAAAUUUGGACCCAACCAUGCGGUGUUUGCAAGGCACCAUACCACACUUCCGAGGUGUGAUUGCAUAGGGACGCUACGAGGCCUUUACAAAGAUCCACUAGCAAUGUGGUAACCGCUAAGGUUUCAAGUCGAAGCAGAACAUAGCAGUCCCAUAGUGGCUAUAGUGUCUUAGCAAAGCCCACUUCCCCCGAGAGCGAAUGCUAUAUCCCAUCAAUGCCUCCCCUCUUGCCCUUUUGGUAAGAUUACCCUAGUCUAGAGUUUCUAAUUAUUCAGCCAAGAUCAGAGCCAUUUAGUCUUGUGGUAGUACUGUUUUCCUGGGUGGUCGCUCCAUGUUUCGAUUAAACAUUGGUGAUCUUGUAUUAAUGAAAGGUAUACCAGAAGUAAAGCAAGAUUAAACAUUGAGUUUAGUUAAACCACCCUAUACCAAGUAAGCACUAAGCAUGAGCUACCCAAGAUAAAAGUAAACCUGGUUGGUCAAGGCAAAGGUAGUUUCAAUCUAGGCGAACCUUAAUUGGGACCCAUCAAUUUAAUCUUAACAUGUGCAUAGCAUAAUAGUUGAGUACAAGAAAGUAGAGGUGUAUAGGACUGAAAAGUAGUGAUUAAGGACACAACUUGCCUUCUUGGCUUUGCUCCUGCUGUUCGUACUCCUCGAAGGCUUGGUCUUCAAAUCCCUCGAACUGUUGAACGUCUAAACGCAUCACACGAGCACAUACAAGCAAACAUGGGAAAAAAGUAAGAAACAGUACACCAAUCAUAAUUAAACAGAGAAAACAAGCUUGUAAAAUUGAUCUACGCUUUAAAACAAACACGUGGAUAUAAAGAACGCGAAAAACGGAGUUAAGAUGCAAAAGAUAUGAUUAAAAUGAAAUCCAGGGGCUUUUCUGCGAGAAAAACAAAACUUCUAGGGUCAAACUGCGAAAAACCGAGGACCUAUAUGUAAUUACGCGUAUAAACUGAAGGUUUAACACACAAAAACUCCAAAAUGGAUGGCGGGUUGAUUUUUAGAAAACUCAGGGCUUAAACCAAAAAUGCGAGGGCAGAUCUGUAAAUAUUUUCAAUGCGAUCUGGACCGUGGGUUGAUUUGCGGAAAAGGUGAGGGCUUAAGUGAAAAAGAAUAGCGGCGCGGCGCGGUUGACUAGUACGCGAUCCGGUUGUCUUGCUGCCAGCCGUCGGAUCUGGAUCCGACGGUCACGGUCGCCGACGGUAGCGGGGCGGUGGCAGAAAAAGCGGCACGCGGCAGCGAGCGGUGGCGGGGUCGUCGGAGUUGGCCGAAACGGCGCGUCCGUGGGCGGUUUGGCCCGCGGAGACCCCCAAAAGCAAGAGGAAAACGCCACGAACUCGUUUGAGUUGAUGGGGAGGUUCGGGGGCGCGGCAGAGCUCACCUUUGGUGGGUAUUUGUGGCGGCGCAGGGGGAGAGCUUGGGCGGCUUGCGCUAGCUAUGGUUUGGUGGGUGAGGGCUGGGUGCUUGAGGCCAGGGAAGGGCGGCGGCUUAAAUAGGGGCGGAUGGCAGCGGGAUAAGGGUAGGGGCGGAUCCCGCGUGGAGAAAGGACGCGGCGGUUGUGGGAGGUGGGCGGAGUCUGGCGCGGUCGGGGGAGGAAGUCCCGGCCGGAUACGGCCGGAGGACAGGGAUGACGGGUGGGCCCCACCCGUCAGACCGGCGAAAGGGAGCGGGCCGGCGCUGCUUUGCAGGCCGCGGAGGAAAGGAGAGGUGGGCCGAGCGGGGAGGGAGGCUGGGCCGGAGGGAAAAGCGGAGCGGGCCGGAGGAGCUGGUGGCGCUGGGCUGCCGGAAGAGAAGGAGGCGCUGGGCCAAAAGAAAGGAGGAGGAGAAGAAUGCGACCGAGGAGGAAAAAGAGAAAAGGGAAAAAAGGAAUGGUUUUGAAAAUUGAAAUUGAAUUUGAAAUUCAAGUUUGAUUCAAACACAAGCAAUCAAAACAAAUGCACCAGCAUGUAAUGCACAAAUAAACUCCUAGGGUGAAUUAAUUUUAUUUGGAGAAAAUGAAAAUUAAUAUGCCUAAGAAUUUAAAGGACAUCCUAAUUGAGCAAAUUUUAGUGAAUUUGAAUUCUUUUAAAAAUUUGGGUGUUACAGCAAGGCACUGGGAGCGCGACGCUGGGCACACCCCCACUGCAGGAUGCAGACUCAGUGGAGUUCGUGUCAACACUAGGUGCCGGCGUGUCGCAGCUGCUGGAUGCGGAACACAAUGACGACGCCCCACUCCGGUACCGCGACAUUGACAAUGUGCUCUGGCCAGCCACGCCGCUAGGUUUCGCUGCGUGGGAACUGGAGGAGCAGCUGUUGUUGGCAUGCAAGGCCGAACCGGCAUGGUUCAAGGAGGCGAUGGAACAUGAGAACUGGCACCAUGCCAUGCUCGAUGAGUUCACCUCUAUUGAGGUGAAUGACACUUGGAGGCUUGUUGAUCUACCACCAGGGGUGCGUCCGAGUCAAGUGGGUUUACAAGACGAAGCAGGAUGAAGCUGGGCUCAUCACAAAGUUCAAAGCCCGGCUCGUCACCAAGAGGUACGUGCAGCGCCAGGGGAUCUACUUCGAUGAAGUAUUCGUCCCGGUGGCACGCCUGGAGUCCGUGAGGCUGCUUCUAGCGCUCGCUGCAAGCGAAGGGUGGGCUGUCCACCAUAUGGACGUCAAGUCCACUUUUCUGAAUGGUGCACUCCUGGAGGAUGUGUACGUCAAGCAGCUGCCGGGGUUCAUGCUGAAGGGCCAAGAAACGAAGGUGCUCCACCUGAUCAAGGCUCUUUACGGACUCCGUCAAGCCCCACGACCAUGGUACUCCAAGCUCGACUAGUCCCUGAUCAAGCUCGGGUUCCGGCACAGCACGUUGGAGCAUGCUAUCUAACUCCGCGAGGUGGGUGCAUGCCGCCUCAUUGUAGGCGUCUAUGUGGACAAUCUGGUUAUCACCGAAGGGAAUCCACGGACAUCAGCACCUUCGAGGAGGUGAUGAAGGCAACAUUCAAGAUGAGCGAUCUUGGGCUUCUGCGCUACUAUCUCGGGCUGGAAGUGACGCAGAUGGGGAACGGCAUCUCAGUUUGUCAGAGUGCCUAUGAAACAAUGUUCAUAAUUCAUAAUAAUGCUUUCUUUAUUUAAGAACUCAUAUGCAUGGUAGAAUUUAUCUUUCAGACUUCGUUGACGCGGGCAAACUCUGUUUCUGUAGUUUUGUGGUAGAGUUCAUUUGGCACAACAUGAUGGCCAUGGUUACAUGCCAAAAGCUCUAAUGGUGGUGGUGGGAGAGAUGUUUCCACUGUCGGCCCAUCCUCUACGAUGAAUAUCGCCGCCAUGCCCAUCGAUAAAUGGAACUCAUAGUGGCAAUGCAUGAACCAUACCCCUGUACAAAUACAAGGAAAAUUUAUCAUGCUGUGAGUGAGACCUAACCUUCACAUGCAUAAGACCAUGUCACAUGUACUACUAGACAUGGAAAUCCUAUACGCACCUGGAUUGUCCGCCACAAACCGGAUGGCAGCCCAGCCGAUCCUCGGGACGACCACGGAAUUCCUCACUGGCGGAUCAACCAGGUUGUACUUGGCCACAUCCCUCGCCGCGUCAUAGUUACCAACACCCUGCGCAAGCACAAACAUGUUGUGACCAUGCAGGUGCAUCGGGUUGGAGGCGCUCUGCAUCACCGCCGUGCCCUGGAACACGAUAUCCACCACAGCACCAUGCCGAAAGUGCCGCACCAAGCUACCCCUUGACGUAGGUUCUAGCUGCCCCUCCUUUGGCCCCCAUGGAAUCAAGCCCCGGUCGGUGAAGUUGAACACCAUCGGCGGCCUAUCGGGAAGCUCUUGCAGCACGUCCAUGCCGCCGGUGUGGUAGUAGUGCGCUUCUAGCAGUGGCAUGUUCGUGUCAGGGAGCUGAAAUGAGACGUUGUUCAUGGUCGCGACAAUGAUGGCCUCGUUACUCCCACUUCUCUUGCAGGUCUCGCCUCGCCGGCAGAUAGAGCCCAGGCCAACGGUAAUGAACAGGGACUCAUCGGCACGCUCCGGCACCAGCGGCUGUUGUGUGUCGUUCAAGCUGGUCAAGUUACCAUGGAAGUAGAAGGUGGCCAUCGUGUCAUGCUGGUCGGGCAUCUCAGGUGCCACUGGAGGUGCGGUGCCAUUGCUGGAGACGUGCCUGGUGCUGUACCACACAGUGCCUCUUGUGACGAACUUUGGCAUCUGGUGGUCGGGCUUUGGCGAUUGGUUGGCGAGGGCUAUGAUGUAGUACCCACCGGGUGGCGCGUCGGCAACAACGAGGGCAUCAAUAGUCUCACCGGGGGCGAUCGUGAUGAUGUCCGUGGUGUAAGGGUUGACGUAGUUUGCGUCGGUGGCAACCACCGUGAACUUGUGCCCGGCGAUCUUGAUGUAGUACUCGGAGUAGAGAGCAGCGUUGAUAAUUCGAAGGAGGUAGGUCUUUCCGGGCUCCACGUUCAGCACAUAGCCGUCUUCCUUUGCCCCUUCAUUUCAGAGUUAAAAAUGAAGGAAUUAGUCGUGUAGAAGAAAGUUUCAUUUUAUUUGUACAUCAACAAGUAUCCUAUGAAUGGUUACCGGAGCAGUUGUAGACAUCUCCUAACUUGCCGUUCAUUGUGGCUCCACUAGGGUUAUCAUUAAAGAAACUGUCCCUCAUUCUUCUGUCCAACUCAUCAAGAUCCAUCUCCCACCACUCCCCUGCCACAACAGGACAUCAACUCAGAAAUAAGCUCAACAUAACUUUGCUACGUGCUACUCCCAAAUUAUAGGUCGUUUUCUCUUUUCUAUCUAUCUAUCUAUAUAUAUAUAGCAUUUGUUGUACACGUAUGUCUAGAUACAUAGUAAAAACUAUGUAUCCAGAACAGACAAAAUGAUUGACCUGUAAUUUGCCAUACACAUAUGUAUUGCUCAGCCUGGGUUUAAUUCUUCUUUUUAAUAUAAUCGGUAGCUCUCUUUUUGGCUCAUUUAAAAAAAAAGGAACGGAGAGAGUAUGUCUUAAACGAUCCAAAAGUCAAAUAAUUCACAAACCUAUAAUGAUGGGAACUUCCUUAUCAGGAUUGGGGAAUGGAUACGAGCUGGCCCCGUGUCUUGGCCGGAUGAUGAAGGCACCGUGAAGGGUUGCCCGGAGGCAGGUAACGUGAGCAUGCCACCAGAGGGUGCCUUCUUGCCCGGUGACACUGAACCGGUAGGUGAAGUUUUGGUUCGGCAGGAUGGGGCUUUGGGUGAUCAUCGGCACCCCAUCCGCCCAACAAUUCAGCAGCUGUUUCACCCCAUGCCUACAGUACAAACAACAGCUUGAAUAUAUAGGAGUUUGCCUGUUUUGGAAGUUGGAACAGAGGAAUUUGUUGAAUGAUAUAGGGGCCAGGUACUUAGCGAUUCUAUUACCAAUGGAUCGUUAUGUUGUGCGGUGACUUGUUGACGACAUGAACAACCACAGAGUCUCCUUCCGUAACCUCUAUCAUUGGCCCUGGAAAUUGCCCGUUCACCACGGUGACAAGCAUCUCCUUGCACAGAUGUGUCAUAUUCAUCUCGCUCACCUAAACAUAUAUAGAAGUUCGAAAAAGUUGAAUCAAACAUCCACGUAUACAUUCUUGUAGCGAUAUGCAUUUCAUAAGGAAGCUGAUUAAUAGUACAAAGAAAUGGGAAACGAUGGAGAUCAGAGACAAGGAAGGGAAUCAUGCUUACAACGAAUGUGUGCUCAACGACGGCAGUGGCCGCUCCUAGUAGGGCCAUCGCAGAGAGCACAACAAUGACAGCGGAGGCAACAGCUGUGGCUGCAAUUGGGAGGCUGAGGCACUGGAUCUUCAUUGUUUGCAACUGUCUUCUUCUACAAUGUCUGUAUAAUAGCGUAUAUGUUACAGGGAAGGUAGCCUCGAUGAGUGACAAAUAAUGGUCUGAAUGCCACGGGUCUGAUCUAUUGGAGAGGCAGGAAGGGGUGGUCAAUAGGUCGGGUCGGCGGAGUGGUGGUGUUAUUGUUCACGGUGGCAUAUAUGGGGAGGCCCGAGGGCUGGAAAGCUGUUUUAGAAGACUGUAGCAAAUGGUAGGAGAGGGACUAAGCUCUUUUUCCUACUUGAUUGAAUCCCCUCGUAUUUAUAGGGAGGAGCCGCUGCUUGCCUUACAAGCAAAUCUUACUCGACUUAACUUACAAGCAAUCCUUGACUUACUAUGUUGAUCACAUAUUCAUAUUAUGAAUUUUGGACCUCGAUCAUCUAUCAUUGUGCAAAUAAUAUUGUUUCCUUUUGAAGCCAGUUCUGAAUCUAUUGUUUCACUUAAUAGGAGAGUCCCAAUGCAGGUUUCAUUUCUAUGAAAUUUGAUGACAUGUCCACAUUUUUUUUUGACAUGACAAAGAAGUAAUGAGGAUGCUAGAGAAAAGACGAGUUUUAUCUUAGAUGAAACUACCUGGACAUUGUUUGAAACUUAAAACUAUUGGUCCCCUUUUCUCUACCUGUCCUCCCCGUUGUCCCGUUCCCUUUGGCCGUUGCAUUUUGCCCUCAAUCGUGUGGGAUUUGGGUUUGUCGUUAAGGGCAAUAUCUGAGACCCUGCUGGCACAUCAGCCUAUGCCGAUACGCAUGCACAUGCACCAUGUGAAAGUGAAGUGGAUCGAGGCAAGGAUGCAAUAACGUGCAGUGGAGUUGGUAUUUCCUUGGAUCUUGUCGGAUCAUCAGCAUUCAGCAACCGGUGCUUGACAAUGACUAUUCUUAUUAUAAUGCAACACGUGGACAAGCAGCACAAUAAUCAAAGGCCGAUUAUCAACACAACCUGCUCACGUUUCCUACCUCCUUUUCUGCCCCGUUCAUAACCUCGGUAGGGCCAGACUGCCUCCGAUAGCAACCCCAGGCCUCACCAGUGCUGAUCACAAACAAAAUUCAUGUUUUGUGUGUGGCCUGUACUAGGAAAAGAGUAAAAAUAUAUAAAUAAGCACAAGCAGAAGUUAGCAAUCCAAAACUGAUAUAAACUACUUUUUUAUGAACUCAGUUACGAUCCAGCUCUUCAACAGUAGUAGCAAUGCUAUUCCAAACCACAACGCAUUAUCUCUUCUUACAGAUUUAACAAAUCGUUAAGAUUUUUUUCUGAAUGAUGAUCCACGCGUUUUUUGUUUUUUGAUAUCUUUUGUCUUGUCUCCAGCUGAGCUAGUAAUUUGCAGUAGCCACUGCCACUAAAGCCCGGAUGAGAGAAAGAGCACUGUUCAUCAGGAUACUGCUCUUCAUUGUUCAAUAAUAUAGCAUCAAAUCUGGACAGAUGGCUCGUAAAUUGGACAGCUGGGAUUGCUAUAGUACUUAAGUUGCAGUUGUAGUUGCCACUUCACCGGAUGGCCAAAGGAUGGUCUGGGAAGUUAGGGUUCAUGUGGAACUCGGAAUAAGACAAGAUCUUUCCCACCCUAUAAAUACGAGGGGCCAAUGUCAGAUGAAGUAUCAGUCGACACAAAUCAACUUACUAUUUACUUUUUAUAUACUCUUUCCCUAAUUUCUCCUCUAACCUCGAUAUGAUGUUCUUCCUUGAUCUUAAUCACAAGAGAUGGUGCGCUACGCUUGCUGGCCAUCCUAGAGCAACCCACCAAUGCUCUCGCCCUAACGAUCCAUCUCAGUAAAGAGUUUGGACAAUCAUUGCUAGUCUGUCUGGAAACUAGUGGCUCGUCACCAUGUAAACAUGAUAUUAUCCUUUUCUAGUUUGAUCGUAGACCUAAUCACCCUACACCAUGAAAGUGUGAUGCUUACCACCAUGUUACGUCAACAGGUUCAUUGUCACACCCGGUUUUAAAAUAAAACCAAGUGCUACCGGCCUAUAUGUAUGUCAGGAUCUAGUUUCAUACGUAUAGAGCCAUCAUUAGUGAAUAACAGUAACAAUAUCAUGUAAAGAAGAAGAGAGUAUAUCAAAGAUUUAUAGCUUAAUCCUGAAAACGGAGGCAUCAAACUUCAUAGGCAAUCGACUGGGGAUCGCGUACGCCUAGAACUCAGCAUCAUCUUCAGCAAACUUCAUAGCAACUUCUUCUUCUGAGCAGCAUUAGCAAGGUACUCAGCAAGGCUACAAGAAAUAACGAGAAUAACGAUUUAAUAUCAACUUCAAGUAAAUUAAUCAUGUGAGGAUCCAGGCCGCUCUUAACCGUGAGCACGACUGAUAUAUUAGUUUUAAACACUCUGCAGAGGUUGCACAUCUUUACCCACAAGUCGUGUAAAAAUUCAAGAGAAUUUUAGACCCAACCAUGAUGUGCUGAUCGGUCACUAAUCACACUACCGAGAUGUGACUGCAUAGGAACGCUACGAGGCCUUUACAAAGAUUCCCUAAUAAGUGGUAACCCGCUAAGUUUUUAGGUUGAAGCAAAGCAUAAACCUCUCUCAAGACUGCGAAGCUACCAUAGAGAAAAUCAGCCUGAGGGUCGGGUAAUACCGCAUCAACGUCUCCCCUCUUGCCCUUUCCGUAAUUAUCCCAAACUAGAGUCUCUAAUUAAUUAUCCAAGAGCAGAGCCCAUUAGUUCUUGUGGUUGCACCGUUUUUCUAGUGGUCACUCCAUGUUCCAAUUAAUGUAUGGUAUUCUUGCAAAUAAACAUAGAUAGAAGGAUGGUUAGGAACACCUGCCUUUCUCCAAAGAGAAGUUGCUCUUACUGCUGUUCAGCUCUUGCUAUCUUGAAACUCUUAAUCUUCAAAGCUUUCGAACCACAAUCCUUCUACUCGAAGCAAUCAUUAGGCACAAGCAUACAAACAAACAAACAUGCACAAUUCAGAACAACACACCAAUCAAAAGAAAAGCUUUAAAAGAAUGCACUAAAAGAUAGGACUCAAUUUUAAGAUAGCGAGGGCACAUGAAACACUUAAAACAAAACUAUGGUUGAAAAGGCACAGCAAUCGAGAGAUUUGAAUUAUUAUCAAACAACAAAAGAUCAUAUGCUAGAUAUAUUUUAACUCAAUAAAAUCAUGUGCAAAGUUUUAGGUUAACUCAAAUUAUAUUAGUAUAUGAAAAGUCGCAAUAAAAUUUAAUCAAAUUUUUAUUUAUAAAUGUGUAUGUAUACAUUAUACAAAUUAAACAUUUAUUUGGAAAAAACAAAAAUUAGGUGAGAAUAUCUAAGCGCAUAGCUUUAUGCAUGGUUCGUGUUGAACUAACCAAGUUAUAAUUCAACAACAUAUUUAUAUUUACAUUAGUCAAAUUAAUAUUUAAAUAUGAAAACCCAAGAUAUAACCUACAUAGCUUUAAUUUAUAAAAAAAUAAAUAAAGAUUAAUCAAAUUAAGUUUAAUUUAUGAAAAGCUAAGGUAUAUCUCUGAUUAGCUUUUAAUUGGAAGAGUUGUUUAAAUAAGCGUUAACCAAAUUUACAUUAUUUACGAAAACAGGAGGUUGAACUCUAAUUAGAUUUUAAUUAGAAAAGAAAAUAUACAAGUACUUAAUCAUAUUAAUAUUUUAAAUAAAUUUGAAAACAAAGAAUAUGAUCAACAUUGCUUCUAAUGUGUAAUUUAAGUUGAUAUGAAUCUAACACAACAAGAACAAGGUUAAACGGAGCCGAAAUGCUAAGUCUAUGAGCUAAACAGGGUUGCAAGGACCUAAUCGUGAUGAUCUAUAGACACGAAGGGCUAGCGAAGGAUAUUUCCGAGACACAUUAAACAAUGCUCGUGAAUAAGGUAAAGGGCAGGCUUUGAUCUAUAAUAAAAAGAUCAUGGCUUGGGUUAGGUUGAAAGGAUCUAAGGUUUUAGAGGGUUCAUCUAAAAAAGAUUCACGACCCAAAAGAAGUCUACAAAAUUACAGAUUUCUCAGAGGACUAAACUGCAAGAGCUCAGGCGUCUAAUGCCAUGGCGGGAGGAGGCUCUAAACGGCAAAAUCGUCGGUGGUCCGGUGACCUAGGGGUUCAGGCGGGUGGCACAAUUGGGAGAGGAGGUCGAGGGGAUCAUGGAGGUGCGCUCACCGGUGGUGACGGACGACGGCAGCGGCCGGAAUUUUGUUGGUGGCGAAGCUGGUGUCGGUGGCUCAUGUCUUCACGCAGCCAGCGGGCUUCCGGCAUCGGAGGGGCUCCAAGACUAGGCGGUGGACCUCCGUAUCGACAAGGGGAAGCUUGUGGUUGUGGUGGAUUCAUCCGGCGGUCGUCGUACGCGGCGAAUUAGGUUGUCCAAGGCACGGUGGCCCUCAUCUUCUUUGGCUCUGAUCUUCAAGCGGACCAGCUCUUCUGGCAACGAAUUGAGGAUGACGAGCAGAGGCGGGUGUGCGGGUGUGCCUCGUAGAGCUCCUAGCGGGGAUGGCUUGCUCCGGUAGCCAACGGACGUAGCGAAUCGGCCGAGCGAGCUCCGGCGGCUGCUCCAUGUUCCGAUGCCUUCAAGCGAUAGCCCCGGCUCUGCGGCGGGGCAUUGCAAGGCGAGGGCACGGGUCGAGACUGCAUCAGGGGCGCACAAGGCCAGGGGCUCUCCUUAAGUAGGAGCGACGGCCAAGGAUGCUUGGCACGUACGCCAAGGCACAUCCUGGCGACAACGCUCUCGUGAUCCACCAACUACACCUCGAUGGGCCUAGAGGACCGGCAGCUGGAUCGGGCCAGAGCAGGUCGGGCCCAUGUGCUUGGCCCAAAAAGGAUAGGAUAUAUUUUAUUUUUAUUUCCAGAAUUAUUCCUGUGUAAUGAAAAUCCAGAUAAUUCUAGAUAAAUCAUAUAAACCAUGAAAAAUACUUCAAAAAUCCCAAAAAUUCCAAAAAAAAUCUAGAGAUAGAAUGGGACACGAGGAAUCUAAAUAAAAUAUUUGGAGUCCAUUAAAAAUAAUCUAGAACCUUCUAAUAAAUAGAUUUUGUUGUAGGAAAAAUGAUAAUAAAUUCCAGAAAAAUCUAGAAAAUUCUUAGAAAGGCUAAUCGAUAUCUAAACGUAUUAAACCUUUGCACUCAUGAAAUACCAGAAAUACAUAAGCAUGAAUGCAACACACACAUAACUACUUUAUUUAAUUUAGAAAAAACAACCAAAUGUUUUCCUUUACUAAAUUUCUUGUCAAGAAAAUAAAUGUUGGAAAAGAUUUAGAAUUAUGAUAAAAUUAUUGUUUAAUUAUUCUUUCGGAUCACAUUCUGAAAUCCAAAAAUUUCAGGGUGUGACAUCCAUUCAUGGAAAUUAUUUCCCUAAGGAUCCAUUUGCAAAAAUUGUUUCCUAGAAGGGCUAUGAACUAGACCAGGUCUAGCUAUGACCCUUGCAAAACACCUAUGAUCCCCAAGCAAGGCCCUUAUUAUGGUAACCAAUGUUGGAGGUAGAAAGUGGAUUCUGCGAACCCCAGUAGUAGCCCGGCCCCUCGUGGCCGAGGGCCGACUCUGAUGGACUGAACCCUCAAUAACAUGGACCACAUCCUUAGCGCGCCAUAAAAUGUCAUCUUUGAACAUUGGAGUUGGUACGAUCCGAAGGUUCAAUGUUACAUGCAUUGGUGUUUGGUUGAUUGCUGCUUCAUGUUCUUCAUGCCUUACGAAAGCACUAACUGCUCACCACUUUUACCCGCAAACGGGGUUAGGGGGGGGGUCGUUGAUCCCACCUACACUUUCGCAAGCAAACUCUGGUUUCUCCUACGCUGUUGCAAGCAAACUCUUUUUUCUCCUUCUCUCUUGCUUUAAAAUUCAUGCGAUAGCAUUGGUUGUUAUUUGCUUUACUUUCUCACUGCUGAAAAAGGUUUAGCAUCUUUGUUUGUUUUUUGCUUUUUAAACCUUUACUCCUUAAUAUUAAAUUUUUAUUCAUUUUCUUCUUAGGGAUGGCUCGCUUCAUGACCCCGCUAGACUUAUAGAUUAGGGAGAUGGCUCCUCCGGAGAUGAGAAACGCGAAGGUUCUCAUGAGAGGAAUCCCGAUGGGAUUGCCCAUGGCCCAGUCUCAGCAGAUCAAAGCGAAGUGAAGACUUUGGGGCUGUCGAUGCUGAUGCUGGAUAUCAAGUGAGCUAAAAGGUCACUCUAGAGCUUACUUUGAGGUUUGGGCAAAACUCUUGGUUCUCUUUUCAGUACCCCCCUCCCCGUUGUCCCGUUUUCGUUGUAUUUUGCGCUCAGUUGCGUGGGAUUUAGGUUUGUCACAUUAAGGCCCCCAUCUGAGACCCUGCUGGCACAUCAGCCUGUGCCGAUACACAUGCACCGCGUGAAAGUGAAAUGAAUCAAUGAAAGGAUGCAACAUGCAGUGGAGUUGGUAUUUACUUGGAUCAUGUCGGAUCAUCAGCAAGCUGUGCUUGUCAAUGACAGUAUUCUUAGUAUAAUGCAACACGUGGUCAAGCAACAGUGGAGUUUGGGAUUGUCGUUAAGGGCACUAUCUGAGACCCUGCUUUCACAUCAGCAUAUGCCGAUACGCAUGCACACAUGGACCAUGUGAAAGUGAAGUGGAUCGAAUUGAAGUAAGGAUGCAAUAACGUGCAGUGGAGUUGGUAUUUCCUUGGAUCUUAUCGGAUCAUCAGCAUUCAGCAACCGGUGCUUGACAAUGACUAUUCUUAGUAUAAUGCAACACGUGGACAAGCAACACAAUAAUCAAAGGCCCUGAGGUGGUAAUGAUCAGCUGAUUAUCAACACAACCUGCUGACGUUUCCUGCCUCCUUUUCUGCCCCGGUCAUAACCUCGGUAGGGCCAGACUGCCUCCCAUAGCAACCCCAGGCCUCACCAGUGCUGAUCACAAACAAAAUUCAUGUUAUGCAUGGCCUGUACUAGGAAAAGAGUGAAAACAUAUAGAAUAGCAGUGGGUCACUACGCUGCCUCCUUGAGUUGCAAAGGUUUACUAAAAAUGCAUGAAAAGCAAUGCCGGUCCCAUUUUACCGCAUUUGGAAAGAGGGAUUACAAAUACCCUCCUUUCAUGGAGCUGGGAGGUUGUUCAAAAGACGUUGAUGUUGUUAAAAAAACUCUUCCUUCGGGAAUACUGGAAGGUUAGUGGUAACGAAGCUGCAAGGAAUGCAACUGCGGAUCAUCAAGCGAAGGUACAUAGUUUUAACUGAUUCAUUUAAAUGUCCCACACUAGUAUCUCUGAAUUCUAAUUUUGCCUAUUGUUUCCUACUGCUAGGGAAAGCGCCUUCGGUACCGGGUCCUAACCCCCCUUUAGUACCAGUUGUGCAACCGGUAUUACUACUUCGGUACUAAAGGUGGGGCCUUUAGUACCGGGUCAAAUAACCGGUACUAAAGGGGGGCAAAGGUCUUUUUUCUUUUUCUGUUUCUUUUCUCAUUUUCUUUUCUGUUUCUUUAUUCUAUAUUAGUAUUUCGUAUUUAUUCCUUGACAUAUACUAGUUCUAAUACGCUAAUAUAUAUAAAGUUGUAUUUGAUCUAUAAUACUACAUUUGAGAUAAUAUUAUAUAUAUAUAUAUACAUCUUCUGCAUACACAUUUAUGAAUAAUAUUACAUUGCAUCAACCCUUGAAGUUCAACAUUUGCAUCAACUAUUCUAAACCCGAGUCCUGAUGGUGAUGCAGAUUUGAUCCAUCAUUAUGGAACUCCCUCGCUGGAUUUACUACCUUGUCCAGAAGACAUCCAUUGAGUUGUUCGUGAAUUGCCCUGAUUUUUUCUGUCUCAAGGAGUGCUUCAUUCAUGUCUCUCAUUUAUGUCAUUGGCAAAGGUUAUUAUACAUUAGAUCAAUGGGUCUACACAAUUAGAACUAAUUUAUUGAUAAGAAAUUUGUAUACGUACUCUGAAUUCGUGGUCGGUUAUACGCUUGGAACAUACAAAGCCAUGGAUGAACUCACAUAGUAUCCGCAGAAAUUAUUCCCUGGAUUCUAUCUCAAACACUAUAUAUAAGGCAAAAGAAAUUAUGAAAUAUUUGUUGUGUACAAGGAAGUGUCACAAGACGUGGAAAUUCAACACAUACCAGGAAUUCAGGCUUGAAAUCAAGUUCCUCCUUAAAUUCACCUGUGUAAUGUCGACGAAAGGGAGCCUAUGCUUUGUUAAGAAUGUCUAUGAGGUUUUGUAUUGAUCUAUUGAUUUCCUCAAAGAGUCCAUGAUAUACAUCGCGCUUCGAUCAACCACGAUAACAAGGAGUAUCCAGUGGAAGCUGUACAUAUAUGCAUAUCCAAAGCUAGUUAGUUUUAUAUUUAACUGCUAGUUCGGAAAAGAGAUAGGAAACCCACUCACUCGAAGUUGUACGGUAGAAGUAUGUACUUCUUGUAAUGUUGGCUGUCUAGGAACUUAUAUAUGUUCUUCAAGGUCUGAUUUGGUCUAUCUCUUACAGUUGACUCGUUUGUAAUAUCCGGGUCCAUGAAGCUAAUGUCAUAUUAUCCUUUCCUCCAGCAAGUUUGAAUCUCCAUCCUGCAUGAUACAAAAUUGAAUAGGAGUUAAGAUAUCACACAAUGACUAGAGCGGGGAUUUUGAGGUUAGAGCAAAUUAAAGACUAAUAGAACCCAUGAACUAAUGAGUGACUUGUCAAGUGUGUCUUGAUUGUAAAGGAAAUAGAGUUCCUCUAGCGGCACAUUUAUAAUGUCUUUCCCACGGAAAUAAUGUUGAUCUCCAAUCCGAACUUCGGGCAUGCGUAAACCGUUGGCUGAAACCUCCAUGUACCAUUGGUGCAAUUUGUACAUCUUCGUUGGAAGACGCUCCACCAACUGCGGCCACACAAGCGGUUUCUCUAACUCAAAUUUCCAUUUAGCAGCCCUAGGGUGAUUUGGGACGUGAUCCUUUCCUCGAAGUUGAGCUGUGGUGAGAUUUGUAUCUUUGGCAAAUAAAAGUAGGUUCUUAUCAAACUCCAAAAGCACCUGAAGCGGGGCAAUCGAUUGGUUGGAUUGGGUUCCGAGCUGUGAAAUACUUGACCCACUUUUCUUCUUUUUCUGAAAAGCCUUUGUUAUUGAGCGGUUGUAGUCAGAUAGACGUGGUUUCUCUGGCUUGCUUCUAAUGAAAGUCCGAAAUUUAACCUUAUGAAGUGGUGGAUCUUUCUUCACGGGAGGCUUUGGUGCGAAGUUAUCUUUAACCUCAGCAUCCACUACUAUGUCGAUUUCUGCAUCAGUCAUCUCAUUAGCUUUCUUGGGCUCUGGUUGCUUCACCUUCGGCUUCUUCUACUUCUUCUUUGUAGCUGCAGUAGGCGGAACUGAAGGCGUCUUUCACCAUGUAGCCUUGCUAAUAAUAGGGGGAGGUGGACACAUGCUAGGAUCCCUGUCAGCUAGUGGAGAGCGUGGACUCAUGCUAAGAUCCAUGUUAGCUAGUGGACUCAUGCAAGGAUCCCUAUCUGGUAGUGGAGAGGGUGCCCUAGCAGAUGGCGUAGGUGAUCUUGCCCUUGAGCCUUAAGGAGAUGAUCCCAAGGUUGAGGGAUUGGGCUGCGUAAUCCUUAUGUAGCGCUUGGGCUAUAGAAUCCAACCCUCGAUAGCUUCUCCUAGAUUCUUUUCCCCGUCACCUCUAGGGAUCUCCAGUUCUAGAGCCAUCCCAACCGUUGACCACUUAGUCCACCAGAACUUUGGCAUAACCGCGAGCUGGAAUCUCCACACCAUGAUUUUUUUGGCCUUGUGUCGGUUGUUCAGCCACACCACAAGCCACCACGAUGAGCUUGUUUUCACAGGAGUAACAAGCUCACAAGGGGCUCUCCCAGUGAUGUCGUCCAUGGGGUGGCGUUGGUUGUCCUCAAACAUGUCAGAAGAUCCUCAAACUGGGGCUUCCUUGGAAGCGACGCUGAGAGGGGCUUACAUCAACAUUAGUCCUUGAUGAUGCAACUGCUUGUUCACUGGCUUGUUUGCGAAGAGUUAGAGCCACAUGCUGGUUGAUUGCUUCCUCCAUUCUUGCCUCUGUCAAAGCUACGUAUUGUUGCAACUGCACCCUUCUGAAAGACCCAAUCUUUCACUUUUUCUACAUCUACACCUUCGAACCUGAAGUUUUCUUUUAUCUGCUCCCAUAACAUGUCCUUGUCUCCAUCAAGGACCACUCUUAUGGGGACCUCAGGUAUGGGGACCACGCUCUCAUCGAUUUUAGGGCUUUUCCAAUUCUGAAAGCUUAUUGGGAUGUUAUCCCUAACAAGAAAUCCAAUUUGAUUCACCAAUUUGAUCUUAGCAUUAUCUAGAGCAGUUGGUUCAACCUCUUCAUUAAUUUUCGUGAUGUGAUACAUCCCUCUAGCUUCUUCUUCGGACCUCUUUUCCAUUUACACCUGCUCGAUCCAGAUGGCUGAGCACAAAAGAACUAUUAAUUCCCAAUAAUCUUGAUAAGUAUAGAAUUCAAAUCAUGUUUACAUCUACUAAUUGCUAUACCUCGCAUUGUUGUCCAUCAUUGCCUCCCUCAGCAAUUGGUUCCUCCUUAUUGACAUCACCAGACAUGUUGAGGUAGAUGUCAGUCUGGCUAUGAUCGACCUCUUCAUUUAGUUGAUCAUUUGUGCGAUCUUGAGCAAUCAAGUCUAUUAAGUAUUCCUCGUCCAAUCGGGCCUGCUUGUCCUCUGGUCAUGCCAUUAUAAGUAAUAUAAUAUAAAAAGUAUUAUUUUAAGAAAUAGUAGGCAUCAACAAUAAAAAGAAUGACUAAAAAAAGAAUCAAACACUUGGUACAAUUUGUUACAAUAAAUGACUAAAAAUUUAUUUACAGUCAAUUGCAUGUCAUUUACAACCAUCGUCAAAUAUUUUCUAACAAAAUUAUUAAAAAAUGACUACAAAAAUGAAUGACUAAUAGUUAUACAUUUUGUAACAAUAAAUGACUAAAAAAGAAUGAAACACUUAUACACUUUGUUAUAUUUCUAAUAUUUUAUACACAUUUAUAUAAUUUAUUGAACUAUUUGAUGAGUUUCUAGUAUAAAUGACAACAAAAAUAUUUACAACGAAACUUAGUCGUUCACCAUCAUCAAAUUUCUUGGAAAUUUCUAGAAGUAUCAAAGUAAUUUCUAGUUUAUUUAGUCAUUUCUAACAAUUAACAGGAUACAAUAAACAUGGCAUAAUCAAUGUUGUACAAUUUACAAUUAAUAGGCUUUUCCAAGAAUCCUCGUCGGGAAGAAGCGGAGGGCCAGCGCUGCGGGGGGAGCGCGUGGGGUGCGUGGCACCGGUCGGGGGCGGCGCAAUGGUGGCGGGGCUCAUGGGGGCGGCGCUGGUCAGUGGCGGGCACGCGCGAAGUGGGUUGGGGAGGAUGCUGGCGGGGAAGAGGAGGAGGGCCGUCGACGGACAGUAGUGGGGCCGGUAGGUGGCCGGGUGGCGGCGACGGAGCGCGUCGGGGCACCAGUCAGGGGUGGCACAGCAUCGCCGGGGAGCGGCGCGUCGGUAGAGGCGCGCGAUGAUGGUGCGGGGGCAGUGACACGGAGGAUCCGAGGGGGGCCAGCGGCGGCGUCAAUCGCAAAAUUUAGCUAAGUUUUGGGGGAGUAAAACGGUGGAGUUUUUAUCCCCCAAACCUUUAGUACUGGUGCUAGCCAGCACCCGGUAAUAAAGGCCACCCCUUUAGUACUAGGCCUAGCCACCACCCGGUACUAAAGGGGGCAGAGCACGCGAAAGAAAAAAUGCCCCUCUUUAGUAUCGGGUGUUGUUAUCACCCGGUACUAAAGGGAUUUGUAGCCCAUUGUUUUGGCUUCCUACUUAAACAUCUUUUAUUUUUCUUUCUUUUACAAUUGCUAUUGUAUUAAUUUAUUACGUAGUAAAUCAAAUAACAUUCAUAAAAUUACAAAAAUAAUUUGUUAGCUUGAUGUUGAUUAGGUAUACACUAUAAAAAUAUUAGCUGCAUUUAAAUAUCUAACAUGUGAAAUUAUUAAUUUUAACUUAGUAAUAGGUUGUAAUGGUCAUAAUACUUAUGUUAACUUUAAACUUUGAAAAAAUAAAUAUUUUGACCAUGCAAAAAUUUAGAAGAAUAGUGCCUUUAGUGUUAUUAACAUGUUUACCGUGACUUAAUCAUUUACUUGAUUAAUUGUACAUAAAUUUAUUGUUUAAUAUUUAAUGGUGCUAAAAAAUCAAAAUAUUUAAUAUUUUAACCAUGCAAAAUCAGUUCUUGUUUCAUAGGGUGAGAUUUUUUUGCAAAUAGUACUGUUAAUGAACCCAUAGGACACAUGACAUAUCAUUACAAUGCAUUAUUACAUUAAUUUGUUCCUUUGUUGAUAACCACAAAACACAACAUAAUCAUCAUCUAGCGGAACGUUAAUAACCUUCAUCUUGACGAACGUCCCUUAGUUGUGAUCGCGGUGUAAGUAUGGAGCAUCCUCUUUGGCUAACAGGAUGGUUGGAUCAACAUCAACUGAAAAUGGAGGAAGAUGAUCGAACUGAUCAUAAUCUUCUGAAAUGUCAGUCUUGUCCUCAACUCCAACGAUUUUUCUUUUCCUUGGAAGAACUAUGUGGUGCUUUGGCUAGUCAUCUGAUUUAUUAGCAUCCUUCUUUGCUGGUUUGCUUGACAUGUCCUUCACAUAGAAAACUUCAGUCACAUCAUUGGCUAGGAUGAAUGGUUCGUCUCUGUAUCCAAUCUUGUUUAGGUCCACUAUUGUCAUCCCAUAGUUGUCUGUCGUUAUGCCUCCUCUAGUAAGUUUCACCCAUUGACACCGAAAUAGAGGGAUUUUUAAAGGUCCAUAGUUGAGUUCCCAUAUCUCCUCAAUGACACCAUAGUAUUUGCCUUUUUUUCCAUUGUUGUCUAUUACAUCUAUACGGACACCACUAUUUUGGUUUGUGAUCUUUUAGUCUUGGGCUCUAGUAUAAAAUGUGUAUCCAUUUAUCUCGUAUCCUUGGAAUGUCGAUACUAAGAUAAAUGGACCCCUAGCCAACCAUGCUAUUUGUUUUUCAAUUGUGUCAUCACCCAUCAGUCGUCGCUGCAACCAAGAGGCGAAAGUGUUAAUGUGAUGAUGUGUAAUCUAGGCAUCAAUCUUUCCUUGGUUUGAGAACUGUACAAUAGCCUGUACUCCUCCAUAUAUGGAGCGACCAGGGAUGAUUGUUGCAGGACCGUUAAGUGUGCUUUGCGAAAUGUAUCCUCAUCGAUGUCCAUCCGAGCUUUCCUCCCUAGUCUGCCCUUUUCCUUUAGUCUCCCCUCAUGGCGUGAUACAUGGACUCCAAUCAAACUCAAGUUGUCAAUAAAGUCAAAACAAAACUCAAUGGUCUCCUCUGUUCCAUAUCCCUUUGUGAUGCUUCCUUUCGGAUGGGCACGAAAACGAACAUACUUCUUCAGAAUUGCCAACAACCUCUCGAAAGGGAACAUAUUGUGUAGAAAUACAGGUCCGAGAAUAAAAAUCUCUUCAACAAGGUGGACUAGAAGGUGGAUUGAUAUUUAAGAAGGAAGGUGGAAAGACCAUCUCAAAGCUGACCAGGCAUUGCACCAUGUACUUCUACAGCUUUAGUAGAUUGUUUGGAUGGAUUGCCUUCUGAGAAAUCAUGUUGAGGAAUGCACAUAGCUUCACGAUUGUCAUUCUCAUAUUCUCUGGUAGAAUACCUCUUAGUGCAACAGGCAACAAUUGUGUCAUCAGAACAUGGCAGUCACGGGCCUUUAGAUUUGUGAAUUUCUUCUGUUUAAAAUUUAUUAUUGCCUAUAUAUUCGAGGAGUAGCCCGAUGGGACCUUGAUACUAUUCAAGCACGCAAACAUGCUUCAUUCUCUUCCUUGCUGAGAGUGUAACUGGCAGGAUGCAAGUAAUGUCCAUUAUCUCUCUUUUCCGUAUGUAGGCCAUCUCAUUGUUUCAUAUGUUUCAGGUCCUGACGUGCUUCAAUUGUAUCCUUUGCCUUUCCAUAUGUACCUAGGAAGCCAAGCACAUUCACACAAAGAUUUUUCGUCAGGUGCGUCACAUCGAUUGAAUUACGUACCUCAAGAACUUCAAAAUAAGAUAGCUCCCAAAAUAUAGACUUCUUCUUCCACAUGGGUACAUGUUCGUCCUCGUUGUUUGGAAGAGGUUGGCUACCAGAGCCCUUGCCAAAGACUACCCUCACACCAUUUAUCAUAGAAAAUACACGUUUACCAUUAUGGUGAACAGGCUUAGUAUAUUUUUCUUUCUCCCUUUCAAAAUGCUUCCCUUUCUUUCUGAAUGGGUGCUUAGAAGAAAGAAAUUGACGAUUGCCCGUAUACACGACCUUCUGACAGUGUUUCAAAUACAUGCUACAAGUAUCAUCUAAACAGUGCAUGCAGGCUCCAUAUCCCUUUUUUGUUCCAAGCAUGGGUCACUCAUUUUUUGCCUUCCAUUGCAACAUUUCCAGUGUGGUACCCAACUUUUUGUGCCCCUGUUUGCAAUCUGGGUACUACAAUUUCUUAUGAUCAUCUAACAUACACUCAAACUUAUUUGACUCCUUUACAUUCUCGCAGUCUUCCUUUGCAUCUCGCAAAACCUGACCUAGAUCAUCGGUAGGACUUUCUUCUGCAACUAUCUCUUCUUCAGCCUCGCCCAUUGCAACAUUUGCAAAGGCAUCUCCUUGAGUCCAGUCAGGAAUGUAGUUAUCAUCUUCUUCAUUAUCAUCAUCUUUCAUCAUAACUCCUAUUUCCCCAUGCUUGGUCCAAACGAAAUAGUUAGGCAUGAAUCCCGAACUGUAUAUGUGGGUGUGAAUAAUAUUUCUAAAUGAGUAAUCCUUCUCAUUUUUAUAAAUUUGGCAUGGACAACAAAUGAAACAAGAUGGUGGCUUGUUGGACUCUGCUAGAUCAGGAAAACCACGCAAGCUAUUAAUGUACUCCAUGAAGCGUUUGUCCGCAUUGUACAUCCAUAGUCGAUCCAUCUACAAAGUAUUACCGAGCCAAAGAUAUUUUAAUCAUUCAUAGAAUUAUACAUGAAACAUAACAAACAUGAUACAAAAUUCAUUGAGCCAAAGAUAUUCUAAUCAUUCAUAGAAUUAUACAUGAAACAUAACAAACAUGAUACAAAUUUCAUUAAACUCAAAUGUUGCUGAAAGUUUAUUAGAAAUACACAAAUUUAAUUUUCAGACCCAAACAAUAUGAUACACUACGACAAACCAUCCACUAAAUAAUAUCUAGGAGGACUUUAAGAGCGGCGAAGAUGAAGGUUUUGCUGAUCCAGCCUCAUCCCGGGACUGGCGGCGGAGCAUAACGACUACCAAAAGGAGGUUCCUGACCUGCCGCAACAGCAUCUUCAUGACAUCUUUCCAAAUAAUGAAGCAUUGCUCUCUCCCACGUGCUCAUUUUCUUCGGCUUAUCAUGAGGGCCAACUAUGGUUUUCCCUUUGCCGCGAGAGGAACAACGAUCGCCCCCACCAUCGCCACUACCUCCAGCAGCAGCAGUAGCCAUCUCUAUGUACCAUAAUUUAUUCAGCUCAUAUUUGGAAAUGACUAAACUAUGAACAAAUUAUAUUUUUUCCCCAUAAUUUAUUUAGCUCAAACAUAACAUAUAUAUGAAAAAUUUCUCCAUUGUAAAAAAAUGACUAAUUACGUACCUCUAUUUCAUCUUAUUAUCUCUAUGUACCACAAUUUAUCUCACUCAUAUUUGCAAAUGACUAAAAUAUGAACAAAUUAUAUUUUUCCCAUAAUUUAUUUAGCUCAUAUUUGUAAAGGUCUAAACUAUGAAAUUAUUCCUCUAACCUCAUAUCAAUUUCUUUGACUAAUACGAAACAUAGCAUCCAAAAAAUUGUAGCUUAUUCUAAAAAUCACAAAUAUGAGCUCUAAAUAACACAUGCAUAUAAAUGAAAAUUUUCUUCAUUGUACCUUAUUUUAAAAAUCACAAAUUACUCUAGCUCUAAAGCAUAAAACUUAGUAUACUAACCAUGUAUCGAGGGAGGAUGAGGUUUCUAACCUUUGGAACACUUGAAUGAGUGAAAUCCCCACGAAAUUGUAAAAAAUCCGGCAGGACCUCCCCUAUUUUGCUAUGAAUGGAUGAAGCCCAAGCUGGAGGAAAUGACUCGGGCAGGAGGAAGAAGAUGCCUGAUUUAUAGGAGGGAAGUUAGUACUAGUUGGGGGCUCCAACCGGUACUAAAGGUCACCCAUUAGUAUACUGGAGCUACUGGGGACUAACCGUUAGACCCGGUACUAAUACUCAUAUUAGUAUCGGGUCAAAAACCAACCGGUACUAAGGGCUAGAAUCAAUACUCAGUUUUUGAGUAGUGUCCUAAGGCCAAAGAAGCACUUGAGAUGUCCAGGAGCAAAUGUGACGGAACUUCGCAAGAUCCAAGUCAGGCGUAGGAGCUGACUUAAUUAGAUGUUUUGACCUUUUGGCCUGUAACAAGUUGUUCUAUGACGGACGUCCUCUUAAGCUAAAACAAUUGCUUUUAAUUUGUGGACCUGUGCAGGAUAUUGUACCCUUGCGAUUUCAUCGUGAAAAACCCUGUUGUAGUGGUUAUGCUUGGGUUAAAUACCAGGAACUACAUCCCAGAGCCAGCUUUCAAGACUUUUGGUAUCGCUGCUAUUGUUAUUUUUCCGACCGCAGCUUUGCUUUGUACCAUUUCUUCAACUUUCGCGGUGGUUAUGCACUUUGCCCUUUAAACGCUGGCAUCCCACGAUUUCGUAGAGAUCAAGCAGGAGCCUCUUAAAGGGUUAUACUAGUUUUUAUUUGGGAAAAACAUCACCCACUCAAGCCUUUUAGAGAAGGGGAUUUACAAUGCUUAAUAUUAUUGUAGCUAUGGUUUGCUGUCUGCAAUAAAUUGCCUGUACUACCCUUUUGCACACUUUUCUAUUGCCUCACCUUUUGUUUUUGUGGAGGUAACGGUGAUUUCGAUCGCUUACUUGAGGGCAAACUCAUAACAACAAAGCUUUCAUGUUCCCUUUGCCCUGUGCUCGCCUUCGACAUUAAAGUUCUUAUUUAGGAAUGACAUUUGUUCCCAUUGCACCUUGUUGAUCUUGUACGAUCGAAGGUGCUAUGAUUAUGCUUUUCACUUUUCUCAAGUUGCGUGCUCACUGUUGGAGAUAAGAAGCCUUCAUUUCUACUUUUGAGGAAUGAAGUCUCGAUGAGGUUACAGAUAAGUUGGUACGUAAAAAGCUUGCUAAUGCUAAGUUUUUGCGUUGUUGACCGGAGGUGACAAUGACAUGCCUCCUUGUCAUCGAUCAAGCUGCCAAUUCCUCCAUCAGCUUCGACCACGUACCUUCACUUGGACGCACCUGCGUCUAUGCGAGAUAGACGCAAUUUCUAUCCUGAGGGUCCAUAUGAUAUUCCAGAUCGAAAGUGGUGAAUUGGGCCAGGUCUAGCUAUGACCCUCGCAAAACACCUCCGAUUCCCCUGGUGAGGCCCUGAGUAUGGUAGCCAACGUUCGGAGAUAGUAAGUGGAUUCCACAAUCCCCAAUAGUCCUGACCGGCCCAAUGAUCUUUUAGGUUUGCGUAAAUAUUUAGCGUUGUGCCAAGCUAGUUUGUCCGUCUCUUUUCCCGCAUCACUGUUAACCCAUCAUCUGAUCUCACUUGCGCCGACCAGAUGGGAUCUUGGGAGUCCACAAGCAGGGUGAUCUCACUUACGGUGGCCUUCGACACAACACAAGCACUUGCACUUGCACAAGUUGCAGGGUGGUCUCUCACCAACAGAAGAGCGGUUCAUUGCCACACAAAGGGGUGCAAGGAACCCAUCGUCACCGCCCGUGGUACCGUGCCGGGUAGAUCAAACGGGGAUAUGAGCAAGCUUACAAGAAUUCAGUAUAUUUUGGUAGCGUGGAGGAUGAAGAAGAACCCUUCCUUUGUUCCUCUUUCAGUUUUACUGAAUUAUGUUCAGCAAAUGGACUAAAAUGAUGGAAAUAAUACGAAUUUGCUAUAUAUAAUUUUCAAGUCCUUGAGACUUGAAAUAUUUCAGACGACUUGUUUGAUCUGUAUGAUCGCUUGGUUUCGAUUGUAAGUCAAUAUUUGUCAUAGCAGUCCGAGUGACUUCACCUGCUUUGCAAUUUUAUAGUGUAGCACGUACGCCUCAUUAUUAUUAACCCUUUCAUGAUUUUUUUCAAGCUAGGCUCGCUUCUAUGUUGCCCCAAAACUGCAAACAGUAUCAAUACAUGCCCAUCCUUCUUAGAGGUUCAUUGUAGGAGACAGUAGGGCCUGGCUGAGGCCAUCAUCAGCCGACGAAGCCACAGCGGGUCCACUUGCUUCACCGCCGCCGCCGUUCCUCUCGUCACCCACUGAUGGCUCCUCCUGCUGGGAGGCAUCCAUCAUCCGCGCACGCCGCCUGUCCACAGGGUAAGUCCAGUACAGCGCCGAGCACGUGAGGCAGCAGGCAGUCGCCGUGACGGCGAUCACCGCGAAGACAGCCUUACCCAGAGCGACUGCGUUCUCCCGAUCGGCGUGGUCGGAAGCUGCUGUCCGCCCAUGGUACCCGAAGACAUGCUCUGCCAGGACGCCGACAGCGGGUGCCCCGAACGACGCCACAACGUUCUCGAAGCACAGGUCCAGCGCGUACACGGUCGUUCUCGCCUUCUCCGGCGCGAUCUCGGCGAAGAUAGGGCUGCCAAUCAAGAAAGACGGGGAAUGAAUGAAUUGAAUGCACGGAAGAACAACAAUGGCUAGCUGAUGUUGCUGUCAUCUUGUGAUGAUCUCACUAGCUGGUGGAGACCGUGCUCCAGGCCAUGGCGACGCCAAGGAGAAAGAACCCGCCGGCGUACACGGCGCCGGCCAGCGGCCAUCCCGGCCGCGCGAGCAGCAGCAGCAGGGCGGCGAGCGGGACGGUGGACGCAUUGGAGAUCUGCGCCAGCGCGAUCCGCCCCGUGUCCGGGAACCGCCGUGCGGCGAGGUCCCCGGCGAAGCCGGCGACCAGCGCGCCGAGCCCGUUGGAGAGGCCGUUCAGGCCCGUGACCACGGUGGUCUCCCAGCGCGAGAACCCCACGAGCUCCAGCCACAUGGCCAUGAACGUGAGUGCAGACCAUGGCACCUGGGCGGCUACCCCCUGCGCAACGACGGUCCAGAACGUGGGCACGCUCGCCACGGCCUUUGCUCCCCGGGCGACGGUGGAGGCCAAGGACGUGAUGCUCGUGCUUCCACUUCCGUCUGCUGCUCUGGAGUCAUCAUCGUCGCCGGCGACCAGCCAUGUCGGGAGGGCAAGCGAGAUGCUGACGAGAGCGAUGGCAAGGAACGCCAGCCGCCAACCUGGAACACCGCCGAAGAAGCUGGUAGGGGCCAGCAGGAUGCCCAGCGAGUUCCCCAUGGCGCCGCCCAUGCCUUGCGCCAUGUACAACCACCCGAACGUCGCGCCACGCGUCUCGUCGUCGCUGUAGUCGGCGACCAGUGAGUAGACCCCCGGCAGCACCAGCGCCAGGCCGACGCCAUUGAAGCCCCUAGCGAUCGCCAUCUACAUCAGAUUAUAUUAGGAAGUUGUCUUUAAAUUUUAGGAGGACGAUGGAGAUCGCUUUAAAUGUUAGGGGGUGACCUGAAGGAAGGUUGUCGAGGCGGCGACGAGGAUGGCGGCCACGGCACAGAGAAAGGUCCCCGCAGCAACAAUGCGGGUGCGGUAGAAGCGCGCCUCGGCACACAUGGCGAGAGGGUAGCACAGCGCCUGCACGAGCCCACGGCACAGCGUUAUGGUGCCCAGCUCGGCGGGCGAAGCUCCCAGAGCGGCGCCCACCUCCCUGUACAUCGCCGGCAGCAGGGACUCGUUUGCAUUCUCCAGCAUCGCCGCCGCGGUCACCAGCAACAGCGUCCACAGUCGCUGCCGCCGCCGCAGCCCGAACGCCCCCAUUCCUUAUUCGCCCCACACUCACUGCAGCGUCGCACUAAUAAAUAUUGCUACUAGGUUGCAGCCGGAGCGAAGUGGCAGGACAGCGCGGUGGCCGGUGGGGGCUUCAGGUGCAGAAUUUGGACCAUGGGUAUUCAAAAUUGUAGAUGGCAAGAAAAAAAUUUGACAGUCUAAAUUAUAGUUUUAUAACACAGAAUUAAGUGGUAGUAUCAUUGAUUAAUAAAAUUGAUCACAACUUGAAAUUGUCCAGCUACUAAUGAUCAACAUAUCAGAGUGCAUUUUGCAAGUUGCUGUGCUAAUUGCUAUCCCAAUUUCAGAAACAAUUGGAAAUGGCGAAAUGCUCACCUCAAUUUGACAAUUUCACAAACAAUCAGAGGAAUCAGGACCAAUGGAGAAUGAACCAGAGCAGGACGUGCCGACGCGGUCAGGGACGGGGAGUCGAGCAGUCCCCUGGAGUCGGGGACGGAGGUACAGUAGCGUCGGCCUGGUGCCGGCCGCCCGGCUGUCCACUCGUCCAGGUCCAGUAGGUGGCGGCGUGGCGCGGCUGUCGCGGUGCCGCUGCGCGGCAGCGCAGGCCUGCGAGCAACGGCGCAGCGGCGCUCCGCCCUCCCCCUCCCCGCCGCCGAGCUCCGCCCUUGGCCCGCCCCACCGGGCACCGGGUGCCGUCGGUGGCGGCAGCGUCUAGGGCUAGGGUUGAAGGCUUGAAGCAGCACCUGGCCUGGAUGUGGCGUGCGCGUGCUGUGCCUGUGUGCCUGUGUGGCCUACUGGCCUGGCCUGUGCGUGCAAUGGGAGGAUGGGAGUCCGAGUGGUGAGUGGGCCGAGUGGUGAGUUGGGCUAGGAAAGGGAACGUGGCUCUCGGUGGGGUUUUUUGUUUUGUUUCAAUGUGUUAGCUUCUUUAUUUUUGUUUUUUCAUACAUAUACCUAGAAUACACUAUAUAUAUAUGAAUUUUUUUGCAAAAAUAAUAGGUAUUCAACUGAAUACCAUGGAAUACAAGUGGGCCCGCCCCUGGGGGGCUUCAGCUUCACGUGACGCUGGAGGAGCAUAUCGGUGAGGAAGAAGCGUGCUGGCCUAGGUUUGCGGGUAAGGACGGGAGGAGACAGAUAGGGAGAGCAGCGGAUAUAUAGAAACUAGAAAGGAAAAGGAACGGUCCGGAAGGAAAAAAAAAAAGAAAAUUGUGAUAAAAAUAAAAUGAAAGGGAAGUUAGAAAGGAAAAGGAACGGUCCGGAAGGAAAAAAAGAAAAUUAUGAUAAAAAUAAAAUGAAAGGGAUGUUUGGUUAAGGUAUAAAAUUUAUUGAUUUUUUAUAUGAAAUCACGUUUUAAAUGGAUGGAAAAUAUAACACUCAUAUGCACAUCCGAAUUAAAUAGCUAUGUGCAUAUUGGACAUUUAACCUCCUAGUCGAUUUAGAAAAGCCGUUUUGCCAAACAUCCUCCAAAACGGCUUCGACUUCAACAGAGAAGCUACUUUAUCAGAGGAGCCGUAGCUGAAGCUGUUUUAGCCACGUCCGGAGCCCUGCCAAACGAGCUCUAACAUAUACGAGCACGAAACUUCAUACCUAUUGGGUGUUGGUUUUAGCUACUCCCAGGAAUAUAUAUAGGCCAUGGAAGCUGGAGGCCAAGAUGCGCCCUCACUCAGUACACACAUCAACACUACUACACAUAUAGUCCAAGACAAUGAGUCUAGUGGUGAGGAAGUCCUCACCCGUGGUAAUCAGGCCAUCGCCGGAGCCGGCAACCACGAGGGCGGUCACCAUAAAGCUCUCGUCUUUGGACAAGAGUCUGUACAAGGAGCCAACCACGUCUCUGCUCGUGUUCGAGGCUCCUCUCCACAACGCUGCCGAGACCAUCCGGGCUGCACUGUCCCGAGCAUUGGUCCACUAUUACCCUAUCGCCGGUCGCAUCGUCGCCGGAGCCGGCGACGAUGACGACGAUGUCCACAUCGAGUGCAACGAUGAGGGUGUGGUAUUCGUCGCCGCGUCCGCAAGCUACGCCCUGAAGGAAGUCCUGUGCUUCGACCGGUCACCGGGCGCGAGGAAGCUCCUCGACGAGCUUGCCGUCUACUACCCAGCCAUGACCUGUGGCCAUGGUGACCCUUUGCUGCAGAUGCAGGUGACCGAGUUCCCGUGCGGUGCCUUCGUCCUCGGCGUGCGCGGCGGGCUUUCUGUGCAAUGGGAAGGGUGGGGUCAGUGUGUGCUCGGCCUUGGUCAGGGAGGAGCAUGCUAACGCUUUCCUUGCCGAGUUAGCCCAGUUUUUGUGAGAUGUAACUUUCUGCCGUGUCUUUUAAGCUUCUAGUGUUUGUUUGGAUGCUUAUAUGUUUUCCUUAUCUUUUAAUUUAUUUACCGGAGCUGCGCUUUACUGAGAUGUUUGGAUUUUGAAAAAAAUGUGGAUUUCAACAUUUUUGUGUUGUGAGGUGAAAUUUGCCAAACCAUAAGAGUGUCUUCAGUGAAUCUCUCCCAAGACUCUUAGAAUUAACUUAUAGACUAAAAUGAAAUGCUAAGGUGUUAUAUGUGCAAGUGUGAAUAUUAAGAGUGUCUUGGAUUGUUGCGUGGGAUUUGUAUUUGAAUUGGAAUUACAAACCAUUAACUUUUACACCCCAACGGUUGCAACAUACCAAAUCAUCCGUACAACAUUCCAUCCUAGUUUCCAGUAAAAAAAAUCCGGGAUUGAAAUUACCUGGACAGAGGAAGCGGCCUCAAGCUCACUGCUUUCUGACUGAUUUCUGCUCCAUGAGCUCUCAGGGCCCUAUAUUCGUGCACCGCCGACGCAGCUCACUGCUUUCUGCGAUCCGUGAGCUGCUGGGGUGCGAGCAGCUAGAGUCACGGAUCUGCGCUCCGCAAGCCGUUGGGAGUCCUCGCUCGGGAAGAACAGAUUAGAGAUGCAAUCGAGAUGAGACGCACGUGAGAGAGGAAUAUAUAAGCAGGGAAGCAAGGGAGCAGUGGAGUGGAUACAAACAAUACGGUUCGGACGGUGGGCUAGAAGCAUUUCCGUUUAUUUAUAUAUAUAUAUAUAUAUGCCUCGUUAUUUGAAUUUUAUGCAAGCUUGUUGUGGUGAAUUACUGUAGCCCCAUCUCCAUGUGACCUCCAAUUUAAUAUUUUUAUUUCACGAAUUUUAUGAUAUUUGGUGAACUAUUUCCGUUGGUUAAGUUCUUUUUUGGGGGAACCUAUCCAUUUGGAUUGGAGACAUCUAAGCUACUCAGCACAACACGCAUGCUCGCAUUUUUCUAGGAAUUAAGGAUACUAUUUUUUUCAUAAUUAGACGACGUGCACAUAAAAAAUGAAUAAGGCGCCUGUGGUGACUGUCAAUCACAACAUUAUUUGCUGGUCCAGUCUCCUAGUGGUGUUUGCCUAGUAGGGUGUGCGCAUAUAUUGAUACGGUGAUCAGUAUCGUGCGUCUAUGUGGCCUCCUAUGCUCGUGUUUAAAUUUUUGAGGUAUUUUGAUGUAGAUCGAAGCAUUCAUAUUAUCUUCCUCAUUCAUCCAAUCUUCCUUCCCUUCUCAUAUAUAGGAUUAACUCUGAUUCAGAACAGAUUGAUUGAAUAUCAUUUGGGGUGAAAUUCCCUUUUAGGGCUAGUUUUGUCACACUCCAAAAUUUCAAUUUUGGAUUGCGAAUAGAAAACAUAAAUAAACUAAAUGAUUUUGUGUUUUCCUCAAAUUUUCCAACCUUUAAGUGGUUUGUUGUUCAUUUAAAUAGAGAAUAUGAUUUUUUAAAAAAAACAGUUAAUCAAAUUGAUAUGGGAUGUUGCAUCCAUGCUGACUGCAUAAUAUUUUUGAUGAAAAAUGAAUUAUAAAUUAUUUUAAAUACGAUUAGGUUUUCAGUCCGUCAAAAUAUUAGUUGUAAGUCCUAAAUCAUUUCUUUAACCUCUUGUAGCGCCACUCCUUUGAGUUCUUGUUUAAUCCAUCUAUUUAUUUAUUUAUUUAUUCCCUGCCUUUAUCCCUCAUUUAAUUUCUUUAGUUUUUCUGUACCUUUCUAUCUCCUUUGUUUUCUGGUUGAGCUCACCUUUUAUUCUCUUUUUUCCUGGCCGAUCCAAGUUUAAUUUUGUACCCUUUUUCCUAUAGUAUCACGCAAUGUUGAUUCUGCGCGCGACGCGAUAGCCCAGCGAUCGACGCAUCCUCGUUUCGUUUUCACGUGUGCGGGCCCACGGAAAGUUGACUCUCUCCCACGUUCUCUCUCCUUUCCUUUUCACGUGUGCGGGCCCACGGAAAGUUGACUCUCUCCCACGUUCUCUCACCGCGGUGCAUGCAACUCUGACUCUACAUGCACAUUAUUUUUUUUAUUAUUUUUUUUGUGAAGAAAACAGGCCAUCAUUGGAUGCGCAUGGUGAUGAAUGGUGAUUUUGUUUUUGGCCAUCCCGGAAAGCGACAGGGUCAGGGUCAGCACGCGGUGCGCGUGCAUGAUGCGUUCCCGUCUCCUCGUGACAAUCAUGAUUACACUGAGUGAAGCGCAGUACAGAGUAGGUGGGAUGCUGCAACCGUUGGCCUAUAAAAUAUGCUGUCGCCGACAAAGAAGUGAACCAAGGAUUCAUGGAUCUCAGCGCCGUUUGCCUCGAUACCCAGCACCGUUUCCUCGUUCCCACGAACGUCGCGUUAAUUUUGCAUCAAGGCAUGCAGGAGAGGGUCCUCGCCGCGCACAAAUUUGCAACCGCCAAACUUGCUAAACUUGCUGAUCUGGAUCCACCCAACUAAAUUUAGUUGGCUAAAAUAAUUAAAAUUUGAUGCCUCUUUUCUAGCUAGCUAAAGAUCAUCUAGCUAAAUUUUAGCCGGAGGUGUUUGGAUCCACCAGCUAAAGGAGUUAUUUAUCUAUCUUACUCCUCCCACCACCUCUCACCUAUCUUCUCUCUCCCUUGUCCUCUCCUCUUCCACGCCUCCACCAGCAUCUCUUCCAGCUCGCUGGUGGAUGGGAGGCACAGGGAGGGGCGGCGUAGCUCGUCGGCGGAGGAAGGAAGGAAGGGGGGCAGCACAGCUCGUCGACGGAGGAAGGAAGGGAGGGGGCGGCGUAGCUCGUCAGCGGAUGGGAGGCACAGGGAGGGGCGACGUAGCUUGUCAGGAAGGGGGAGGAAGGGGAGGAGCAGUGCAGCUCGCUGACGGAGGAAGGAAGGGGAGGGCGGCGACAGACCGUCGGUGGGGGCGACGGACUGGCGCCCGAGGACCGGCGGUGGUGGUGACGGACCGGCGUGCAGGGAACGAGGGGUGUAGGGGCGUGGGAGGGGAUCGAUGGAGGAUUUAACGAGAGGGGAAUUUUGGUCUUUACUGCUUUAGCUGGGUUCAACCAGCUAAAGCAAUCUUUAGCCAGCUAAAGUUUAGCUGGUGAGUUAGAUGGCUUAAAUCAGUCUCAAUAGAAGGUUUCAUACGAGUUUCAUGAGCAUUAAAUUCUAUGCCACAACAACAAUUUUAUUGACUUGACAAGGUCACCAUGAAGAGAGAGGAGACGGUGUUUCAUAAGAUGAGAGAGGAGUUUCAUGCUCAUAACGGUCACCGGGUACAAUUAUCAAGUUCCCAAUCUUAAUAACUGUGCAAUGAAAUUGCGCAACAAAACUGGCCUUAAAUUCCUCCAUAAAACCCUUGUGACUCGUUAAUGUGCGUUAUUAUAUAAAUGUAAGGACUUAUGAGUUUCAAAAUUGAUCAGCACAAAUGUGUAAUGACUCCUGGCCUAGUCCAGCAGCAUAGAUGGGAUUUAAUGUUGUCAUUUCUGGCAACGGUUCCAUGGAUAGGCAGGAUAUCUGGCUAAAGGAGUACUACAUUCAGCUCAUUCCAUCCUAAAAUUAUAUAAGUUCUCACAUGGGACUAUAUAGGAGUCGUAUGUUUUAAAUAUAUGACUAUUCGUUUGACUAUUCAUUGUUUCUAUAAAUAUUUAUGCAAAUAGUUAAGUCUAAAGUACUUCUGAUAACUAAUAGACGUAGUGAUACUUAUUUUACUUUAUUGAAAUUAUUAAUAACUAGAUAUUGUUUGUUAAAGUAGGAGGGAAAAAUUAAAUGUGCCGUAUAUUAGGAACGAAGCAAAUGAAAUUAGUUUUCCUAGUAGUUGGCUUGUUGUAAUAUGUAGUGACAAAAUAAACUUAAUUUAGAGUUGCCAGCAAGUAGGUAGGGCCUGUCCCUCUCUCUAUCUAUAUAUAUUCUCACGCACUCGGAGCUAUGGAACGCAAGCCUACACUAAAGCAAGUUACAUUCUAGAAGCUGGGUAUGCCAAUGGUGCUUAGGGCUAACUGUUAUUAGCCAUGGGCAGCACUGGGUAUGCCAAUGGUGCCGGCGUCGUCGUCGACGACGACGACGCGACUUGCCUGCACGCACAAACGCUGGUGUACGCCUACAACGUCACCAUGGCCGUCCACGCGGCAGUGAAGCUCGGCCUCAUCGACGCGCUCGGCGCGGCCGACGGCCGUGCCCUGACCGCCGACGAGCUCGCCGCGAAGGUUGUCAAGGCGGAGGACAAGGCCGAGUCGGCCGCCUUGAUCGGCCGCAUCCUCAGGUUCCUCGCGUCCUUCGACGUCGUGAGGUGCUCUGCCGAGAAAGGUCCCGACGGUGCCGUCCUCUGGCGGUACUCGCCGGCGCCGGCGUGCCGGUGGCUCACCAUGAACAACGGCGAGGGCUCGCUUGGCCCCAUGGCCGUGUUCGACGUCGACGAGGACAUCUUCUCGUCCUGGUAUGAAUGUUCUAAUUUUAUACUAUUACAUGACUACAAACUACAAAGUAUGCCUUUGUCAAUAAAACUUAUAUAUUAUUGGUACAUAUAACAUGCAUGAAGGCAUCACAUAGCGGACGCAGUGGCCGGCGGCGGCAAGAAGACGCCGUUCCAGAUAGCCCACGGGGGGACGCCGUUGUACGACUACUUCGGGAAGAACCCGCGUCUGAGCACGCUCUUCGACCAGGCCAUGGCUCAUCACUCAUUGCUGGUGAUCAGGAAGCUGCUCGAGCACCCGAAGGUGUUCGACGGCGUUGGGGUGAUCGUGGACGUUGGUGGGGGCACCGGAGCAACCCUAGCGUUGAUCAGGGGCCGGUACAAGCACAUCAAGGGCAUCAACAUGGAUCUUGCUCAUGUCAUCUCUGAGGCUCCGUCUCUUGAAGGUAUAGCUCCAGUUCAGAAAUUGUGGCAAGAGUACGUGGGGUUGUGUGUAUGUGCUUAGUGUUUCUUUUUUCUUUUUUCUUAUCUGACAGGAGUGGAGCAUGUGGCUGGGGAUAUGUUUGAAAGCGUACCCUCUGGAGACGCAGUUUUGAUGAAGGUAUGUUGAACACUGUUAGAUUUCAUGAAGUUUCCCCAGGGUUUUUAGACUACAGUAUGGAAUGUUUUUUAGACUACAAGCUAAACAGAUCACCAGGAUUUAUUACACCUGAUUAGUGCAUGCGAUUGUGCAGUGGAUGCUCAACAUGCAGAGCGACGAGGAGUGCAUGAUGAUCUUGAAGAACUGCUACAAAGCUCUCCCGGAUAACGGGAAGGUGAUCGUCAUUCAGAGCGUCCUGCCGGAGACCCCGGAGUCGACUCCGGCUUCCCGGGACUCGUUCACCAUGGAUAUGAUCAUUCUUGUAAACUUUAAGGGAGGGAAGGAGAGGACGGAGCAGGCGUACGCCAAGCUUGGCAGGGAUGCUGGAUUUACUGGUGGCUUCCAGUCGACCUACAUCUUCUGCAACAUUUACGCUCUUGAGUUUACCAAGUAGGGACAUGCACUACGUUUUUACCAGUUGUUGUGUUGAACAAGAGCUCGUGAGCUUUCCAAUAAACCAUGCGUCUUCUUGGUGAUAAUGCCAUUGAGGGCUUCAUGAGUACGAUUUGUACCUCCUUUAAUUUCUGUAUUCGCACUGUUGAAUAACCUGUUGAAUAAAGUAAAGAGAGUCCUCCCUGAAGAUCCGACUGUACAUUUUGGUUGAUCCUUUUUAUUACAUUGCAUGCCAUGUAUAUCUCACUAUCAUGGCUUAUGAACUCAAAGUAAAUUUACUCACACUCUACAAAUUCCACUAAUAUCUGUAAUACAAAUUUGUGAUCAUCAUUUCUAGAAUGUCGUACAAAGAUAACAAAAAUAACAACACAAUUCAGGCAAUCAAAGAUAGCAUCGAGAAAAGAAGAAAGAAAAGAAUAUGAUGAAUCCAUUGUAUACUCCAACGGGUCACUAGACCAAAAAUGGGUCCGUACUCCGUACAACUGGUUAGAAAAAGAAGUUUACGAACGGGUUUCAUGGAGUCUGUACAAAAUCUGUAUCUGUAUGUGUGUGUAUGUACUUUAAAAAACUACAAAUAGGUAUAAGAGACACAAACUCUAUAUACUCCGCAUAAACAUUACCCAUGGAAACUCUGCAUAGACACAUUAGCAUACGCGCUACUCCGAUGCCUUCAUUUCAAAUUUUAGGUCGUUUUAGGUUUUCUAAGUUUAUAAAAUUUGCUAUGAAUUUAGCAUGGGUACAUCUAAAUACUUAGCAAGUACUAUAAAUUUUAAAAUAUUAAAAUAAUCUAUAAUUUGGGAUGGAGAAAAUAGCUGCGAAAUUUGGUCAAGCCCACCUUGCUAGGUAGAAUAAAUAAGCUGUACCCCAUCCAUUUGGUAUUAUUUGAUGUUUCCAACAGCUCAAGGUAGCUAAUCUCAAAUUGACAAGUCCAGUUUGCAACAAGGACGCGACCCUUCGCCUAUAGCUUCCUUACCAUCUCACCUACAUAGCACAUCUGACUAAGUAGAGGAUACAAUCAUUUUAUAGUAACUCGUAGGGGAUCCUUUAGUCCCGGUUGGUAACACAUCUGACUAAGUAGGGUUGCGUGUGUGUUCAUUUGGGCGAGUGUGCGUGUGUGUUUGUGAGCGUUUGCGUCUGUACUGUGUGAUUCGAAAAGAAAAUACCAAAAGGAAUAAAGUCUACAUCACCAAAUAUAAACAAAGUCGCCAAUAAAGUCGCAAAUUAGGGGGUUAUUUUAAAUAUUAUUUAUAAUGGCAUAAGUGGGUAAUUUUGAUGAAGAUUAGGGGGUUACUUUAGUUUAUUUUAUAUAAUGGCAGAGGUGGGUAAUUUAUAUAUAGAUUUAGGGGGUUACUUUAGGCUAUUUUCAUAAUGGUAUAGGUUGGUAAUUUUUUAGAAAAUAUAAUAGAUCCAAUGACUAUGAUGAUUUGAAUCUAUCGAUUGAUGGUCGGAUGUUUUGCUUUUCAGUGAGAAUUUCUGGGAUUUCUCUUUUUUACUACAUUGUUCACUUAGGAAUCCUAGGUGGCUUCAUCUGGAGGCUUCAAAAAGAGCCUUCAAUUAGUAAUAGUAAGAUUGCAAUAUCAAACCACAUAGUUACAAACCAUUAAUUUUGACACCCCAACGGUUGCAACAUACCAAAUCAUUCGUACAACAUUCCAUCCUAGUUUCCAGUAAAAAAAUCUUUGCUAUAGAUUGAAAUACCUGGACAGAAGGUCUCAAGCCGAUGGCAUUGCCUCUUGAUUUCUCUUACCUCCACACGCAGGCGUCAUUGCAGCUCCUUGCCUUUGUUCGCCAUCGGCGAGGCGUCUUAUCCCCUUCACUAGCUCUCAGGGCCCUAUAUUCGUGCACCGCCGACGCAGCUCACUGCUUUCUGCUCCGUGAGCUGCUGGGGUGCGAGCUGCUAGAGUCACGGAUCCUUCUAUUCUCUUUUUCCUGGCCGAUCCAAGUUUAAUUUUCUACCCUUUUUCCUAUAAGUACCACGCAAUGUUGAUUCUGCGCGCGACGCGAUAGCCCAGCGAUCGACGCAUCCUCCUUUCCUUUUCACGUGUGCGCGCCGGCACUACGGGAAAGCUAAAAAUUGCCGAGUGUAUUUUUUUUGCCGAGUGUUUUUUUCGAGCACUCGGCAAACAAGCUCUUUGCCGAUCGCAAAGAAUUUUUUUUUAUUUUUAAAAAAAUCUUUGCCGAGUGUCCAGAUCAGGACACUCGGCAAAUCCCGCAAAAAAUAUCUACCAGCCCGUCCCGGCCCCCUACCCCAGCACCCUACUCCCCACCCGCCCGACGCGCCCCUGGCCUCCUUCAUUCUUCCGCACAACACUACCGGCGCGCCCCCGCCCGAGUGCCCGACGCCCCCCCCCUCCCCCACCUUCCUCUCCCGCCGCCGGCUAGCCACCGCCGCCGCCGCCGCCACCCCUUCCCUCCCUCCCUCCCUCUCCCUCUCCCUCUCCUACCGGCGCCCCUUCCCCUCCUCUCCCCUCCUCCCUCCCUCGCGUGGCCGCCCCGCCCCUCUCCCCAGAUCCGGCCGGAUCCGGCGGGGAAUCCGCCCCUCCUCCCCGGAUUCGGCGGGGACUCGCGUCGGGGACCCCAUAUCCGGCGGGCGUGGAUGGUGGUGGUGGCGGGCGUGGAUGGUGGUGGCGGCGGGCGUGGAUGGUGGCCGCCGCCGGCGGCGUGCUGGUGGUGCGGCCGACGGUGUCGGCGUGCCUUUUUUUUUACUUUUUUUCCAAAAAAUGGUUUGCCGAGUGUUUUCUGGGCACUCGGCGAAAACUGUGCCGAGUGCCCAACCGAAAACACUCGGCGAAUGUUACUUUGCCGACUAAAAGUUUGCCGAGUGCCAGAUGCCGAGUGUAACACUUGGCGAAUUUGUUGCCGAGAGUAUUUCAGGUUUCGCCGAGUGCCCCUGGCACUCGGCAUAAAACUUGUGUCCGGUACUGAGGCUCACGGAAAGUUGACUCUCUCCCACUUUCUCUCACCGCGGUGCGUGCAAUUCUGACUCUCACCACGUCGUCUCAAUGAGGUCGUUACAUGUACAUUAUUUUCAUUAUUAUUUUUUUUUGUGAAAGAAAACAGGCCAUCAUUGCAUGCGCAUGGUGAUGAAUGGUGAUUUUGUUUUUGGCCAUCCCGGAAAGCGACAGGAUCAGCACUCGGUGCGCGUGCAUGAUGCGUUCCCGUCUCCUCGUGACAAUCGUGACUACGAGUCUACGACACGGCCGGCCUGCCGGAGUUAUAGGGCACCUAAUUUUUCUGUACUUUUUUUUCUCUUAAAAUCUUCAGUUGUUGCAGAAGAACUGAACAGACGAUGAAUGAUUACACUGUGAAGCGCAGUACAUUAGGUAGGAUGGUGUCACUGUUGGCCUAUAAAAUAUGCUGUCGCUGAAAAAGAAGUGAACCAAGGAUUCAUGGAUCUCAGCGCCGUUUGCCUCGAUACCCAGCGCCGUUUCCUCGUUCCCACGAAUUUUGCAUGAAGGCACAUAGGAGAGGGAUGCAUGGUUUCCUCGUUGGUAACAGAACCGCGUCAAGUCUUUUCCUCCCAACCGACGUACUAAUUCCAUCCAACUAAACUUUAGUUGGGUAAAAUUUGAUGUCUCUUUUUUAAGCUAGCUAAAGAUAAUCUAGCUAAAGUUUAGUUGGAGGUGUUUGGAUCCACCAGCUAAAUGAGUUAUUUAUCUAUCUUGCCCCUCCCACCACCUCUCACCAGCAUCUCUUCCAACUCGCUGGCAGAUGGGAGGCACAGGGAGGGGUGGCGUAGCUUGCUAGCGGGGGAGGAUCAGUGCAGCUCACCGGUGGAGGAAGAAAGGGAGAGGGCGGCACAGCUCGCCAGUGGAGGAAGGAAGGGAGGGGGCAGCGUAGCUCGCCAGUAGAUGGGAGGCACAACGAGGGGCAACGUAGCUCGUCGGCAGGGGGAGGAAGGGGAGGAGCAGUGCGGACCGUCGACGGGAGCGACGGACUGGCGCGCGAGGAUCGGUAGUGGUGGCAACGGACCAGCGUGCGGGGAACGAGGAGCGCGGGGGCGUGGGAGGGGAUCGAGGGGGGGAUUUAACGAGGAGGGGUAUUUUGGUGUUUACUGCUUUAGCUGGUUUUAGCUAGGUUCAACCAACUAAAGAAAUCUUUAGCCAGCUAAAGUUUAGCUAGGCCCUGUUGGAUCCAAACAGGGUCUUAGUUAGAUGGCUUAGAUCAUUCUCAAUAGGAGGUUUUAUACGAGUUUCAUGAGCAUUAAAUUCUAUACCACAUCAACAAUUUUGUUGACUUGAUAAGGUCACCAUGAAGAGAGAAAGGAGGCAGUGUUUCAUUAGAUGAGAGAGGAGUUUCAUGCCCAUAACGGUCACCGGGUACAAUUACCAAGUUUCCAAUCUUGAUAACUGUGCAAUAAAACUGCGCACUGAGACUGGCCUUAAAUUCCUCCCUAAAACUCUCGUGACUCAAAACCCUCGUCACUCGUUAAUGUGCGUUAUUAUAUAAAUGUAAAGGACUUAUGAGUUUCAAAAUUGAUCAGCACAAAUGUGUAACGACUCCUGGCCUAGUCCAGCAGUAUAGAUGGGAUUUAAUGCUGUCAUUUCUGGCAACGGUUCCAUGGAUAGGCAGGAUAUCUGGCUAAAGGAGUAUUACAUUCAGCUCAUUCCAUCCUUAAAUUAUAUAUGUUGUUCUCACACAGGACUCUAUAGGAGUCGUAUGUUUUAAAUAUAUGACUAUUCAUUAUUUCUAUAAAUAUUUAUGCAAAUAGAUAAAUGUACAAGUUAAGUCUAAAUUACUUCUUAUAACUACUUAUUUUACUUUAUUAAAAUUAUUAAUAACUAGAUAUUGUUUGUUAAAGUAGGAGGGAAAAAUUAAAUGUGCCGUAUAUUAGGAACGAAGCAAAUGAAAUUAGUUUUCCUUGUAGUUGGCUUGUUGUAAUGUGUAGUGACAAAAUAAACAUAAUUUAGAGUUGCCAGCAAGUAGGUAGGGCCUGUCCCUCUCUCUAUCUCUAUAUAUUCACGCACUCGGAGCUAUGGAACGCAAGCCUACACUAAAGCAAGUUACAUUCUAGAAGAAGAGGCAAGCUUAGGGCUAACUGUUAUCAGCCAUGGGCAGCACUGGGUAUGCCAAUGGUGCCGGCGGCGUCGUCGACGACGACGACGCGACUUGCCUGCACGCACAAACGCUGGUGUACGCCUACAACGUCACCAUGGCCGUCCACGCGGCAGUCAAGCUCGGCCUCAUCGACGCGCUCGGCGCGGCCGACGGCCGUGCCCUGACCGCCGACGAGCUCGCCGCGAAGGUUGUCAAGGCGGAGGACAAGGCCGAGUCGGCCGCCUUGAUCGGCCGCAUCCUCAGGUUCCUCGCGUCCUUCGACGUCGUGAGGUGCUCUGCCGAGAAAGGUCCCGACGGUGCCGUCCUCUGGCGGUACUCGCCGGCGCCGGCGUGCCGGUGGCUCACCAUGAACAACGGCGAGGGCUCGCUUGGCCCCAUGGCCGUGUUCGACGUCGACGAGGACAACUUCUCGUCCUGGUAUGAAUGUUCUAAUUUUAUACUAUUACAUGACUACAAAGUAUAUAUGCCCUUGUCAAUAAAACUUAUAUAUUGUUACAUAUACUAUGCAUGAAGGCAUCACAUAGCGGACGCAGUGGCCGGCGGCGGCAAGCAGACGCCGUUCCAGAUAGCCCACGGGGGGACGCCGGCGUACGACUACUUCGGGAAGAACCCUCGUCUGAGCACGCUCUUCGACCAGGCCAUGGCUCAUCAGUCAUUGCUGGUGAUCAGGAAGCUGCUCGAGCACCCGAAGGUGUUCGACGGCGUUGGGGUGAUCGUGGACGUUGGAGGGGGCACCGGAGCAACCCUAGCGUUGAUCAGGGGCCGGUACAAGCACAUCAAGGGCAUCAACAUGGAUCUCGCUCAUGUCAUCUCUGAGGCUCCGUCUCUUGAAGGUAUAGCUCCAGUUCAGAAAUUGUGGCAAGAGUACGUGGGGUUGUGUAUGUGCUUAGUGUUUCUUUUUUCUUUUUUUUUCCUUGUCUGACAGGAGUCGAGCAUGUGGCUGGCGAUAUGUUUGAAAGCGUACCCUCUGGAGACGCAGUUUUGAUGAAGGUAUGUUGAACACUGUUAGAUUUCAUAAAGUUUCUCCAGGUUUUUUAGACUACAGUAUGGAAUGUUUUUUAGACUACAAGCUAAACAGAUCACCAGGAUUGUAUUACACCUGAUUAGUGCAUGCGAUUGUGCAGUGGAUGCUCCACAUGCAGAGCGACGAGGAGUGCAUGAUGAUCUUGAAGAACUGCCACAAAGCUCUCCCGGCUAACGGGAAGGUGAUCGUCAUUCAGAGCGUCCUGCCGGAGACCCCGGAGUCGACUCCGGCUUCCCGGGACUCGUUCACCAUGGAUAUGAUCAUUCUUGUAAACUUUAAGGGAGGGAAGGAGAGGACGGAGCAGGAGUACGCCAAGCUUGGCAGGGAUGCUGGAUUUACUGGUGGCUUCCAGUCGACCUACAUCUUCUGCAACAUUUACGCUCUUGAGUUUACCAAGUAGUAGGGACAUGCACUACGUUUUUACCAGUUGUUGUGUUGAACAAGAGCUCGUGAGCUUUCCAAUAAACCAUGCGUCUUCUUGGUGAUAAUGCCAUUGAGGGCUUCAUGAGUACGAUUUCUGUAUUCGCACUGUCGAAUAACAUGUCAUUCCACCUGUUGAAUAAAGUUAAGAGAGUCCUCCCUGAAGAUCCGACCGUACAUUUUGGUUGAUCUUUUUUAUUACAUUACAUGCCAUGUAUAUCUCACUAUCAUGGCUUAUGAACUGCAAGUAAAUUUACUCACACUCUACAAAUGCCACUAAUAUCUGUAAUACAAAUUUGUGAUCAUCAUUUCUGGAAUGUCGUACAAGGAUAACCAAAAAUAACAACACAAUUCAGGCAAUCAAAGAUAGCAUCGAGAAAAGAAGAAAGAAAAGAAUAUGAUGAAUCCAUUGCAUCAUCCAACGGGUCACUACACCAAAAAUGGGUCCGUACUCCGUACAACUGGUUAGAAAACGAAGUUUGCGAACGGCUUUCAUGGAGUCUGUACAAAACCUGUAUCUGUAUGUGUGUAUAUGUUCUUUAAAAAACUACAAAUAGGUAUGAGAGACACAAACUCUAUAUACUUCGCAUAAACAUUACCCAUGGAAACUCUGUGUAGACACAUUAGCAUACGCACUACUCUAAUACCUUCAUUUCAAAUUUUAGAUCGUUUUAGGUUUUUCUAAGUUUAUAAAAUUUGCUAUGAACCUAGCGUAGGAUACAUAUAAAUACAUAGCAAAUACUAUAAAUCUAAAAAUGUUAAAAUAAUCUAUAAUGUGGAAUGGAGGAAGUAGCUUCGAAAUUUGAUCAAGCCCACCUUACUAGGUAGAAUAAAUAAGCUGUACCCCAUCCAUUUGGUAUUAUUUGAUGUUUCCAACAGCUCAACGUAGCUAAUCUCAAAUUGACAAGUCCAGUUUGCAACAAGGAGCGGAGGUAGUACUACUACGGAUGGAAAAAAUAAAGAAAAAGGCCCUGGGAUUCCACACCAGCUCCAUAACGUGAGUUCUCGAUAAUAUUUGCAGCAGUAGUUGCAGUGCAGUUCGUUGCGCUGUGAACUGAGUGGUCGGUGUACGUUCAGUCCCAUCCGGCGACACCUGCACCCCGGUGCAGUGCUCGGCGCAGCGUAUGGGAGCAGGAGCUGCCCAUGUGCACGGCUCAACACCGUUUAAUACUUAAAAAGGAAAGAAAGGGUGUAUUCUGCUUGACAUUGGCACCGGUCAAAGCCCAUUGCAACUGCCGACACGCGAUUAAAUUCAGAUCCAGAUCCAGCCAUUCACUAAUAAUUAAACUAAACCCACGCGGUCCGCGAGGUGCAGCGUCCACAGCACUUCCCGCCAACAGCUCAACGUAGUUAAUCUCAAAUUGACAAGUCCAGUUUACAGCGAGGACACGAACUCAAACUUCUAGUUUUUCUUACCAUCUCACCUACCAGCACAUAUAAUUAAGAGAGUGUUUGGAUACUAGGUGCUAAACUUUAGCAAUGUCACAUCGGAUGUUCGGAUGCUAAUUAAGAGAACUAAACGUGAGCUAAUUAUAAAACUAAUUGCAGAAUCAUGUGCUAAUUCACGAGACGAAUCUAUUCAGCUUAAUUAAUCCAUCAUUAGCAAAUGAUUAAUGUAGCAUCACAUUGUCAAAUCAUGAACUAAUUAGGCUUAAUAGAUUCAUCUCGCGAAUUAGACUCCAUCUGUGCAAUUAGUUUUGUAAUUAGCCUAUGUUUAAUACUCCUAUUUAGCAUCCAAACAUCCGAUGUGACAGAUGCUAAACUUUAGUGGGGUGUAUCCAAACACCCCCUAAGUAGAUGAUACAAUCCUUUUAUGGUAACUCGUGAGGAUCCUUUAGUUUCGGUUGGUAACACAUCUGACUAAGUAGGGUUGCAUGCGUGUGUUCGUAGGAGCGAGUGUGCAUGCGUGUUUGUGAGCGUUUGCGUCUGUGUGAUUUGAAAAAAAUACCAAAAAAAUAAAGUCUACAUCACCAAAUAUAAACAAAGUCGCCAAUUUUAUGACGAAGGCCAUAUAUGGUACAAUACAGGGAGAAUAAAAAGGCUGCAUCAUGUUAUCCUUCAACACAGAGUCCUUCAACACAGUCUCAAUGCACUUUAAUUGUUUCGGUACAAUAUAAGAAAUAUGGUCCACCGUCACUUUUGAUUUUGGAAUUAUUCAUUAAAAUCGGCGACUUUUUCAACAGCUCAUUAACAUAGCUAAUCGCAAGUCCAUUUUAGGGUUGUUUGGAUACACCUCGCUAAACUUUAGCACCUGUCACAUCGGAUGUUUGGAUGCUAAUUAGGAGUAUUAAACAUAGACUAAUUACAAAACUAAUUACACAUAUGGAGGCUAAUUCGCAAGACAAAUCUAUAAAGCCUAAUUAGUUCAUGAUUUGACAAUGUGAUGCUACAUUAACCAUUUGCUAAUGAUGGAUUAAUUAAGCUGAAUGGAUUCGUCUCGUGAACUUUUAGUUCCAGUUGGUAACACAUCUGACUAAGUAGGGUUGCGUGCGUGUGUUCAUAGGGGCGAGUAUGCGUGCGUGUUUGUGAACGUUUGCGUCUGUAAUGUGUGAUUCGAAAAAAAUACCAAAAGAAUAAAGUCUACAUCACCAAAUAUAAACAAAGUCGCCAAUUUUAUGACGAAGGCCAUAUAUGGUACAAUACAGGGAGAAUAAAAAGGCUGCGUCAUGUUAUCCUUCGACACAGAGUCUCAAUGCACUUUAAUUCUUACGGUACAAUAUAAGAAAUAUUGUCCACCGUCACUUUUGAUUUUGGAAUUAUUCAUUAAAAUCGGCGACUUUUUCAACAGCUCAUUACCAUAGUGUAAACAGCUCAUUAACAUAGCUAACACUAGUAGAGAAUUGGCCUUUAGUCCCGGUUGGUAGGGUGCAUAUCUCUCGGAUAUCCAUCCGGGAUAAACCAACCGGGACAAAAGGGGGGGUCUUUAGUCCCGGAUCUUUUAACCGGGAGUAAAGGUCCCCCUUUAGUCCCGGUUGGUGACACCAACCGGGACUAAAGGGCCUGCCACGUCAGGCGCGGGACAGGCCCUUUAGUCCCGGUUGGUGACACCAACCGGGACUAAAGGGGGACCCUUUAGUCCCGAUUGGAUUUCCCAACCGGGACUAAAUGGCACCUGCAUGGCACUACCGUGGCGCCUGAAUUUUUCAUGCAUGCAUCACGUAUACGUAGUACCGCGGCCCUUUUAAUUUGUUAACCUUUAGUAGUUGAGAUUUUUUUAGAACGAAAUCAACUAGUAUUUAAACGAAUGGGAUUUGUUAUUAUACAAUUACUAUAUAUAUAUACACAAUCCUUAUACACAAUUCAUAUACACAAUUCAACUAGCUUAGUACAAAUCGAUCAUAAUUAGCACGUAUUAUAUAUACAAAUAAAUCAAAGUAUUUGUCUACAAUCUUCCCGUCGUGGUGUUGCUGAUCGGAGUGUCUAAUUGUCGUCCAUCGUAAUAAAAUUCUCCUUUUGGAUCUACCACCUCGUCCAUUAUGAAUCCAAUGAGACCUUCACAUAUUGCCGCUACUCUUUCUUCCUUCAAGAGUCCUUGUUGAAUAUUUAACAUCUAUAAUUUGGAAAUUUGUGAAUGUUACACGAACAAAUACAUAUAAGGAGCUAGAAAAUAAUUAACUAGUAAUAGUUUUAUUUUACGUACUUUAAAGUUGUGCGGCCUCAUCUUCGGUCCCUUGGGUCCCAUAAAACUGUGCAUGUGCUCACAGAUGUAGUAGCCACAUAGAUUAUUCCCAGGUUCCUGUCUUAAGCACUUCAGUGCGGAAAAAAUAAGUUAUGAAAUAUUCGUGUUAUACAAUGUAAUAAAUGUGCAGACUUCAUACGUACCGGGAAGUUUGUGUUCCAUGUAAGUUUUUCUUUGAAUGGACCUUUGUGUGUCCUUAUGAAUUGUUUCCAUGCGCUGCGGAUUAGAAUAAUGAAUGAUAUAGUGUAACAGGGAUAAAAUUUAGGAAAUAAACUUUUGCAUAGAGAUAAAGGUCCAGAAUUAUUACAAGCCUAGCAUGUCUUGCAAUUCUUGGUAGUCCACCGGAUCUUUCCUUAACGAAUCGAAGACAGUGACGUGGCUUCUUUCAGGCUCAAUUAUAAUAAGGAUCCAGUGGAAGCUGCGUGCGUAAAAUGUUUAUGCAUAUUAGAGCUAACUAACAUGUAGAGAUAAGGAAAAAGACAUCGAAAGUAGACGGUAUACACACACAUACUUGAAGUUGUAUGGAAGUAGUAUGAAAUCCUUGAAUGUUUGUUUAUCUAGGAAAUUGUAUAUUUCCGCAAAGGUUUUUUCCGGCGCUAAUUGUAUCUGUUGUUGGUUAACUACAGAUGGAUCCAUGAAGCCUACAUGUAGGUACGCCUCUCGGCGGCAUGUCUGAAUUAGCAUCCUACAUGAAAUGGAAGAUGAAGUUAGUACGGUGACGCACGCCAAAAUUUACAUGUAGAGAUAAACGGACACUUACAUAAUCCAAGCGCUGAUCAGAGAGACGUCCAGGGCAUCAUGAUGGUACACUUCGUAUAUAUCCUUGAAGUCUAGCCACAGCACUUUCUCCCCUUCACCGUGAAAAUCUAUCGGUUUUACCUUCAUGCCGAUCAUCUCCCUCGAGUCGGCGGAUGCCAUCAUGUACCAUUGAUGGAAUGCGUACAUCUUUGUUGAUAGCUUCCGUACCAAUGAAGGCUUUACUAGAGGUUUGCCUAGCUCAAAAGGCCACUUCGGCUCAGGGAGCGGUGCAGUUGGCGUCUCAACUUGCCCUAUGCAUUCAUCAAGUCCCAGACCUGUUUCUUCCAUGAACUUCAAUACAUUUGCUUGUUGAUCCAAGGGCAUUGCUUUUACCCGUUGAGCAUCUUUUUUUGAUAAAUGGCUGAGGUCGGGGACUGGACCGCUAGAAGAUGACUUUCCUUUCCUUUUAUCCUUUUCAUCAGCCUUUACUAGAGCCCGUUCAUAGUUUGACAAGAGUGGUAUCCUUUUUUUGGCUCCUUCUUCCAUCCUGAUAAAAAAGUUUAAAUCUCGCCGACUUACUGGCGGUGGCUCCAUCUCCCUUGCUUUUUUUUUCUUCGGCUUGUUUCUUGAACCACUCACUGGCCUCUCGUUGGAUUUCUGCCCACUGUUCUGCAUGAGACAUUGCCUCAAAGCGUUCCUUACGAGUCACUUCAGGCUCCUUUGUUUUCUUCUUUCUCUGUCUUUGCUUGGGAGGCGGUGCUCGUGACUUCUUUAGUGGUGGUGCAGGUUCCUUCAAGGGGGCCGCUCUUGGUGCCAGCGACGGUGAUCGGGGAGGGGUGUUGUUAUUGUCGUCGUCGCUCCCAGCACCAGGAUGUGGUGGAGAUGGAGACCUUGAUAUAGAUGGAAGGGACGGUCCUGGAGCAGGAGAUGACGGUCUCGAGGUAUGAGGAGAAGGUCACUGCUGGGGAUCUACGGGGAGCGGUCUUGAGGUCUGAGGAGAUGGCUCCGUGCCGGGAAUAAUGAUGUAGCAUUUUCCCCAUAGAAUGAUCCCAUGAAGCGCAUCUGCCAAUGUCUUUUCCCCGUCGCCUCCCGGGAAGUCGAGCUCUAGACCUUCAUACUGAGGAUCAACUAUUUGCUCCACGCAGACGCUGGCGUAGCCUGUUGGAAUUUCCAUGCCAUGACUGCUCUGCCCCGCCAGGGUUGCUAACGCACUCCCGUACGCUACCUGUACAUAUAGCAGAAGUAAACAAGUUGAACUCCGAUCUCGAGGCCUGGAUCAAUUGACAAGAUUGCAUAAAUAUUAUGUAUAAGUAUACCUUAAUAGUGAGGUUGCCGACCGGUGCAUGCAGCUCACAUGAGGUCCAUUGUGUAAUGGCAUCCACGGGGAACCGUUGCUCCUGCACGGGUAACCUGGGCAUCUGCGCAUCGGGGACCCCUGUAGAAGCACAACUGCUCAAGAGGCGUUGAGAAGGGCUGGCGGUGUUAGGAAUCGGCAAUGCUCCAGAUUGGGCCAACUACGCAACUGCGUGGGCCACCCGCCGAUUGAUUUCAUCCAUCAUUCUUUGUUCUAGCAUCUGCCGCUAGCUCUCCUCGAUCUGUUCCUUUCUUCGCUUCCGGCUUCUGUACGAGGUGCUGUCGCCUCGGAAAGCAAACUUCCACGAAACCACCCCGAAACCUCGGCAACGUCCUGGGUGCUCUGGAUUACCGAAGGCCAAUGUGAGCUCAUCAUUUUCUCGGUCCACCUUCAACCUCCCAGCCUUAGAAUCUUCAAUGUUCUUCAUAAGAUGUUCGGCCUUCUCACGUAUUGUGUCAUUAAAAAUCAACGUCCCAUCCUCUUGGCUUAGGGAGCCUCCAUGAGCGUAGUACCAAUUUUUUGAUCGUUCGGGCCAUUCAAUAGUUUCAGGUACGAUUCCCCGUUCGAUCAGAUCUUGUUCCAUCUUCCUCCACUUGGGAAUUGCUGAGCCAUACCCACCUCGCCCCAAAUGAUGGUGGUAGCCCUUAUGACUAGCAUUUGCUGUGUUGGUCAUGAUCUUUUUCACACCUUCUUCACUCCUCUUAUAUUCAACAAAUGCAUCCCAGUGGUCCCUCAACUUUGGCCACGCGUUGAAGUCUGGAGUUCAGCCCUUCUUGAUGUAGUGGGUAUCCAGCAUCUUCUUGAAUGUCUGGAAUUGAGUAGCCAUCUUCUUAAGCGUCCACGCUUUGACAUCCUUCUCACUGUAUCCUUCGGGGAAUGUGAAAUGUCUCUUCACGUCUUCCCACAGCAUAUUCUUUUCUGUCUCCGAAAGGACGUACGGAUUAGUGCUUCUGCCCUUCCAUUCUCUGAUGCUGAUAGGCACGUUGUCCCGGACGAUUGCCCCGAUCUGACUCACGUACUUCUUUGUUACUUUCUCGGGAGCAACCGGCCUGCCCUCUUCUGUCACUUCCGUGAUGACAAACCUCCCUUCUAUCACCUUUGUACGACCUCGGGUCUUCUGCCCUUGUGUCGAUCCGGAGGGCUAACAGUUCAAGAUUCGUUAAUUAGUAUGUAGUAGUAACGGUGGCGUGAAACAAUACAAGAAUGGUUAUAUAUACCUCGCCGGAACCUUCCACCACGGCAAGUUGUUGCUGUGGCUGUUGCUCUUCAUUCCCAUCGGCGGACAUGUUGAGGAACAUGUCCGCCCGGGUGCCCUCUUCAUCCGUGUAUGAUAGUGGAACGUUGUCGCCACUACCAUCACCAGCGAUUAUCUGCUCCAUGAUAUACCUUGCGAUCUCAUCGUCUGCCAUUUCAACUAUUGAUGGAAACAUACAUGGAAUCAUACAUGAUAGUCAUAGAAAUCAUCUUACUACAAAUUUCUACAAAGUCCUACAAAGUCCGGAAUCAUACAUGUAUAUAAUGAAAUCAUAAAAUAACAUGAAUCCUACAAAGUCCGGAAUAUUUAUACAAAUUUCUACGAAUUUCUACGAAUUUCUACGAAUUUCGACGAAUUUCUACGAAUUUCUAGCAAUAUCCACAUGCGGUGCCUAGGUUGUGACGGCGGCGAUCAGGGCGGCGGAGGCGGGGACGGUUCCCUGGAACCACGGCGGUGCCUAGGUUGUGACGGCGGCGGUCAGGGUGGUGGUACGGCGGAGGCGGGGACGGUUCCCCGGAACCACAGGCGGUGCCUACUCGGUUGUGACGGGCGGUGCCUACUAGGUUGUGACGGGUGGCGGGACGGCGGCGGUCACGGCGGCGGGACGGCGGAGGGACGGCGGUGCCUACUACAAAUUUCUAACUUUAUUUUCUAACUUAAAAAUCUAACUUAACAAUCUAACUAAAAAAUCUAACUUAAAAAUAUAACUUAAUUUUCUAACUUAACAAUCAAAAUUAAAAAUCUAUCAUAAAAAUAUAACUUAAUUUUCUAACUUAAAAAAAAGGCCCACCUGGCGCUGCCGGCCGGCGCGGCGGCGGACCUCUCACGCGCGGUCGUCGACGGUGGCCGGGGCGACAAGGUGGUCGGGUCGGCGGGACGGCGGCGGCCGGACGGCGGCGGCCGGUGCGGAAAGGACGGCGGCCGAGGCGACGACGACAGCGGCGGCGUAGGCGGGACGGCAACAAGGGGUGACGAGGAUGGAGCCGGUGGCCGGAGGCGACGAGGUGGGGGCCGGGCGCGUUGACAGACGAGGAGGAUCGAGGCGGGCCGGCCGGGGGGAUGGAGGACGAUGAUGUCUGGGCGCGGUCGGCGGCGGGACGACGACAGCCGGCGCAAUGGGGGACAACGACGGCGGCGGCCGGCGAGGGAGGCGGACGGGCGGCGAUGGCGGAGCAGAACGCGCGGGACUUGGCGAAAAUUUGGCUAAGUGUAACUGGCGUGGGGGUAGAAGGGAGUACAGUGCCUUUUAACCCCCCCCUUUUAUCCCGGUUUGUAAUGGCACCCGGGACAAAAGGGCCUUUUGUCCCGGGUCCCAUCACCAACCGGGAUAAAAGGCCCCCCCUUUUAUCCCGGUUGGUGACGGGACCCGGGACAAAAGGGUGCCCCCGCCAGGUGGGGCUGGGAGCGGACCCUUUUAUCCCGGGUGGCACCACCAACCGGGAUAAAAGGGUAUGUCGGGGCGGGAGACGAAAAGUACCCUUUUAUCCCGGUUGCCGUUUGCAACCGGGAUAAAAGGGGGCCUUUUGUCCCGGUUGCUGUUAGCACCCGAGACAAAAGGUCUUUUUUCCUAGUUUUCUUCUCCCGCCUGUUUUUUUGAAAUGCAUUUUAUUUUAUCUUUUCACUGCAUUUCAGGAUGAAAAACAAAACCUUCACAGAUUUUGUACAUGCAAAAAUAUAUUUAAUUAACGAGUAAAUUGACAAUAAGUAUGAAUUAAUCAUUAAUUCUAUACCAGUUCAUUUAGCCUCUAAAAUAUUUAUUUUACUACAUUGCUAUGAUCAAGAAAUUAUUCAAUUAAAUAAUUUCAGUGCGCAGAAAAAUCCAUGUUUGUUUGUGGUUAACAUUGUUCAUGUUUAUCUAUAAAAUCUUCACCUAACAAAUUUAAGAACACAUGAAAUCAUACAUAGGGUAAAUUACAAAUUGUAUCAAUUAAUACACAAAGGUCAUGUACAUUUAAUGCAUUACAAUACAACGUUGUAAAAUUUCUUCUUCACGAAAGUUCCUUGAUCAUGAUCGCGGCGUAAGUACGGAGCCUCUUCUUUGGAUAGCAGGAUGCUUGGAUCAACUUCAACGGCGAAUGGAGGCAUGCCAUCAAACUGAUCAUAAUCAUCUGAUUGGUCUGUUUUAUCCUCGACUCCCACGAUUUUUCUUUUACCUGGAAGAACUAUGUGGCACUUUGGCUCCCAUGUCUCUUCUGAAUUCCUCUUGGGUUUGCUACACAUGUCUUUCACAUAGAACACCUGAUGCACAUCAUUGGCAAGUACGAAUGGGUCAUCACUGUAUCCAGUCUUGCUCAGAUCUACUAUUGUCAUUCCGUACUGAUCUUUGGUGACGGCAGUUAGCUUCACCCAAUUGCAAAGAAAUAGAGGGAUGUACAGCGGUCCGUAUUCGAGUUCCCAUAUCUCCUGUAUGAAACCAUAAUACGACUCCUUGCUAUUAUUUCUGUCCAUGGCAUCUAUGCGGACACCACUAUUCUGGUUCGUGCUUUUCUGGUCCUGGGCUCUCGUGUAAAAUGUGUAACCAUUUAUCUCAUAGCCUUGUUAUUUGACGAUUGUGCUAGCUGGUUCCCUGGCUAACCAGGCAAGCUCUGGGUGAAUCUCAGAGUUACCCAUAAGUUGUUGGCGCAACCAGGAGGGAAAAGUUUCCAUGUGAUGACGGGUAAGCCAAGCAUCGGAUUUGGUCGGGUUUUUGGAAGCUACCAUCUGCCUGUGCUGCUCGAUAUACGGAGACACAAAGGAUGACUGUUGUAGAAUAGUGUAGUGUGUCUUGUCGAACAAAUCAGUAUCAUUGCUCAAACUUGAUUUCCUUCCAAGGGUGCCCAUUCCUCGGAGCCUCCCCUCAAGGCGUGAAGUUGGAACCCCAAUCGAGUCAAUUGAAUCAAUAAAAUCAACACAAAACUCGAUCACCUCCUCUGUUCCGUAUCCCUUGGCAAUGCUUCCUUCUGGACGGGCACGAUUAAGAACAUAGUUUCUUAGGACUGCCAUGAACCUCUCGAAAGGCCACAUAUUGUGCAGGUAUACAAGUCCGAGAAUACCAAUCUCUUUUACUAGGUGAACCAGUAAGUGCGUCAUAAUAUUGAAGAAGGAUGGUGGAAAUAACAACUCAAAACUGACAAGACAUUGCACCACAUCGUUCUGUAGCUUUGAUAGCUUGGACGGAUCGAUUGCCUUCUGCGAAAUCGCAUUGAGAAACGUGCAUAGCUUUACGAGCGGCAACCGGACAUUUUCUUGUAGAACACCCCUCAGUGCAACCGGAAGCAACUGGGUCAUCAACAUGUGGCAGUCAUGAGCCUUGAGAUUUGUAAACUUCUUUUGUUUCAUAUUUAUUAUUCCCUUUAUAUUCGAGGAGUACCCAGACGGGACCUUCAUACUAUUCAAGCAUUCAAACAUGCUAUCCUUCUCUUCCUUGCUGAGAGUGUAACUGGCAGGACGUAAGUAGUGCUGUCCAUUAUCUCUCUUUUCCGGAUGUAGGUCAUCUCGUUGCCCCAUGGCUUUCAGGUCCUGUCGUGCUUCCAAUGUAUCUUUUGAGGUUCCAUAAACACCCAUGAAGCCUAGCACGUUCACGCAAAGAUUCUUCGUCAGGUGCAUCACGUCUAUUGCGUUGCGAACCUCUAGGAUUUCCCAAUAAGGUAGCUCCUAAAAUAUUGACUUUUUCUUCCACAUGGGUGCAUGUCCGUUAUCGUCGUUCGGAAUAGGUUGGCUACCAAGUCCCUUUCCAAAGACUACAUUUACAUCCUUCAUCAUCUCGAACAUACGCUUUCCAUUACGGUGUGCAGGUUUUUUACGAUGGUCUGGCGCCCCUUUGAAAUGCAUCCCACUCUUUCUCAGCUGGUGGUGAGCAGGGAGAAAUUGACGAUGACCCAUAUAGAUGAUCUUCUUACAGUGCUUCAAGUACAUGCUGUCUGUGUCGUCUAAACAGUGGGUGCAUGCCCGAUAUCCCUUAUUUGUCUGUCCUGAAAGGUUACUCAAUGCAGGCCAAUUGUUGAUGGUUACGAACAACAGUGCUCGUAGAUUAAAGAUCUCUUGUCUAUCCUCAUCACACACACGUACACCUUCUUCCUUCCAGAGCUGUAAAAGGUCAUCAACCAACGGCCUUAGGUACACGUCAAUGUCGUUGCCGGGUUGUUUUGGGCCUUGGAUAAGCGCCGGCAUCAUAAUGAACUUCCGCUUCAUGCACAGCCAAGGAGGAAGGUUGAACAUACAAAGGGUCACAGGCCAAGUACUAUGGCCACUACUCAACUCACCGAAUGGAUUGAAUCCAUCAUUGCUUAAACCAAACGUUAUGUUCCUUGCUUCACUUUCAAAGUCUGGUAAUGUUCUAUCAAUUGAUCUCCACUGUGCCCCAUCUGCGGGGUGUCUCAGCAUCUCAUCUUCCUUACGGUCUUCUUUGUGCCAUCGUAUCAACUUAGCAUUCGCCUUGUUCCUGAACAAGCGCUUCAAGCGUGGUAUUAUAGGGAAAUACCACAUCACCUUCGCGGGAACUCUCUUCUUGGGAGACUGCCCCUCGACAUCACCAGGAUCAUCUCGCCUGAUCUUAUACCGCAGGGCUUCGCAGACGGGACAAGCAUCCAAUUUCUCGUAUUCAUCACCACGAUAGAGGAUACAGUCAUUAGGGCAUGUGUGUAUCUUCUGAACACCCAAUCCAAGAGGGCAAAUAAUCUGUUUAGCUUCAUAUGUUGUGGACGGUAAUUCAUUAUUCUCGGGGAGAAUCUUCUUGACAAUGUUCAACAUCCCCUGAAAUGCCUUAUCGGACACACCAUUUUUUGCCUUCCAUUGCACAAAUUCUAGUGUCGUACCUAGUUUUUUAUGGCCCUGCUGGCAACCUGGGUACAACAAUUUUUGGUGAUCAUCUACCAUGCGCUGCAACUUUGCUGCUUCCUUCUCAGUUUCGCAAUCUCUGUAUGCAUCUCGUAUCACCUGACCAAGGUCAUCAGUAGGGCCAUUUUCUGCAAACUCAUCUUCAUCAGCCUCGCCCAUUGUAGUACCUGCAAAAGCUUGGCCUGCAACCCAGUCCGGAAUGGUGUCAUCUUCCUCCUCCUCGCCAUCUUCCAUUACUACCCCUAGUUCACCGUGCUUGGUCCAAACCAAAUAGUUAGGCAUAAAACCGUAUUUAAACAAGUGGCUGUGAAUAGUCCCCCAGGAAUCCUUUGAAUACUCCUUCCUGUUAUUGCAUUGGAAGCAUGGACAACAUACGAACCCAUUCUCUGGCUUGUUCGCUUUUGCCACUUCGAGAAAAUAAUGCAAGCCAUCAAUAAACGCCUUGCUCCGCCUGUCUGCAUGAUACAUCCAUUGCCGGUCCAUCUGCAUCGUAUUACGCAUGAAAAUGGAUUACACUUGACAAUGGAUUACGUGUGAAAAUCGAUUAAAGAUCCAAACAACAUGGUACAAUACAACAACAUGAAGAUCCAAAUACACAUAUUUAAAUUAAAGUCCCAAACAACAUGAUACAAUACAACAAGCCAUCCACUGGUUAUUAUCAAGGAGGACUUUAAGCAUCCUUGGACGGUGAAGAUGAAGGUUCCGCUGACCCAACCUCAUCCUUAGAUUUAUUUGUGCCGCCUGAAACAGUAGUACUAAGUGGACGUGAAACACUCGGGACUGAGGGUGGAGCAUAACGACCACCAAAAGGAGGUUCCUGACCCGCGGCAACAGCUUCUUCAUGACAUUGCUGCAAAUAACGAAGCAUUGCUUUUUCCAGCGCGCUCUUUUUCUUCGGCUUAUGCUGGGGGCCAACUAUGAUUGGAACCUUGCCAUAAUAGGAACCACGAUCGCCCCCACCAUCGCCACUUCCUCCAGUAGCAGAAGCCAUCUAUGUACAAAAAUUAUUAUCUUAACACUGCAUAAGUUGUUGAACUUGAAGACCGUGAUCAUCUCGCGAGGAUGUCCUCAACUGGGCGGCACCGCACUUCGUCAUGAAAGAGGUUAGAUGCUACGGAAAAGGGGACACGAUCACGAUGUCCGUAUCCACUCUUUCUCGUAGAAUCGAACCUCCUUCUUGACAUACGUUGCUGCUCGGCGGAGAACAUCAUCGGAGAGAUGAACACGGUAUGCAAGUUCAACAAGUAUGGAUUUAAAAAACCAUAUUGAAUUUGAUAAGAUAAACCGUCUAGACAAGGUAGCAUCAUUUUUAAACCACUGCAAUAAUGCAUACCAUAUAUGACACAUCAAUCUUCCUCACAUUCUAGCUCAAAAUACCUCUCCAUUUUUCUACUUCAUCAUCACAUUUUAGCAAAUAAUCUUUCCAUCUCCAAAGCAUAAAUCAAAGCAUAACACGAGGAUGAAGUAGCAAACCUUCGCAACACUUGUGUUGGCCGAGUGAAAUUCCCACGAAAAUGAGGGAAAAAACUUCG
RNAcentral lists this long non-coding RNA (104088 nucleotides) under Setaria viridis. RNAcentral describes it as "long non-coding RNA (SVIR_LNC009909)". The record is from RNAcentral. Lineage: Eukaryota; Viridiplantae; Streptophyta; Magnoliopsida; Poales; Poaceae.